Molecule: long non-coding RNA, 96352 nt
Filed under: Malus domestica (apple)
Lineage: Eukaryota; Viridiplantae; Streptophyta; Magnoliopsida; Rosales; Rosaceae
Source: RNAcentral
UCCUCCUACUCCUGUCCUCAACUUCGCACAUUGAAAUUAGCUGCUGGAAAGUUGAGAACCUUUCCUGAUUUCUUGAGAAAUCAAUCAAUAUUAGAGGUUUUGGACCUAUCCCUAAACCAGAUCCAUGAAAUACCCAACUGGAUUUGGAGGCUUAGUACUCUUGGUGAACUAAAUCUUUCUUGCAACUCUCUGGUAAAUCUACCAGGUCCUUUCCUCAAUCUUUCUUUCUCUGUGCUUGACCUUCAUUCCAACCAGCUUCAGGGACCAAUUCCAAUGCUUCCACCAUAUGCCGGUUAUCUGGAUUACUCAAGAAAUAAUUUCAGCUCAAGCAUACCGGCAGAAAUUGGUGAUUUCCUUGUGAGCACUGUGUUCUUCUCUCUUGCAAGUAAUCACAUCCACGGGAUCAUUCCAGAAUCAGUAUGCAAGGCGACAUCUCUUGAGGUUCUUGAUCUGUCCAAUAAUUCCUUAAGUGGCAUGAUUCCCCAGUGCUUGACUGCAAGGAACGGGCCUCUUGCAGUACUUGAUUUAAGGAGAAACAAACUUUCUGGCACUCUUCCUGAUAAUUUUCCUGAGAACUGUAGUCUACAAACUCUAGACCUCAAUGGCAAUGUGAUUGGUGGUCAGUUCCCAAAAUCUCUAACCAACUGCACAAUGUUAGAGGUGUUAAACCUGGGAAACAAUCAGAUAACAGAUGUCUUUCCAUGCUCAUUGCAGAACAUAUCCAGCUUGCGUGUACUUGUCUUGCGUUUCAACAAAUUUUAUGAUAGCAUUGAAUGCCUCAAGACUAAAAGAGACUGGCCAAAGCUUCAAAUUAUUGACUUAGCUCGCAACAAUUUUACUGGCGAAAUACCAGGAAGUUUUUUGAAAACGUGGCAAGCAAUGAUGGCUGACAAAGAUGGUGCCGUGUCAAAGAUUAAUCACCUCCAAUUUCAAGUUUUAGUCAACGGCCAGGUGUACUAUCAGGAUACCGUAACAGUUACCACCAAAGGUCAAGAGAUGGAAUUGGCAAGGAUCUUAACAGUCUUCACCUCAAUUGACAUCUCCUGCAACAAUUUUAAUGGAUCAAUACCUGAGGAAGUGGGAAAGCUCACAUCACUUCAUGGCCUAAACUUGUCCAGUAAUGCUCUCACAGGCGCAAUCCCAUCAUCAUUAGGUAAUCUACGACAGCUUGAGUCCUUAGACCUUUCGGACAACAAAUUGAGCGGAACAAUUCCAUCACAACUUUCCAAACUUAAUUUCCUCUCAUUCCUAAAUCUGUCGAGCAAUCAACUUGUCGGGAAGAUUCCAACCGGCACUCAGAUUCAGUCUUUUUCAGCAGAUUCUUUCGCAGGCAAUAAAGGAUUAUAUGGGCCACCGUUAGAUGACGGAUCACCAAGGUUGCCACCAACAUUAGAAGGCAAACAUUCUAAUUCUGCGCACAGAAUUGAUUGGGAUCUUAUCAGUGUUGAAGUUGGAUUUAUUGUUGGCUUUGGAGUUGCGGUCGGGUCACUUGUGUUGUGCAAGAGAUGGAGUAAAUGGUAUUACAAAACAAUGUAUAAAAUCCUUGUUAAGAUAUUCCCUCAGCUUGAAGAUAGAAUUGGUCCUCACCGAAGACAUGUCCACAUAAAUCAGAGGUUCAGACGCUGAAGUUAAUGAUCAUGGGGACCAAUGGAGCUGGACCUCAAGCUAUGCCUGGGGAAUUUGAGAUCCAACAAAUAAGAGGUUUGCUUUUUGGUUUUACCUUUUAAAUUUGUGUAUGUUAUAGUUAUAUUUGUAAUAGUUUAUUGUGUAUCUUUAUGCCUUGUUUUCAAUAAACUUCCUCGUACCGUCGAGGUUCUUGAAGUUAGUGUAAAUUGAUAUACCCAAAAGAGUGUACCACAUGUAAUGUAUUAUUUGUUCGAAUUGUGUAGUACGAUGUCGAGACCAACUCCACCCAAAAGAGUGUACUACAAAGAAUAUCUUGACUUCUAAAUUGCGAUAUGUUUUAACAUCUUGCAAUUCAAUUUUAAACUCAUCAUAUCCAGUUUAUUUUUCACCUCAAUUUAUAAGAGAGCAAACCAGUGCUUUUUGUUUUAGAAUUUCCUCACCAACUUUUAUGUCUGAGAUCGCACCAAAAGGCAAAAGCCAACCCUCUCAGGUAACAAGAAGAAAUGAAAAACUCAACCGCUUUUACAAAAUCAGCAAACGACGGUUCAAUCGGUAUUCUCCCUUUCAUGUCAGAGCACAAUGAAAUACUCAUCUGCUUUUACAAGAGUUGAGUCACUCGCCCAAUUUCAACUGAUUUUAGGAUGAACCUCAACUUCAACUAUAGGACAAAAACUUCUAUCAUUUAAGACUUUAAGUUGGCAAAUGCGAAGUAUCGAUCGCGAUGAUUAGGUCUUCCAUAUUAACACUUAACUACUGAAAGAGAGAAUUAACACUUAAUAUGAUUUGAAUUGGGCAUGUUCAGUUACCCCAUCAAUUCUCCACAGAGCAGACUACGACAGUCACAAUUCCACGAUACCAUAGUUACAUACAAUACAUGAGUUUUUCGGAGAAUAUAUUUCUCUUGCUACCCAGAAAAUCAACAUGAGUAUACACAAACCAUUCUGUUUUUCUUCCACCUAUAACGGUAUGUAUAUAUGAUCGACUAUAUAUGGCCUUCGUUAGUCAAAAACUAAAAUAGGAGUAACAUGUAGAUUGCAUAUAUGCCUAGACUACUUCAAAGUGAAUUAGAGUCAAUCAAAUCAAAAACAAAAAAUAUGAACCUGUAACAGCAUAAAACAAGAACCCAAAUGAAUAGAAAUCCGGAGUACCAUACUACGUACUGAAAAUAGCAAUCUUGAGCCCACUGCGACAUUUCAUCGAAAACACUGUGUGCACAGAGAUAUACCUGACAAACGCGAACCAAAGGGCGAGUGGAGCGCAUCACAUGUUCACUGAAGGUAGACUUGCCGCUUCCAGGCGCACCCACCAAUAUUACUACGACAGGCUUUCCUUGUUUUUCUUCCACCGUCAAAAGGGCGUCCAGGUUUUAUGAUCACCGAAGGAGACGACGACUGAGAAUGGUAAAACGCGGCGUUUUGGAGAAAGGUCGUACCUUUGGCUGUUUCGUCGAUAUCCAUGUCCAUGUUUCGGAAGACUCUGCGAGGCACUUUUGAAUUAACGGCGGAAAAGCAACGGUUUCUUCUUCCGCUGGGCUGGAAGCCCCAAGCUUCUAUUGCCGGUGCCUGGUGCUUGCAUAAUGGGACACAUGUCACACAUCGUCGACCCGAAAAUUGACAAGAUCCGAUUCGAUUUGGAUUUUAUCCAUACAUUAGCCUCUUCGCAAUCACUCACGUGUAAACAAAAAGUAUUUUCUAAUCACAAUCCUUACGCGCCCUUUAAAGAUGGGUUUGCUUUAAUUAUUUUUCUAAUUGUUUAACAUCGUUAUUUCAUAAGAAAUUUGUGAGGACCUUUCCUUAUCAUGUUAGGCAUCAAAAUUUUCUUAUCCUUUUCUUUUUCAACUGUCUUUCUGUGAUAAUUUUUUCUAUAAUUGUGUUAAGCCCUCUGUAUUCCGGUGACCUACAACAUGUUAAAUUUAUAGAAAUUAUAAACUUGAUAAUUACGUUCAUAGUAAAAAGGCCUAUACAUACAAUAGUGUUUACUUGGUGUAUAAGUAAGGAUCUCUUCAAAUUAUGAAUACAAUCAUAACUAGAUUACAAUAUUAAUUGCUAAACCUUAAGAGAGACGAUUUCCUUGGACAAGACUCAUUCUCUAACAUCCCGGCAAACUGGACGGUCGAGAGGCGACAAGUUUGGAUCAUAGAAGAAGAAUCCAUGGUUUAGAUAGACCUUUUGUCAAGAGAUUUGCAGGUUGAUCCAAGGACUGGAUGAAAUGAACUUUGUGGGUACCAAGCUUAACAUGUUCACUAACAAAAUGAUAAUCUAACUCAAUAUGCUUUGUGCGAGCAUGAAACAGUCGGUUGGCUGCAAUAUACCUAGUACUAAGGUUAUCACAAAAGAGAUAGGUGGGCAAAGAGGCCUGAAACCGAAGUUCAUGAAGUAAGUAAGACACCCAAAGAGAUUCGAUACAGGUGUGAGCAAGAGCACGAUACUUAGACUCCGCACUACAGUAAGAAACAGUAGGACGUUUUGUAGAACUCCAUGAUAUGAGAUUCAAACCUAGAAAUAAAAGAUAGCUAGAUGUCGAUUGACGAAUGUCAGUACAAGCCCAAUUUGCAUCGGAAUAAAAAGUUGUUCAAAAUAUGGUUGCUCCUAUUUUACAGACGAAACUCAAAAAAAUACUAUUCCAUAACCUGUCCUAAAGUAUCCAAUUUACACUCAUAACGCUAGAAUUGAGAAAUUUUCAAAUUUGGAAUAAUUCAAUAGAGCUAGAGCUGAGCACUUAAAGUGCCAAUUAACAAUAAAUUAAAAAUCCCAGAUAAUCACCUAGGAAAAAGUAAAACUAUACUUUAAUAUAAAAUAAGAGAAAAGAAGUGCAAGGAAUGAAAAAGAAUAUGGAGUUAGAGUUACUUUGACACCAUCUACGGAGAAAGGCCAUUCAGAAAUGUAUUCCUUCAGACCUGUCUCCAGAACUAUGACGUCAUACUCUUCAUCCAUGCAAUCCAGCAGAGAAACCGGAUGAAUAUAGCGAGUAUUGUCUUUACAAUCCAGCAGAGAAACCGGAUGAAUAUAGUGAGUAUUGUGUAAAGACGGAUAUAACCUGUAUAAUAUCCAGUAAAGAUAGUUACACUAUGUUUGGAUGAUAGAAAUAAACUUGAAAUUUAAGGAAAAGUCGGAAUUUAUAAAUUGACAUACACCAAUUCCCUUGUUUGGAUUCAUAAACAUAGAAAUUUAGAAUUUUCAUGUGGAAAAAAAACUUGGAAUUUGGGACAUUCAAUUCCCAAGUUUAAAUUCCAUGUAAAUAUGUGUCAUUUUCCAAUUUCUAUGAUUGAGAGUUGAUAGACGCAUAUUUAUGCGACUUAGUUAACUAGUUUUCUUGCAUUUACGUUAUUAGUUCUUAGUUAUUUUAGUACUUUAAGCCAUUUUCGUGUGUUUGUAGGUCCAAAGGGCUAAGGUAGCAAGAAAGUGCAUUUUGGUGCAUUUUGGAGCAGUUUUGAGCUCGGAAUGGAUUACAUAUGAUAUGAGCAAGAUGGAUGGACGAAUUUGAAGACAAAAGAGGCUAAGAACAUGCUAAAAAUCUGGUGAAACAAAUACAAGUUGCAAUAAGGGAUAAAUUUCUAGAAGGAUUGGCCAAAACUUCACUCAAAACACAUCAAUGCCGUGGCUUUUACUUCCACCUCCACCAGAAAUUUGAGUAAUGAUGCAAUGCUUAACUCACCAUGACAUGUGAGUGGAUGAUGCAAUGCUUAGCUCACCAUGACAUGUGAGUGGAUGAUGCAAUGCUUAGCUAACCAUGACAUGUGAGUGGAUGACUCAAUACCUAACCCACCAACAAUUCCCACUCUUUGCCAUGCUCACCUACUCAAUUCCACCAACAUUUUGUGUUAAACAAGUCCAUCCUCUUCCUAUAAAUACCAUGGCAUCAACCUCAUUCAAAUCAUCCAGAAAUUAACCAUUCUCCAAGCCUUUCCUUGCCUCUCCUACAUAUCUAAACCCCUUCCCAUCCAUUCCUCCAAAUAACCAACCCUUCAACAUCAUUCCAACCUUGUUGUUGCGGCAAAGAGAAGGAGAAAAGUCCUUAGACGCACUUGCUAUCCAACAUGGAUCGUUGGAACGUUUAGGUGCUUUCUUUCCUUUGUUUUUCAAUGUUUAAAUUUGUUUAUCUUUGUUUUGUAAUAAUGAGGAACUAAACCCCCCUUGGCUAGGGGGGAUUCGAAACCAUGUUAAUGCUUGCAAUAUGAUUUGAUUACUUUUAAUUGCGUUUCAUAAGUUAUGAAUUCGAUUUACUUAUCUAUUUGAUUGAUAACAUGUUUAUGUAUGUUGAUUAGGGAUGCAUACUUAGUUUGCAUGCAUAAAUAUGAUGCUAGAGUAUAAGGGAAUUUCACCUAAUCGUUAUGAACUUAUAUUCAUGAGUAGUAAAAGUCGCUAGUCACGAUUGUGUUAAGUAAAUCCUUGGCAUAAGUUUCAUGCAAAUCAUAGUAACGAGUGCCUCGUCAAUGCUUAUGUUUUUCAUAGAACUUAAUGAUUCUUGCUUGUAUCUCUAUUAUGCAAUUCAUGUAGGGAACUUGUAGGGAAUAUUUUGGGUUGUCGUAUGCAAUCAUCCAACCCAAUAACUUGUGGAAAAACUGAGGGUAAAUUAGUGCAAUUCACGGUUAAUUUGGGGCGUUGAGAAUUAAUAAGUUAUUGAAAUGCAAUUGGAAAUCAUUUUGUAUGCAAGCAAGACAUGUGUGGAGAAGAACCCCUUAGCUAGCCUUCCAUUAUCCAUUCAACCCAAAUUUGUUUAAAAUCUAUUUAAGUUUUUAGUUUAUUCGUUUUUACUUUCAACUUCACCAAACUCAAAUCCCCCUUUUACUUUCUUGUUUUAAAAUCUUUUGUUUACAUUUUUAACUUUGUUUUUAUGUUUUUAAAUUAGUUUUCAAGUGAUUUAGCAAUCCCUCCUAAUCCCCGGUUUAGAACGAUCCCUACUUACAUCUAUACUACAAUUGUCAAAAAGAGGGUUAAAUUUGUGUGCUUAUAUUAUUCGCAUCAAAUUUUUGGCGCCGUUGCCGGGGAUUAGCAACUUUGCUAAUCCCUUGGUUCUUUUCUUUUUGUUUAGUUUGUUUUUGUUUUAGUUUCUGACUUAGUUUUGUUUUCCUUGUUUUGUGUUACUUUUGAUAUUUGAGUUAUUUUUCUUUCUUUGAUUUUAGGUACAAAUGGAGCAAGACAUGGCACUUGCGACCAUUCAAGCUCAAUUGGCACAGCUCACUGCUCAAUUGACUCAUAAUGCCGAACGGACCACAAUGCCAAGUGUCCCUACAUUGAUGUGCCCUAUGGGCAAGGAUAUCAACAUCCUCAAUUCACUGUGAACGAAGAUGCUUGGGGUUAUCAAGGCUAUGAUCAACCAAGCAACAACAUGUUUUCCAACGCUUACAAUUCGGCUUGGAGAGAUCAUUCAAAUUAUAUGUGGGGGAAACCUCAACAAUUCCAACAAGAGGGAUAUUGGCAGCAAGAGGAGGAGUUCUAUUCAAAACCUAUGCAAUAUGCUUAAUCAAACUCAGGUUCGUCAAUAAAUUAUAAUCAAAUUCUUAAUGAAUUAAAUUGUUUGGUGCAGGGCUCACAAAAUCAAGCCAAGGAGGCUCAACAAGAUGCAUAUUGGCAGCCAUAUGAGGAGUUCUACACCACACCUAUACAGCCACCACUGCAUACCCCACAACAAUUCCAAUCAAAUUCAAGUAUGUCCAUGGAUAGUGAUCAAAUUCUUCAAGUACUAACCUCUUUGACGCAGGACCAACAAAAUCAAGACAAGAAGUUGGAUAAAUUGAAGAGUCAAAUGGGAGAGAUUAUGGAAUUCAUGGUACAAAUUCAAGAGCAAAGUGAACUCUCCAACUCAACUGUUGAAAAUUCGAAGGAAGAUUUUGAAAUCCACGAUGCUAUCACUUUGGGAAGUGCUAUGAAGGAUGAAGCUGUCCCAGAACCAUCCAAACACAGCCCGAACAUGGAUGAAUUGCUGCUGCAAGCAGAAGAGGAGGAGGACGACCUGGGCAGUUUAGAAGAAUUCUUGCUGCAAGCUCCUCAAAUCCCUAUAUCAUCCAACUCAGGUGAGGAAGUUUUAAAUCCACUUCAUUCUAACAUUAUUCCACCAAAUGUCCUUUUUCCUUGUAGGUUUUUUAUUCCAAAUAUCAAAGAGAGUGAAAAAGACAUUGUGGAAGCUCUUCCAAAGGUGCAAAGUGAUAUCCCAAUUCUUGGUGCACCAAAACAAGUUCCCGAUGGUAUUGAAACGUUCAAAGAACCUUGCACACCAAGAAAAGGGAUUCAAGAGAAUGAAGUGGUUGAAGCAUAUCAAGAAUACAUCCAAGAGGCUGUGCAUGAGACAAUCAAGCCCAAAGCAGUUGAGUUUGAUGACACGGGACAAGCCACAACCAUCAUAGUAAACCUGGCCAAGUUCAAAAUCCCAGAAAUGUUCAAAGAUGUGGUGUUUGUCAUUGAGUUUGUGUCGGAAAAAGAAAGUAAGCCAUCUUCUCCAAUUUUAAUUUUUAUUUAUACUAACAUUUUUCUGAUUUUGAUGAUUCAGGCACCCACUCUUGAAUUUAAACCAUUGCCGAAUCAUUUCAAGUAUCACCUCCCAUUAAAAGAUAAAUUCCAUGCUUUGGAGCCGAGGGGAGUUUAAAGGAAAGAUUCGUCCGGCUAAAGACGUUAAAUCAAGCGCUUCUUGGGAGGCAACCCAAGCAUUCAACGAAGGGAGACUUUUGGAAUCGCUAACCAAAAUCAGAUUUGAAUUCUUACACCCUUAUCUUUACUGCUUUCAUUUUGUUUUGUUUAGUUAGUUGUGUUAUUUGGUUAAUUUCUGUAAGUUUGUGUUAUUUAGUUUAAGUGUGGGGGAAGGUUAACCAAAGUCUUUCUACAUUAAUUUACAUAUAAUUUAAAAACAACAAAAAAAAAAAAAAAAAAAAAAAAAACAUAAGUAAAAAUAUUUUACAAUGAUGUGUAAACUAAUAGCAUUCAUUGGUCAGGUGGUGCUUCAGUAGUCGGCGGAGCUUCAGCAGUCGGCGGGGCCACAGAAGGAGGAGGCAACAGAGGUUGAUCAGUUGGAGCUUCACUACGCGAUGCCGCUCCAGAAGACGAAGGCAGAUGCUGUUGGAACAAACCCACAAACCUCCGAUGAUCAAGUAAAAUCUGACCAUCAGAUUCAUGUAUCUGGUCAAUUUUCCUCUUCAUGGUUGUGGCAUAGUUGUGUGCAAGCUUAUGCAAUUGUUUAUUUUCAUGCUUGAGUCCUUUAAUCUCCUCUUUGAGACUCUGUAUUUCAGCCACCAACGAUUCAACGUGACGGGUUCGGGCAAAUAGGCGUUGGGCCAUGUUGGACACGGAACCGGCACACUGCACGCUAAGAGCCAGAGACUCCUUAACCGCCAAUUCAUCAGACCGUCUAGCGAGCAGUUUGUUAUCUCUGGGGUGACAAGGUUCCGGGCCACCACCGCAGCGGUCAUGUCAUUUUUCAUCACCGAAUCCCCCACGGUAAGGGGACCGGUAGGGGAUAUGAAGGAUGGGCGCCAUAUGUUGUCUGGUGAAGGCGGAGCUGCCUCUUCACCAAUGUUCAAGUCAAAACGACGAUCGGAAGGGCCAGACAUUUUCUGAAGGUGUGAGAAAGAAGAGAUCGGACAGAUUAAGAUUUCGGAAGUGCAAGAAGGGAGUGUUUACAGGAGGGAGCUCAAGUGUGUUGUGGAACAAAAUUAGCGCCUCUAUAAAAAGAAGAAAUCAAAGAGGCGCUCCUCAGAAAUUGAAAAGGCGUCCUCUCGCAAAUCGAAGAGUCGGGGCUCCGUUCUCAAACGCCUGAUUCUUUUCUCAAAAGAGGAGUUUCCUUUCUCAAAAGCCGGAUUCUUUUCUCAAAAGAGGCGUUUCAUUUCUUAAAGGCUGGGCUUGCUCAGAAACCACGAGCCGAACCCCGGAUUUCAAAAGAUCAAUUUGUCCAGACGUGUCGUCACUUGUCACACGCAAAUUGCUUUGCGAAAAUCUCGGGCAGUUUGUCGAAGCACCAAUUCAGAAAUCGAAGAGGGAAAUUCAACAGUCAAAGACACGCUAGCUUUCUCAAAAGCUGGGCUUCAACCCACGGGCAAAUCUUCUUUUCCAGAUUUAUCCGCACGUGUCACAUGCUACCUCUACAAUCGACGAUGCUCAAAGCUCGAAGCGCCGAUUCCAGAUAUCAAUGAGGAAUCUGCUUUGCGGAAAUUACGGGCAGCUUUGUCAGAAAGCGCGUAAUUUGUACUAUUCAUCCAUCCACCGGCUGCCGACAAUGAGUGAGGGAAUAGUUCCGGUUGUGAAGAAAAGUCCCAUAAGUAUCUACCUUCGCCUUCCACAGCAAAGGCACACCCUCUCAGCACUUCUUCCUCUCUGAAAUGGCUUUCCAACAAACCCUCUCAAGUCACUCUGUAUUUUUCAUCCCCUGGGAUACCCCUGCAAACAACCCAUCCAAAGCAAAAGUAUUUCAUAUCAUGAAGGUUGAAAGCAAGAGUAUCUCAUAUCAUGCUUUCUCCCUGUCCUUUCUCCAGCCAGCACUUGCUCUCGAGUACUCAUCAUCUUAUGUUUCCUCUUCGUCUCUCACGUAUAAGGGAAGUGAAGAUGAUACCUCGAAGCAUGUGGAGACAACGUGCUGAUUCAUCCUCAGCUAGGGACAAGGAGAAAGAGAGCAAGAGGUGGGCACUUGGAAAGAUGAAGAAAGAAACAGACCAAUACCUCUACCUCGUGCCUGCCCGCCAUGCAGAGGAAACAAGCAGAGAAGAAUGCAGCUCGUACAAUCAUCCCAGCAGAAGGAGUCCGAGCUGAAGAACUAGAGAAGCUGCCACAUCUGCUUGGAGAACAAAUAAGGAACUGCAACAUCACCAAAGAGCAAAGCUUCGCCGUACAAUAUCAUCAAAUCAUCACUUGCAAGUAAAAAGCUAAGUGUCACCCUGUUCAAGAGGAAAGCUGUGGAAAGUCAACAAGCACGACCAAUGAUCACUUAUUAGUUCUAUUCAUUGUCUUUUAUCGUGAUUUUCAAUUUUUCGUUUGCAAUUUUUUUUAUAUUUUCUUGUGUUACUAAACUGAAUUAUUUCUUUUCUUUGCAGGAACUUUUGGUUAUUUCCACCCUUGAAGUUGAUUGCAGAAUUUUAGCUUGGGGGUCAUCGCUUGGUUUUAUUGCAAACUAGGGAAGUUUUCAGUCCAAUUGCUUUAUUUUGUUUCUUAUUAUUUAUUUAUUUUAUUUUUAUUUGCAUUAUAGUGUUUUCUGACAUUGGGGUAUAGAUUUCAUGGGUCCUUUCCCUCCAUCUUUUGGUUUCACUUAUAUCUUGCUAGCUGUUGAUUAUGUUUCCAAAUGGGUGGAAGCCAAAGCCACCCGGACUAACGAUUCAAAGGUUGUUGCAGAUUUUGUGAAAACUAAUAUCUUUGCUAGGUUUGGCAUGCCUAGAGUUCUCAUUAGUGAUGGAGGCAACCCAUGGAAAUAAAGAAGACCUAGGAAUUUCCGACUCCAAAACCAGGUGUUUGCGUUCUUUAACCCUCCUCUCUGUUGCUUUUACUUUGCCAUGUUUAUCAUGUUUCCUCGUUGUUUGUUUGUUUGCUUUUGUGUGAGUUUAUGUUUGAAACAUUGAGGACAAUGUUAGAUUUAAGUGUGGGGGGGUAAACAAGUUGCUGUUGCAUGAUUUUCGUGGGAUUUUAUUCACCUAUCACUUACAAUGUUGUUUCUUGCUGUUUUAAGUGUUUUUAGUGUGUUUUUAAGCAUGUUAGUAUGUUUUGACAUAAAAAUCCGAAAAUUUGACAAAAAUUUGAAAAAAAAAUUGUUUUGAAAAAGCCAAAAAGAGUUGUUUUUGUGUGUUUGUUUGUGUCUUAGGGUACCUUCCAACACAAAUAAUGAGGAUUUGGUUUUUAAUUGCAUGACUGCUAAAGAAAGUUAUAAACAUGGAUGGAAAGUUUGAUAUGCUCUUUGAUUUAUGCUUGGUUAUAGUUAUAGUUUACGAAUUCACAUGUAAUCACAAAGAAAAAAAAUCAGUUUUUGUAACAUGCUUGAAGGAAGGAACUCAAACUAACACUACAACCUUGAGAGACUUGAGCCUAAUACGUUCUUUGGAGAGUUACUAAUCUGUGCAUUUUUGUUUUCUAAAGUCGUUGCAUGAUCUCAUCAUUCUUUGCUUGGUUGCUACUUAGAAGGCGUUUCAUCAUUUAGUUCCAAAUACUAGAACUUAUGCCCGUUCCAUUCAAAGCAUGACAUUGAUUUGCAUAACACAUAUUCAAGAUGAAGUUGUGUAGUGAACUAGAGCCAAAAAGCUUAUCCGUGCAUAUUUUUGUUUAAGUUUAACCCCGUUGAGCCUUGUUUAGCCUGUUUUCUUUGUUAAACCCACAUUUCCCUUACCUAGCCUAGAUUAGGACUAUCCAUACCCUUGUUUUUUUAAAGCAUAGUGAAGCAUGACUUAAAAUGAAUUCCUUUUGAUUGUCCUUAUGCAGAAACAAGUGUGGGGGAAUGAGAUUUUUUGUGUUUGUGUGCCAAAAGAAAGUAAUAAGGCACGGGUUAGAAAAAGAAAAAGAAAAAAAAAAAAAAAAAGAAAAGAAAAAAGAGUUUGAAAUAAGUGAGGAAAGGCUCACAAGUGUUUGUUUGUAGUUGAAAUCGGCCCUAAAAAGUUGAAUGAAUAACCCCAUUGUGUUUAAAGUUAGUUGCUGCAUUCAAAGGAAUUCUAAGCAUCAAUUUCAUUACUUUGCUUAUUAUGCUUUAAAAACGUUUGUUUCCUUACCUUUCAUUGUUAGCCAAUCACCCCUAACCCCGUUACAACCCUUAACUUCAAUCUUGAGUGUUAUGUGUUUCAAUAUGUGGAGUUUGGGAUUGGUACGAGCAUAUGGUGUCCCUGGUUCUCGCAUCUAAGUAGUAGCAUUCCAGUCAUGAGAUCAUAUCUAUACAUGCUUAAUAACUCCAGAAAUUGCUUUCUUUGCUAUAAACAUAUGUGAGUGUUCGUUUUCAUGUUUACAUCAAUCUUCUCACAUACAUCUAUAGUGUAGGGUAAAUAGUCAGAAAAAUCAGAGUGAAAAUAAGAGUGUAUCUUGUAAGGAAUUGAGCAAAUUCUCUAAGGCAUGUUACUACAUUCAAAACAUCGUUUUAAUUGGUUAUAUGUGAACUAGUAUGUGGUGACUUUGAUUAAGUAUGUGCUCAAGGGUAGGGAAGGCAAAAAUCUGUGGUUAUGAUGAUCUUUUGCAUGUCAUGUUGCAUUGAAAAUCCCUAAGGUAAUUGUUGGAAGGUUUAGGUUUUGUUUUGUUCUUAUGUUUUGUUUCUUUGUUUUGCUCGAGGACUAGCAAAAGCUAAGUGUGGGGGAAUUUGAUAGACGCAUAUUUAUGCGACUUAGUUAACUAGUUUUCUUGCAUUUACGUUAUUAGUUCUUAGUUAUUUUAGUACUUUAAGCCAUUUUCGUGUGUUUGUAGGUCCAAAGGGCUAAGGUAGCAAGAAAGUGCAUUUUGGUGCAUUUUGGAGCAGUUUUGAGCUUGGAAUGGAUUACAUAUGAUAUGAGCAAGAUGGAUGGACGAAUUUGAAGACAAAAGAGGCUAAGAACAUGCUAAAAAUCUGGUGAAACAAAUACAAGUUGCAAGAAGGGAUAAAUUUCUAGAAGGAUUGGCCAAAACUUCACUCAAAACACAUCAAUGUUGUGGCUUUUACUUCCACCUCCACCAGAAAUUUGAGUAAUGAUGCAAUGCUUAACUCACCAUGACAUGUGAGUGGAUGAUGCAAUGCUUAGCUCACCAUGACAUGUGAGUGGAUGAUGCAAUGCUUAGCUAACCAUGACAUGUGAGUGGAUGACUCAAUACCUAACCCACCAACAAUUCCCACUCUUUGCCAUGCUCACCUACUCAAUUCCACCAACAUUUUUGUGUUAAACAAGUCCAUCCUCUUCCUAUAAAUACCAUGGCAUCAACCUCAUUCAAAUCAUCCAGAAAUUAACCAUUCUCCAAGCCUUUCCUUGCCUCUCCUACAUAUCUAAACCCCUUCCCAUCCAUUCCUCCAAAAUAACCAACCCUUCAACAUCAUUCCAACCUUGUUGUUGCGGCAAAGAGAAGGAGAAAAGUCCUUAGACGCACUUGCUAUCCAACAUAGAUCGUUGGAACGUUUAGGUGCUUUCUUUCCUUUGUUUUUCAAUGUUUAAAAUUUGUUUAUCUUUGUUUUGUAAUAAUGAGGAACUAAACCCCCCUUGGCUAGGGGGGAUUCGAAAACCAUGUUAAUGCUUGCAAUAUGAUUUGAUUACUUUUAAUUGCGUUUCAUAAGUUAUGAAUUCGAUUUACUUAUCUAUUUGAUUGAUAACAUGUUUAUGUAUGUUGAUUAGGGAUGCAUACUUAGUUUGCAUGCAUAAAUAUGAUGCUAGAGUAUAAGGGAAUUUCACCUAAUCGUUAUGAACUUAUAUUCAUGAGUAGUAAAAGUCGCUAGUCACGAUUGUGUUAAGUAAAUCCUUGGCAUAAGUUUCAUGCAAAUCAUAGUAACGAGUGCCUCGUCAAUGCUUAUGUUUUUCAUAGAACUUAAUGAUUCUUGCUUGUAUCUCUAUUAUGCAAUUCAUGUAGGGAACUUGUAGGGAAUAUUUUGGGUUGUCGUAUGCAAUCAUCCAACCCAAUAACUUGUGGAAAAACUGAGGGUAAAUUAGUGCAAUUCACGGUUAAUUUGGGGCGUUGAGAAUUAAUAAGUUAUUGAAAUGCAAUUGGAAAUCAUUUUGUAUGCAAGCAAGACAUGUGUGGAGAAGAACCCCUUAGCUAGCCUUCCAUUAUCCAUUCAACCCAAAUUUGUUUAAAAUCUAUUUAAGUUUUUAGUUUAUUCGUUUUUACUUUCAACUUCACCAAACUCAAAUCCCCCUUUUACUUUCUUGUUUUAAAAUCUUUUGUUUACAUUUUUAACUUUGUUUUUAUGUUUUUAAAUUAGUUUUCAAGUGAUUUAGCAAUCCCUCCUAAUCCCCGGUUUAGAACGAUCCCUACUUACAUCUAUACUACAAUUGUCAAAAAGAGGGUUAAAUUUGUGUGCUUAUAUUAUUCGCAUCCAGAGUUUAAAAAUACAAAUUCCAUAUUGAAUUUCAUUGUUCUUUUAGGUUAACCAAACAAGAAAAUUUACAAAUUCUAAAAAAUAAAAUCUCGUCCCUUCAAUUUCUGUCAUUUUAAAAUUCCUUGGUAAUCUUAAACUUCUUCAUCCAAACAUAGUGUUAGUUUGGUACAAAUUUAUGGAAGCCAAAUCUACCAAGUUUGAGAUCCGGACCGUUGAAAUUUGAUCCAAUGUCUAUAGUUGUUAUAACUUUCAUUAGUUUUCCUUAAAUAAUUUUACAUUAAGAUCAUUUCAAAGUGAGUGGCUAACCCUAAAAGGUUCAGUUGAACCUUGUCAAACACAUAGAUACAUACAAGGUAACCUGUAACAUCUUUGGUUCGGCUAACUUUUGUUUUUUAUUUUUUAUUGUUGAAGUCAGUUGAAGUUAUCACAUGUUCGUCUACGGCUUGUGUCCACCAAAAAAAAAAAAAAAAAACCCACGCAAAUUCCCAAAUUCCAAUUCCAAACCAAACAAUUGUACAAAAAAUUGGCCGAUGUAAUUCGGUAUGUACCAGAUAACGGUAAUAAAUAUAUAUACAGAGAGCUUAAGGGGAGGGAUCCCCAUUUUUUGAAAAAAAUGGGGAUUAGGUGUGGGGCCCACUUCACAUUAAAUUUCAACGAUCCGAACCGUCUAUUUUGUUAGUCUCGAUUCAUAGAUCAUCCUGCAAAAUAUUAGCUAAAUUGGAAAUGUUUAAGACAUCUAAUUGGGUUCAAGGAAAUGAACGAAUACUUUGUUAUAUAAGAAAAUAUGAAAUUUGAUAUUGAUAAUUAAAUAGGCAAAUGGUUUCGGAUUGAAUUGAAUUUUUGCAAGGAUGAUCUAUGAAUCGAGACUAACAAAAUAGACGGUUCGGAUCGUUGAAAUUUGAUGUGAAGUGGGCCCCAUACCUAAUCCCCAUUUUUUGGGAUCCCUCCCCUUAAGCUCUCUAUGUAUAUAUAUAUAUAUAUAUAUAUAUAUAUAUAUAUCUAUGACAACUACAUUAACACAUACAAUCCAUCAUUCUCAUCAAACAAAAAACUGAAGCAAAAAACCAUCAGCCUUUUAAGAAAAUUAACCUACAAUUUCCACCCCCACCCACCCCAAAAAAACUGCAAUAACAAAAUUACCCCUACAAUUUUCACUCCUGUCCGUCCGAUUUGGAAUUUAGACAUGCAAAAAAGUAAUUUUGCUUGCAGGUCUUUAGGCCUCCGAAUGGGCCAUUUCAGCUACACCCUAAUCCAAGCCGAAGGCCACAUUGGGCAUAAAAUCAGCAAUCCAAAACAGAACGAUGGCAGUACCGUAGUUAAUUGAUCGAGGCCCCAUUCCAUAUGCAACAUGAAUGUAUACGACUCUGCAAGAAACAAUGUGUUGUUAAAUGUGGUCAGUCCUCGCCUUUUUUAUGAACACAAGAAACAGUAAUGAAUUACGAUGGCAGUACCGUAGUUAAUUGAUCGAGGCCACAUUUGAGAUCCAACAAAUAAGAAGUUUGCUUUUUGGUUUUACCUUUUAAAUUUGUGUAUGUUCUAGUUGUAUUUGUAAAAGUUUAUUGUGUAUCUUCUGAAUUACGAAAAUCUUGACUUCUGAAUUACGAUAUGUUUUAUCAUCUGGCCAUUCAAUUUUAAACUCAUCAUAUCCAGUACCACAACACCUAAUGAUUUAUUUUUCACCUCAAUUUAUAAGAGAGCAAACCAGCGUUUUUUGUUUCAGAAUUUCCUCACCAACUUUUAUGUCUGAGAUCGCACCAAAAGGCAAAAGCCAACCCUCUCAGGUAACAAGAAGAAAUGAAAAACUCAACCGCUUUUACAAAAUCAGCAAACUACGGUUCAAUCAAUAUUCUCACUUUCAUGUCAGAGCACAAUGAAAUACUCAUCUGCUUUUACAAGAGUUGAGUCACUCGCCCAAUUUCAACUGGUUUUAGGAUGAACCUCAACUACAAUUAUAGGACAAAAACUUCUAUCAUUUAAGACUUUAAAUUGACAAAUACGAAGUAUCGAUCGUGAUGAUUAGGUCUUCCAUAUUAACACUUAACUACUAAAAGAGAGGAUUAACACUUAAUAGGAAUUGAAUUGGGCGUGUUCAGUUACCCCAAUAAAUUCUCCACAGAGCAGACUAAAAUAGGAGUAACAUGUAGCUUGCAGAUAUGCCUAGACUACUUCAAAGUGAAUUAGAGUCGAUCUAAUCAUAAACCUGAGUAAUGCACUGAAAAUUUCUGGUUUGGAAUCUCUGACGCUCAGAGAAUAAGCAAAAUGCAUGCAACAAAGCCUCCAUUGUUAAACCUGAAAAAACAACAGUAUGUCAAGUUAUUCUUUUCAUUGGAAUCCUUGGUAAACAUAAUUCUUUCAAAAAGAUUGGACGCAAAUGCCAAUAUCUUACAGAUUUGUAAUGUCAUAUUGUGAACUAGCACCCAACAAAAUAUUUACAUGUAUAUUGCGUAGUAUUUCCAAAUGCUUACCAAUUGGUAGCAUUAGCUAUUAGAUUGCAGUGUAAACCUCCUUCUGAAUGAACGAAGCCGAGUGAUAUCUCCCACAAAUGUGAAGAACUUGUUGGAAUCAAUGCUUUUCUCUGAAGCUUUAGCCCUUACCAAAGACAAAAUCUUCGAUUAAUGACUCAAGUCCACUUAAAACAAGUCUAGAAUUUCCAAGCUUAUUCCUAAAUUCUAUAACUUUCUCAACAAUAAUAUCAGAUGCCUUUGCAAGGUCAAAUUGAAAAUCUGCUGUUGAAACGGAAGGAAAUGCCAGAGCGGAAGCAUCAUUUAGAGAACCAUCACCGCCAACAGAGCCUACAACUAGCUCUUCACCUACCUUUGAUUCCUUACCAGAUUUUUCAGAAAGUAAACGUGUUCCUUUCAAAGAGGUUUCCUUUUCUUCAGUAAUUUGAGAAGCAUUAGAAUCCGGUACACUCUUCAAAGUUGAUUCAGUAUUGGCAGGACCAUCUGUUUUCUUUAAGAACUUCUUUAUACCUAGUUGAAUUUUUGCACCGGGGUUCUUCCGACCAGAAUAACCAUUGGGAGAUGUAUAUAACGGACCAAGUCCACUAUAUGCAUCAACGGAAGAUUGAACAUCACUCUCACUCUGGCAACAAGUAAUUCUAGCAAACCCUUCACUCUUCUUUCUUCUGCAGCAUUCUAUUCACAAUCGCCACAGCUUUCCUGCCUUGCACGUUUCCUUCAUGGCUCGUUAGAUUCUUUAGUGUGACCAGUACACGGGAUGAUACACCACAUGUCACUAAACAAAUGGUGAGAUAUGUGUGCUACAAAGUUAAAAAUUUAAAAAAAAAAAUUCUCACCAUUCCUAUUAAAACAUGUGGUGUAUCACUUGUGUUCCCGUCACAACUAAAAAUUUCUCGUAAUAUACAAAGCUUGGCAGGAAGAUCAAGCACCACAGCAUGAACAUCAACUUGGGAACUACCACCAAGCUUCACAAAAUCAUCCCAUUUUUUCUUUCUCCACAUUACACCUAUCUAUAAACACACACUACCCAUCCUUCAACGCAUUCAUUGCACUAUCUAUACACUGCCCUUUCGUUCCGGCUUUACCAUUUUUGAUAGUAUCCUACAAAAACAUAAAAUAUGAACAUAUAACAGCAUAAAACAAGAACCCAAAUGAAUAGAAAUCCGGAGUACCAUACUACGUACUGAAAAUGGCAAUCUUGAGCCCACUGCGACAUUUCAUCGAACACACUGUGUGCACAGAGAUAUACCUGGCAAAUGCGAACCAAAGGGCGAGUGGAGCGCAUCACAUGUUCGCAGAAGGUAGACUUGCCGCUUCCAGGCGCACCCACCAAUAUUACUACGACAGGCUUUCCUUGUUUUUCUUCCCCCGUCAGAAGGGCGUACAGGUUUUAUGAUCACCGAAGGAGAUGACGACUGAGAAUGGUAAAACGCGGCGUUUUGGAGAAAGGGCAUACCUUUGGCUGUUUCGUCGAUAUCCAUGUCCAUGUUUCGGAAGACUCUGCGAGGUACUUUUGAAUUAACGGCGAAAAAGCAACGGUUUCUUCGUCCGCUGGGCUGGAAGCCCGAAGCUUCUAUUGCCGGUGCCUGGUGCUUGCGUAAUGGGACACAUGUCCACAUCGUCGACCCGAAAAUUGACAAAAUCCGAUUCGAUUUGGAUUUUAUCCAUAUAUUAACCUCUUCGCAAACACCCACGUGUAAACAAAAAGUAUUUUCUAAUCACAAUCCUUACGCGCCCGUUAAAGAUGGGUUUGCUUUAAUUAUUUUUCUAAUUGUUUAACAUCGUUAUUUCAUAAGAAAUUUGUGAGGACCUUUCCUUAUCAUGUUAGGCAUCAAAAUUUUCUUAUCCUUUUCUUUUUCAACUGUCUUUUUGUGAUAAUUUUUUCUAUAAUUGUGUUAAGCCUUCUGUAUUCCGGUAACCUACAACAUGUUAAAUCUAUAGAAAUUAUAAACUUGAUAAUUACGUUCAUAGCAAAAAGGCCUAUACAUACAAUCGUGUUUACUUGAUGUAUAAGUAAGGAUCUCUUCAAAUUAUGAAUACAGUCAUAACUAGAUUACAAUAUUAAUUGCUAACCCUUAAGAGAGACGAUUUCCUUGGACAAAACUCAUUCUCUUAAUAUAAAAUAAAAGAAAAAAAGUGCAAGGAAUGAAAAAGAAUAUGGAGUUAGAGUUACUUUGACACCAUCUACAGAGAGUGCAAGGCCAUUCAGAAAUGUAUUCCUUCAGACCUGUCUCCAGAACUAUGACGUCAUACUCUUCAUCCAUGCAAUCCAGCAGAGAAACCGGAUGAAUAUAGCGAGUAUUGUGUAAAGAUGGAUAUAACCUGUAUAAUAUCCAGUAAAGAUAGUUACACUGUGUUUGGAUGAUAGAAAUAAACUUGAAAUUUAAGGAAAAGUCGGAAUUUAUAAAUUGACAUACACCAAUUCCCUUGUUUGGAUUCAUAAACAUAGAAAUUUAGAAUUUUCAUGUGGAAAAAAAACUUGGAUUUUGGGACCUUCAAUUCCUAAGUUUAAAUUCCAUGUAAAUACGUGUCAUUUCCCAAUUUCUAUGAUUGAGAGUUUAAAAAUAACAAAUUCCGUAUUGAAUUUCAUUGUUCUUUUAGGUUAACCAAAUAAGAGAAUUUACAAAUUCUAAAAAAUAAAAUCCCGUCAUUUUAAUUUCUGUCAUUUUAAAAUUUCUUAGUAAUCUUAAACUUCUUCAUCCAAACAUAGUGUUAGUUUGGUACAAAUUUAUGGAAAGCCAAAUCUACCAAGUUCGAGAUCCGGACCGUUGAAAUUUGAUCCAAUGUCUACAGUUAUUAUAACUUUCGUUAGUUUUCCUUAAAUAAUUUUGCAUUAAGAUCAUUUCAAAGUGAGUUGCUAACCCUAAAAGGUUCAGUUGAACCUUGUCAAACACAUAGAUACAUACAAGGUAACCUGUAACAUCUUUGGUUCGGCUAACUUUUGUUUUUUAAUUUUGUUUUUUUUUUUUUUUUUUGUUGAAGUCAGUUGAAGUUAUCACAUGUUCGUCUACGGCUUGUGUCCACAAACAAAAAAAAAAAAAAAAAACCCACACAAAUUCCCAAAUUCCAAUUCCAAACCAAACAAUUGCACAAAAAAUUGGCCAAUGUAAUUCGGUAUGUACCAGAUAACGGUAAUAUAUAUCUAUGACAACUACAUUAACAUAUACAUUCCAUCAUUCUCAUCAAACAAAAAACUGAAGCAAAAAACCAUAAGCCUUUUAAGAAAAUUAACCUACAAUUUCCACCCACCCCAAAAAAACUGCAAUAACAAAAUUACCCCUACAAUUUUCACUCCUGUCCGUCGGAUUUGGAAUUUAGACAUGCAAAAAAGUAAUUUUGCUUGCAGGCCUUUAGGCCUUUGAAUGGGCCAUUUCAGCUACACCCUAAUCCAAGCCGAAGGCCACAUUGGGCAUAAAAUCAACAAUCCAAAACAGAACGAUGGCAGUACCGUAGUUAAUUGAUCGAGGCCCCAUUCCAUAUGCAACAUGAAUGUAUACGACUCUGCAAGAAACAAUGUGUUGUUAAAUGCUCAGUGCACCAAAAGCCACUACCUAACAAUCUUCAUAUAUUUCAUAACAACCUCCUUCUGAUACAAGCUGGCUAUUUGUAGUCGGUUCUCUACUAACCACCUAACUAACCAACUACUUACACAAGUAUCAAUCAAAAGAUGACACCUGUCCGAGCAUCCUAACAAUACCCCCCCUUAAAACUGAUCUUACAGAUCACAUACGAAAUUCUGCAGAAAAUUUACAACACAAAACUCAAACAAUUUGCACACACAGAGAAAUACAACACAAAUUCAAAGAUCAACAAUUUUCGGGAAACUUGAUCUUCAAUUCAUAGUAAUUCUCCCAAGUAGCAUCCUCUGUGGAGUGAUUCUGCCAUUGCACCAGAACUUCGGUCACUGCAGAGUUGCCUUUCUUUACCAUUCUUCUAUCACAAAUCCGAAUGGGAACAUCUUGCAAUAUACCAGCAUCCGUAAUACCUGGCAACGGCACUGUGGUUUGCACAUCUUCUCCCAAAUGCUUUUUUAAACAGGACACAUGGAACACCGGAUGCAACUUAGAGUGAUCUGGAAGUUUGAUCUUAUAAACUACAUUGCCGAUUUGAGCUAAAACUUGGAAUGGCCCAUAGAAACGAGGUUGAAGCUUGUGAAAAGGAUGUGCUGCCAAGGAACUAAAGGGAAAAUACAACGUUGUAAUUAUAUUACAGGACCAUUACUCAAUGUUGGUAAUUUGCUAGGCAAUUUAAUAAUACAUUGUGUUUGGAAGACAGCCAAACUACAGGAAAGUGAUCUCCAAUAUUAUUUUAUAUAUUUUUAUAUAUAUAAUUUUUUUUAAUAAAUAAUAUUAUCUAAACUAAUAAAUUAAUAAUAACAUGGUUCAAAUUGAUAAAAAAUAAUCUUGAGAUCCUGAAUAUUUCUCAUUGAGAGUGGCUAUUAUGGGAAAAUUCCCAUUGAGAUUUCACGCUUGACAAGGUUGGUUGUCCUAGAUAUAUCUCUAUCUGAAUAUCCGAGGGACACCACCCUUGAGAGCCCGAACUUAAGCAUGCUCUUUCUGAACCUCACAGAGAUUUGUGAGCUCUAUCUUGAUGGGAUAAAUAUAUCAGCACAGGGAACUCAGUGGUGCCAAGCAUUAUCAUCUUCACUCCUACACCUGAGGGUGUUGAGCAUGUCUGGAAGCCAGCUCUCAGGUCCUUUUUGUCAGUCCUUCGCAAAACUUCAGUCUCUCUCGGUGAUUCAAUUGGAUAAUAAUGACAUCUCCGGUCCAAUUCCAGGAUUCUUCGCCAAGUUUACAAAUCUGACAGUGUUGAGCUUGAAUAAUAACAACAUUGCUGCUAUGGUUCCAAGAUUGUUUGCCAACUUUUCAAAGUUGACUGCUUUGAGUCUUCAAAAUUGCAAUCUUAAUGGAACAUUACCCAAAGAGAUCUUCCAGGUACCUACUUUACAAACUGUUGACCUUUCGCAUAAUCUACAGCUUCAUGGUUCCCUGCCUGAAUUUCCUGAGAAUGCAUCUCUUCAAUUUUUGGACCUAAGCUUCACAAAAGUUUCAGGGUUAUUGCCGGACUCUAUCGGCAACCUCAAAAUGUUGUCCUUUUUAAAUCUUUUCAAUUGCAGUUUCAGUGGAUCAAUCCCAAAGUCCAUGGCAAGCCUAACAGAAUUGGUUUAUUUGGACAUGUCAUCAAAUAUGUUUAAUGGUUCGAUUGAUUCCAUUUACUGGGGAAACCAUGUUAGUCUCCAAUCUUUAUUUUUGGAGUCAAAUUUACUCACUGGUACUAUCCCGUCAUCUAUCUUUUCUCCUCCCCCUUUGCUGGUACUGACACUUUCCCACAACCGAUUCUCUGGUCAACUCCAUGAAUGUUCUAAUGUCUCGUCCCAGUUAUCUUUGCUAGAUUUGAGUUCCAACAAUUUGGAAGGACCAAUACCUGCCUCUAUAUCUAAUUUUCAAGAGCUUGCAUAUCUUCGUCUUUCUUCAAACCAUUUCAAUUCGUUUCCUUCCAAUGGUCAUCCUUGUCAAUUUGAAGAGUUGUAUUUGGCUUUUAACAAUUUGAGAGCAGUCCCAGAUAUCUUGAGAUAUCAAACCAGCAUAAGAAGAUUGGACCUUUCAGGUAACCAGAUUCAAAAAGUACCCAAUUGGUUUUGGAGCCUCCAUUUGCUCGAUUACCUAAAUCUUUCUUCCAACUACUUGGUAACUCUAGCAGUUCCUUUUAACUAUACAAAGGAAUUCUCCACACUUGACCUUCAUUCUAACCAACUCAAGGGGUCCAUCCCACUAUUGCAUGCCAAUUAUCUGGAUUACUCAAGCAAUCAUUUCACUUCUAUACCGACUAACAUUGGUGAUUUCCUCAAUCCCUCCACUAAGUUCUUAUCUAUUUCGAGCAAUGAUUUGCAUGGGCUCAUUCCAUCAUCAAUAUGCAAUGUAAUUCCUUUGGUAAUUCUUGAUUUGUCCAUUAUUUCUCUGAGUGGUACGAUUCCCCAAUGCUUGUCUGCUAUGAGCCACCUUGAAGUGCUUAACUUGAGGCGAAACAAUCUUACUGGAAGUAUUUCUGAUUUCAAAUUUUUUGAAGAUUGUGACUUGGUGUCUCUAGAACUCAAUCAGAAUCAAUUACAUGGUCAAUUUCCAAAGUCUCUAGCCAAAUGCAGUAACUUACAGGUUGUAAACCUCGGAAACAACUAGAUAACAGAUACCUUUACAUGCUUGUUGAGGAACAUCCCACCUUGCGUGUCCUUAGUUUGCGGUCCAACAAACUUUAUGGACGCAUUGGAUGUCCCGACGAGAGCUAUGGAACGUGGCCAGUGCUACAAAUCAUAGACGUAGCUCACAACAAUUUUCAUGGAGAAAUACCAGGAAGGUAUUUGAAAACCUGGCAGGCAAUGAUAAAUAACGAAGGUGAUGACCCGUCAGCAGUCCACGAGCUUUAUUCUGAAGAUAGUAGUUUGAAUGGUUAUCAUCAGACAAUAACAGUCAUAAGGAAAGGUUUUGAAGUCGAACUGGUAAAGAUUCUAACUAUCUUCACCACCAUUGACUUCUCUUGCAACAAUUUUAGCGGACCAAUUCCUAAGGAAAUGGGAGAAUUCAAAUCACUAUAUUUCCUCAACUUGUCAAGUAAUGCUUUUACUGGUGAAAUCCCAUCGUCAUUUGGCAAAAUGAGACAACUCGAGACCUUAGACCUGUCGCAAAACAAGCUGAGGGGGAAUAUUCCAUUGCAGUUGGCAAACCUUACUUUCCUUUCAUUCUUGAACCUCUCAAAUAAUCAAUUGGUUGGCAGGAUCCCAACCGGUCCUCAGUUUUCAACAUUUACAAGUGCAUCAUUUACAGGUAACAAAGGAUUAUGGGGGCCUCCUUUAACAGUAGAUAGCUUGUCACCACCACCAACAUUGACUGGGAGUGUUCCGAGUUCUGGAAAUGAGAUUGAUUGGGGUCUUAUCAAUGUUGAAAUUGGAUUUGUAUAUGGCUUUGGAGUUGCAGUCGGGUCACUUGUAUUAUGCAAGAGAUGGAGUAAAUGGUAUUACAAAACAAUGUAUAAAAUCUUUGUAAAGAUAUUCCCUCAUCUUGAAGAUAGAAUUGGUCCUCACCGAAGACAUGUCCACAUAAAUCAAAGGUUGGGACGCUGAAAUUAACGAUCAUGGCGACCAAUGCAGCUGGAUUUCAAGCUAUGCCUGGGAAAUUUGAGAUCCAACAAAUAAGAAGUUUGCUUUUUGGUUUUACCUUAUAAUUUAUGUAUGUUCUAGUUAUAUUUGUAAUAGUUUAUUGUGUAUCUUUAUGCUUUGUUUUCAAUAAAUUUGCUUGUACUGUCGAUGUUCCUAAAGUUAGCGUAAUCUGAUAAGCCCAAAAGAGAGUACCACAUGUUGUUAUGUAUUAUUUGUUCAAACUGGGUAGUAACAUGUCAAGACCAACUCCAUCCAUCAUAAUAUUCUAAAAAAGAAUAUCUUGACUUUGAAUUGCGAUAUGUUUUUAACAUUCUGCCAUUAAUUCAACUCUAAACUCAUCAUAUCUAGUAUACAACACCCAAUGUUUUGUUUUUCACCUCAAUUUGUAACAGAACAAACUCGCUCUUCUUGUUUCAGGAUUUCCUCACCAACUUUUAUGUCUGAGAUUGCAUCAAAAGGCAAAAACCAACCCUCUUAGGUAACAAAUAGAAAUGAAAAACUCAAAUGCUUUUACAAAAAUCAGCGAACUACUGUUCAAGCAGUAUUCUCCCUUUGAUGCCUGAGCAUUGUUCUAAAAAUCCCCGCCUAGGCGUUAGGCGGCUGGCCAUUGCCCCGAUUAAUGCCUAGGCGGAUGAGGCACCCGAACCCACCCAUAUUUGCCUAGGCACCUGCCUAGGUUGCGACUCACUUAGACAGAAAAUAAAUAACUUUCGAUUUGCAUUUAUUUAUUUUUUCGAUAAAUUGUAAGAGACUUAUUGAAUACUAGCACACACUCGAUGCUUGUUUCCCAUGUUUUCAUUAUGUUCCGAUACUUCAUAAUACAUAUGUCAUUCUAUUUUGUAGUUGAUGAUGAAAUUAUAUUUAUUAAGUAUAAACAAACACUUAUUUACACGAAAUAUAAUGGAUUUACUUAAAUCCGCCUAGGCACCCGCCUAGCCACCUAGGCGCUAGGCCUCAGCCCGCCACCCGACUAGCGCCUAAUGUCUUUUAGAACCUUGUGCCUGAGCACAACGGAAAGUUAAGAAACCCUACAAGGGCUUACAAGAGUUAAUCACUCGCCCUAUUGUUAACUGGUUUUACAAUGAACAUCAACUUCAAUUUUAGGACAAUCUCUAACUUGUAUUUUAAGACUUUUAGCUGACAAAGGCGAAGUAUCUAUCGCGAUGAUUAGGUCUUCCCUAUUAACUCUUAACUACUAAAAGAGAGGGUUAACACUUAACUACUAAAGGAUUUGAAUUGGGUUUGUUCCUCUGUGAGAGACUUAAUUGAAGGAAGUUACCCCGAUAAAUCCUCCACCAUAUCAUAGUUACAUACAACAUGAGCAUACACAAACCGUUCUGUUUUUCUUCCACCUAUAAUGGUAUUUGUAUUUGGUCGACUAUAUAUUGGCUUAGUCAGUCAAAAACUAAUAUAGGAGAAACAUGUAGAUUGCAGAUAUGCCUAGACUACUUCAAAGUCAAUCAAAUCAUAAACCUGAGUAAUGCAUGUAAGGUGGACUAAUACAACAUGGUUCUAGGAUAACAAUUUAACAUGCAUCAAGAUAAUUACAAGAAGAAGAUGCAUGAUACUAACCUGCACCGAUUGGAGACAUGGUGGCUUGAGUUCACAGGUUGUCUUCUACUUCCAGUACUUCAAAAUGUCUCUCUACCGUGAAUAGGGUUUGGCGUGAUUGAGAGUAUAAGCGUAUGGAAGCAGGGACUUAACCAUAAUAUUUAUAUCAUUAGGGUUUAAUCACAACCAACCUAUUAUUGGUUGUGAAAGUCAAACCCUAUCACUUAAGUGUUUAAGUCCCACCAUGAUACUGUAUCUUUGUAGUGAAAUCCAUCAGAUUUCUUUUAGGUCAAUUGCAAAGGCUAAGACUCCAUAAUCCUUAUUUCAUUUGGACUAUCAGAUUACUUAAUUUGUUAACAACUCAAUAAACAAGUGGUCUACAACAUAAGUAAUCCAAUACAUCAUUCAUUGUCAUUCACAACCUUACAAUGCACUGAAGAUUUCUGCUCUGGAAUCUCUGACGCUCAGGGAAUAAGCAAAAAGCAUGCAACAAAGCCUCCAAUGUUAAACCUGAAAUAACAACAGUAUAUCAAGUUUAAUUUUCUUUUCACUGGAAAUCAUACAAAAGAAUCAAGCAAGCCCACCGAACCAAUGUUUAGUAUAGUUGUAGCUAGGCACUGACUCAUUCAAGUGUGUUUAUAUGGAAGCUAAUCUAAAUUAUUUGUUCAAUUUAUCUGGUUAGUAACAUGUCCAGACCAACUCCAUGCAUCAUAAUAUUCUUCAACUGAAUCUGGACUCGUUCGAUGUAUUAUAUGGAAGUCAGCAAAAUUAUGGAGAUGAGAUUGAUUGGGAUCUUAUCAGUGUCGAAAUUGGAUUUGCAUUUGGGUUUGGAAUUGUUGUCGGGUCAUUGUUUUGUGAAAAAGAUGGAGUAAACGGUAGUGUGAGCUUGAUCUGUUACAAUUUUAUAAUUUGAUGUCGAAAGUUUUUAAAAGGUAGAAAAGAACGACAUAUUCAGGAUCAAAUUUUUCAUAAUGUUUUUUAAUCUUCUUUUCGAUACAAGAAUCAGCAUUACUCACUAUCGAAAUGAUAUAUUCUUGAACAAAUUUUCAAAAGUACGGAAUUUGACACAUAAAAUACAAAUCAUAAAACUAAAAUGGUGCUCAACAGAAGACAGAAUUAAACAAAAAAGGUGAUACAAGCAACAUUAAAUUAAACAGUUUUACUUAAUCGAGCUUCAUUUGACUGACUCUUCGCUUUUUCUUUUUUUUUAGGCCUUGGUUCUUAGCUUUUGCUUUUGUGGUUCUCCUCUUUGUUUGCAUUGCUGAUAUCAUGAACAUUUACUCUGUUUUAGCUUUGAUUUUUCUGGACGAAGACUUCCUAGUCAAGCUAAACAACGACAAAUCUAAUGGAGAUAUUUUCCCCAACAUUAAAGCCGGCACCGCAUCAAUACAAGCUGAGCGGGGAAAUCCCUUCGUAUCGUGGUGAGCAAUAUUAUUUUUCCAUCACUAAUCACAUUAAAAUAAUAAUAUGUCCUUUUCCAAAAAUUGACUUCCAAUUCAAGAUGCACGACUUAACAAUGAUUUCACAUUAUAAAAUUAGGUAAUGUUUAUGUUACGUAACGAUUCAUUUGUGUUGUUGUAUACUAGAGGGGAUCAGUCAAGGGAUAAACUAUCAUACGGCUUCGUGAACUUUGUCAAAUUGCAAUGGAGUUGAAUCUCCUUAAAAAGAGUGAGAUACACGUGUCUCAACCUAAUAGUUUACGUGCUUCUUAGAAAAAUAUUACAAUUUUCUUGUACUUUUCCUGACAAAAAAUAUAUAGUAUUUCUAAUUUUCUAUCAAGUUACUUGCCUGGCCAGAAGACUGGGUCACUGGAGCACAGCUGCUUAUUUCAAUUUAAGCCAAUUUCCUCCAGUGACUUUGAAUUAGUCGCUUCAAACCUUUUUUUCCUGGUUCGAGUCGGAGAAAAUUAUUUUAAUGGUUUAAGACUUCAAAUUCGUUUUCUCCAUCAAAUUAUUUAGAAUACAUUUGAUAAUUACUUUUUAUUUUUUAUUUUAAUGGUUUAAGAGCCAUACAUAAUAUACAUAUAAACAAGUCAAUCCCCUUGAGUCACUUCAGAUUUUAAAAGUGAUAGAUUUGAUAGGAUUUAAGAGGAUUAAAGAUUCAUACAAAAUUCAUAUGGAUUUGAAUGGAUAGUUUGUAGAUUUUGGUGGAUUGUGAUGGAAGGAUUUGAAAUCCUAGGGGGUGAGGUUGGAUUCCUUUUAGCCUUGGUUACAUAUAGAAAUCCUUAGAAAUCCUUUAAAAUCCACAACUUAUAGAAAUCCCCCAAAAUUUGAAUACACUUAGAUUUGGAUGAAUUUUAAAAUCCUUUAAAAUCUUUUAAUUGACUACACCUAGAUUUUAAUGGAUUCUAAAAUCCUUUAAUUGACUACACCUAUAUUUUAAUGGAUUCUAAAAUCCUUUAAAAUCUUUUAAUUUACUAAACUAGGAUUUUAAAGUCUUUUAGAAUCCUCUCAAAUACAAGUUUGACUACACCCAAUACGUUUGAUAAUUACUUUUUUUUUAAAAUUAAAAAUAGUUACUAAAUGAAUUUUUAAUUUAAAAAAAGAUAAAUAAAAAAUAAAAACGAAAUAGUUAUUAAAUAACCUCUUAAAGCUUAAAAAUCAUUUUAUUUAUUAUUUUUAGUUUUCACUUUUUGUACUUAAGAUAAGGGAAAAUAAGAGAUGGACUGGUUACAAAUGUAGAUGUUGUGCAACUGGCUGUGCGGAACUGAGAUCCAAAUUACAUCUACAUCACAACAAACCACAGUUGAAUAAAAUGGGGCCCUGUGUGAAAAUUAAAACGGGACCCUUUCACACACAAGACUUAUUUUUUUGUGUUUAAAACAAUUUUUUUCCUUCUAUGGUAUAUUUAGAGCACUUUGAAAGUUGGGCAAUCCCCUAUGGGGUAGGCUAUUCAAUGCCCCAAUCCCUCCAGCAAUUGGCUCCAGCCCAAUCCAAUCAGCUAGGCUUCAGGCGAGCUUGAACUGUCCACCAGGCCGAAAUCCAUGGGUAUAGCCCCCAAGCUGACGUCAACUAUUAAAAAAUUAUAAAAUAUUAAUAAAUUAAAUAUAAAUACAAAAAAUAUAAUUUUUCUAUAAAUACCUAAACUUUCUUCAUAUAUCAAGCACAAAAAAGUGAAAACCAAAGUCAAUGAAAUGGUUAUCAUGAAAUGCUUUAAUUCACUUGUAGAAUUAAACACUAUUUCAUUAAUUACCCCACCUGUAGAUUUGUAAAAGAGAUACUUAAUCAUAGUUUGAAAGUGCCUUUAAAAUAACUGAAAGUACUUUUAAAGAAAAUGUUUUUAAGUUCCAAAAGCACUUGAAGUGUUUUUUGGGUCGAAGAAGCACCACUUGAAGUGUUUUUUCCAAAAUUCACUUGCGUUUUUACUAAUAAUUAAUUCUAGAAAUAUUUUUACUAAAAAAACUUUCUGUUAUUUUAAAAUCACUUCUAAACAAGCUAUUAAAUAAAAUCGAGAAGAUAAUACAUGUAUCUGAACGUGGGGAACACACUCCCUUGCGUGAAGUUUUAGCCCCUCUCUUGUCAACAUUGAAAAAACAACCCACAAUUUAAACCCCACAAGGAAUAUGGGGAAAGACUUUGAAGUCAACAAGUCAAGCAAACCUCAAAUUUGGUAGAAACCAUCAACCAUGUUUUUCUCAGAGUCUCUAAGAGUCAUACAUACACACGUCAAUCCAUUUGAGUCACUUCAGUUAUUUAGAAUCCGUUUCAUAAUUAUUAUUAUUAUUUUUUAUUUUUUAAAUUAAAAGUAGUUACUAAAUAAGUUUUUAAUUUUCAAAAAAAAAAAAACGAAAUGGUUAUUAAACAGCCUAUUGGAGCUUGGAAAUUAUUUUAUUUUUUUGUUCGUAGUUUUCACUUUUUUGUACUUGAGAUAAGGAAAAAUGGGAGAUUAAAUGGUUAUACAUGUAGAUGUUGUACAAUUGGCUAUGCAAAGCUGAAAUUUAAAUUACAACCAUAUCACAACAAACCACAGUUUAAUAAAAUGGGGCACUGUGUGAAAAUUAAAAUGUGGCCCUUUCACGCACAAGACUUGUAACGCCCCGGCUUCAAAAUAUUUAUUUUCGGGAAAAACAAUUUCUAUGGUAGGCCCACAAUUGAUAUAUAUGUCUUAUCCACGAUCAUUCACCACAAUUCUCUCUAAAAAGCCUUGAUUCCACCAAUGGCUCUUAAUUAAAAAUUCCUUAUCAAAUGUACAAUUAAAUUUCUAUUUUAUCACCAAGUCCUUUACAUGGACAAAUUUCUAGAUUUCAACACUAAUUCUCAAAUUUCUUAACCUUACUUGAUUUAUGGCUGCAUCUAACAUCUUAUUAGACUGCCUACGUACCCUGAACAGGGAUCAAGCCAUUUGUAGUUCAUAAUUCAAUAUUUUCCAAUUUCCGAACAUAAUCUCUAAUCCACCAUAUUCAUAUCAACCGUUACAACCCAGUUCAUCUCAAAUGGGUACCAAUAAAGAUUCAGAAUAUCGAAACUUACAUGAAAAAUGGCAACGUCGGCUCCCUGGGCGUGAGCCGCCGCACCCGCCGCCGCCAGUGGUGGUCGGCCGCCUCGAAUUGCCGGAAAAUUCCACUAUUUCUAAAAAUUCUCAUAAAAAUACAUAAAUAAAGAUCUCAAAGAGUAGAGCAAACUUUAUACCUGUGGUCAAGUCCAAUUUGGCCUGGAAAGGCUCCAAUUUGAUUCAAACCCGCCGGAAACCCUUGAAUUUGGGUAUUUUUGAUUCGACUCCAAAGCUACUCCGACGCCUCAACCAUUACUUGGGCUUUGUUCCAGGCUUCAAGACGAAUCUAAUGGUGGUGGUAAUUUAAUGAAAUCGUUUCGGAUUUGGGUGAUUCGAACACAACACCACCGCACCCUACCGUGUGGAUUCACCCAUUUUCAAGGCCAAAACCCUUGAUUUUUGAGGUGUAAGAGGAAGAGGGAAGGUUAUGGGGAGGUUUUCAAUUGACUUUUUCGUGGAAUUCACUGGAAAAACCGUCGGAAAAGCCGAAUGGGUAGCUGGGGUUCACGGGUCCGUUCGACCCGACCCCUUUUCCCCUUCUUCCUUUUUCUCUCCUUUCCCUCAUUUCUUUCUCCUCCCAUUGGUCCUGCCCCCUCCUUUCUCUCAUUUCCCUCAUUUCUCUUCUUUCCUUUUCAUCCCAACCGUCCAUCUCAUUUUUUUCUUAUUUUCUUUUCAUCUCAGCCACACAAGUGGCACACCACAGAUUCCAGAAAAUCUGGAAUGUUCCCACUAGAUGUCAAAAUGACUAGUUUACCCUCCACUUCUAUCAUUAAUAUCUUCCUCGUUAUAACUUCAUUUCACGAACUGUUCACGCCUACGCGUUCAUGAGAUCGAGCUCUAUCCAAAAUAUAAAUUGUGACCUCAAAGGGUCUACGGGUUUUAAAUAAUUAAUUUCCAAACUUUAAACCUCGUAACCAGUUUAAUUGAAAACUAAACUCAAUUGAAUUUAUAUAAAUUCUCGAUUCUUUUCACAUAUCCAUAAUUAUGAAUAUCCAAUUCAUAUAUUUAAAUUUUAUAUCAAAUUCAUAUAUUUAAAUUUUAUAUCAAAUUCAUAUAUUUAAAAAUUUCAGGGUAUUACAAGACUUUUUUUUGUGUGUUUAAAAGAUUUUUUUUCUUCUAUGGCAUAUUUAUAAAAGUACAAAACUUAGUCUGAAAGUCAACUUUGUAACACAAUAUCUUCUACUAAAUAAUUGAUAUAGAAGAAUUUAAGGGAAGGUAUAUGUUAAACAAAUGAAGUUUUUAACAAAGAAAAAAUAUAUAAAAAGAUACAGUAUUUUUAAAACAGAAAACCAUUUGGGUAUUUUUCAAAUUUGUACUUAGUUAAGUUAUGCAUAUAUAGUUUUUUUUUUUUUUGGAAUAUAUAAAAUUGAAAUAUAUAUGGAAGCUAAUCUAAAGUAUUUGUUCAAUUUAUCCAGUUAGUAACAUCACUUUAAUCGCUUUUGUAGAAUGCCGCUUCGAACCAAAAAAUUAAACAUGAUUUCAUUAAUUACUUCACUUGUAGCCUUGUAGAAGAGAGACUUAGACCUCGUUUAGAGGUGCUUUUAAAAUUAUUGAAAGCGUUUUUAGAAAAAAAAUGUUUUUGGGUCUCAAAAACACUUGAAGUGUUUUGUGGAAGAAGCAUCACUUCAAAUGAUUUUCCAAGAUUCAUUUUUGUUUUUAUAGAAUAUUGAUUCUAAAAACAUUUUUUUUCUUAAAACGCUUUUAAUUGUUUUAAAAAUACUUUCAAACAAGUUUUUAUAUGAAACUAGGAGUAUAACGCAUGUAUCUGAACGUGGGGUAUACAUUGUUUCGUGAAGUUUUAGCCCCUCUGUAGGGGCGAAAUUUUACCCUCUCUUUUCCACUCAGUGGUCUGUCAGCAUUGAAUAAAACAACCUACAAUUUAAAAUUCUUCAUACAUACAUACAUUACCAUCACCACGAUAAGGGAUACGGGGAAAGACUUUGAAGUCAACAAGUCAAGCAAACCACAAAAUUAUACCCGCUAUACAUACCCAUCACCACGUUUUCUGUAGUAUGGCUCGCUUAAGUUAACGAAUUUUUAAUUUUUGAAAAAAAAUAAAAAAUGAAAAUAGAAUGAUUAAUAAAAUAUAGGACAAUUGACGCGUGAGAACUAUAAUUUGGACUAUGAAGAACUUUAUAAAAUAUAGGACAAUUGUUACACAUUCGGAUAAACAAAGCGCAUAAACACACGUUCACAGUUCAACUUCAUCAUGGUUUCAGCUGAGCUUAGAUAGUCAUUUCGGUUUGUAUUGACUGACUAUGUAUUGCCUUAGUCAGUCAAUAGCCACUGGAAAAUGAGGAUAGGAAAGCAACGCAGUCAGACUAGAACGCCAUGUUGUAUUAAAAAUAUCUAGAAAUCAAUUAAACUUUAUCAAAAGUCAUGAAUUGAGACAAUCAAGACUUCAAAAUCAACGUCAACCAAUAAAACCAAGAUUUUUUUUUUGAAAUGUUAUAUGAAAUUAUACACCUUCAAUUUAUCAUAUAUGAACUAAAAUUUUAAACGAUUUGUUAUACCAACUUUCUGAAUCAUUAAUUUUUCAUCUAACUCUAACUUCGUUAAGUUUUUCAUUCAAAAUAACUCAUGUGCAAGGCACCCAUAACUUAUGUUCAGGAGUAAUUUUAGACAUUUCAACGAGUGUCGCCCUCACUUCUCCCUUUGCAUUUAAUAACCACAAAAGGCAUCAAAAUGCCUUUCAUUCGUCUCUGCUUUUUAGGCACACACCCCAUUUUACUUCUCACACACUUUUUUAAAUUUCAGCCGUUGGAUCGGAUAAAUUGAAGAAGAUCUAACGGACAGAAAUUAUCAAGGGUGUGUGAGAAGUAAAAUGAGGUGUGUGGAUAGCACACCCCUUCCUUUUAUUCUAGUCUGCUUUUCUUUUAGCUGUGCAGGGAAAACAACAUUCUAUUUCAUUUGAACCACGUUAUUAUUAGUUCAUUAUAACUUUAAAUUUAAAAUUUCUCUUUAGUAUAUCAUUUGUUCAAAAAUAAAAAUAAAAACUCAUAAGAGUAUAUUUCCAAAUUUAUUGAGGUCAAGGGAUCUCAAUGCACCUUUGUUGGCUUUGCUAAUGAAAACAUUGCAAAGUACGUGAUUUAUUUUAGAUGGAAAAUUUAAUAGAGUUGGUAUGACAAAUCGCUUAAAUAUUAGUUCAUAUGAUAAAUUUAAAAAAAAAAGUGUAAAAAUUCCUAUAACAUUUCAAAAAAAAAAAAUCCUAAUCUAACAAUUCUACAGUGCCAUAUAUAAAUCCAAGUAUAUUAAUUAGUAUAUUUCAUGCGACAAAUUUCCACUUGCCACAUUGCCUAAAGUAGUACUACAAUUACUCUUAAGCAAUAAUAUUUCGCUAUUGAAAAACAACCCACAAUUUAAGCCCCACAAGGAAUAUGGGGAAAGACUUUGAAGUCAACAAGUCAAUCAAACCAUAAAUUUGGUAGAAACCAUCACACACGUCAAUCCGCUUGAUAAUUAUUAUUUAGAAUCCGUCUGAUAAUAAUUAUUUUCUUAUUUUUAUUUUUUAAAAUUAAAAGUAGUUAUUAAAUAAGUUUUAAAUUAAAAAAAUGAUAAACGAAAAAUAAAAACAAAAUGAUUAUUAAACAGCCUAUUGGAGCUUGGAAAUUAUUUUAUUUUUUGUUUGUAGUUUUCACCAUUUUGUACUUGAGAUAAGGGAAAAUGGGAGAUGAAAUGGUUAUACAUGAAAAUGUUGUGCAAUUGGCUGUGCGGAACUGAAAUUCAAAUUACAACCACAUCAUAACAAAUCACAGUUCAAUAAAAUGGGGCACUAUGUGAAAAUUAAAAUGUAGUCCUUUCACGCACAAGACUUUUUUUUUGUGUGUUUAAAAGAUUUUUUUUUUCUUCUAUGGCAUAUUUAUAAGUACAAAACUUAAUCUGAAAGUCAACUUUGUAACACAAUAUUUUCUACUGAAUAAUAGAUAGAGAAGAAUUUAAAGGAAGGUAUAUGUUAAAGAAAUGAAGUUUUUAACCAAGAAAAAAAAUAUAUAUAAAAAGAUACAGUAUUUUUAAAACAGAAACCAUUUGGGUAGUUUUCAAAUUUGUACUUAGUUAAGUUAUGCAUAUACAGUUUUGUUUGGAAUAUAUAAAACUGAAUAUAUAUCCCUGUUCCUUCGGGACCCCCACAGCCGACACUGAGUAAGACCAAAUUGGUCUUUGGCUCACACGCCAUUACACAUUCUAUAAUUACAAAGAAGAAUAACUAGGGACCUGCCUAUUACAUUUGGUCACAUUUGGUCACAUAUCAGCAACAACUUCCGAUGAAAACUCCUCUGCUUUCAUGGCUUUUCUUACUCCGCAUUUGCUAUGUUUCACUCACCUUCCAUACGUUUGUGGUCUCUACCCAAUGUCCCGGCGAUCAGCAAUCUUUGCUGCUGCAAUUGAAGAACACCCUCACAUUUGACCCUGCAACGUCUCAAAAACUUGUGAACUGGAAGAAUGGAUCGGAUUACUGCUCUUGGGAAGGAGUGUCCUGCAAAGAGGGUUGUGUUUCGAAUCUGGACUUGAGCAACGAGUGGAUUACUGGUGGACUUGAUAAUUCCAGUCCUCUUUUCGGUCUGAAGUCGAUCGAGAACCUGAACUUGGCUAACAACUCCUUCAACUACACUCAGAUUCCUUCCGAGUUCAAGCAGCUAACCGGUUUGCAUAACCUGAACUUGUCGUGUGCUGGCUUUGCGGGGCAGGUUCCGAUUUAGAUUUCGCACUUGACGAGGUUGGUAACUCUUGAUUUGUCUUCCUUGCACGUAAGCGGUUCUGGCUUAUAUGGUAGAUUCCCAGAGAAGAUCUUCCAGGUACCUACACUACAGACUAUUGAUUUGUCAGGCAAUGAACAGCUUCAGGGUUCCUUACCCGAAUUUCCAAAGAAUGCAUCUCUUCGGUCCUUGGUUCUACGCUGGGCUAACUUUUCAGGGUUACUACCGAACUCUAUUGGCAACCUCAAAAUGUUGUCCAAGAUAGAUCUUCGGGGGUGCAAUUUCACUGGAUCAAUCCCAAGUUCAAUAGCAGACCUUCAUCAAUUGGUUUAUUUUGACUUGUCAUGGAACAAGUUCAAUGGUUCAGUUCCAUCCUUCAGUAUGGCCAAGAAUCUGACCCUAAUAUAUCUUUCUGCCAAUCUACUUGAUGGGACUAUUCCGUCAUCUCUGUUUUCUCUUCCCAUGCUGCAAGGUUUAGAGCUUUCUAACAAUCACUUCUCUGGCCAGUGACCUGAAUUUGGUAAUUUUUCUUCCCUACAAGUCCUUGAUUUGAGUAGCAAUAGUUUGGAAGGGCCUAUACCCAUGUCGAUCUUUAAUCUACGAGAGCUUAGAACACUCUCACUUUCUUCAAACAACUUCAGUGGGUCCUUUCCGCUUAAUGAUAUUCAACAACUGAAAAAUCUCCAAGAACUUUAUCUUUCAUACAAUAGCUUGCUAAUUAAUCAUUACAGUUCCAAUUCCUCCUACUCCUUUCCUCAACUUCGCGCAUUGAAAUUAGCUGCUAGAAAGUUGAGAACCUUUCCUGAUUUCUUGAGAAAUCAAUCAAUAUUAGGCCUUUUGGACCUAUCCCUAAACCAGAUCCAUGAAAUACCCAACUGGAUUUGGAGGCUUAGUGGUCUUUAUAUACUAAAUCUUUCUUGCAACUCUCUGGUAAAUCUACCAGGUCCUUUCCUCAAUCUUACUUCUCAAUUGUUUAUGCUUGACCUUCAUUCCAACCAGCUUCAGGGACAAAUUCCAAUGCUUCCACCAUCUGCCGGUUAUCUGGAUUACUCAAGAAAUAAUUUCAGCUCAAGCAUACCGGCAGACAUUGGUGAUUUCCUUAUGCAGACAGCGUUCUUCUCUCUUGCAAGUAAUCACAUCCACGGGAUCAUUCCAGAAUCAGUAUGCAAGGCGACAUUAUUUCUUGAAGUUCUUGAUCUGUCCAAUAAUUCCUUAAGUGGCAUGAUUCCCCAGUGCUUGACUGCAAUAAACGGGCCUCUUGCAGUACUUGAUUUAAGGAGAAACAAACUUUCUGGCACUCUUCCUGAUAAUUUUCCUGAGAACUGUAGUCUACAAACUCUAGACCUCAAUGGCAAUGUGAUUGGUGGUCAGUUCCCAAAAUCUCUAGCCAACUGCAGAAUGUUAGAGGUGUUAAACCUGGGAAACAAUCAGAUAACAGAUGUCUUUCCAUGCUUAUUGAAGAACAUAUCCAGCUUGCGUGUACUUGUCUUGCGUUUCAACAAAUUUUAUGAUAGCAUUGAAUGCCUUAAGACUAAAAGUGCCUGGCCAAAGCUUCAAAUUGUUGACAUAGCUCGCAACAAUUUUACUGGCGAAAUACCAGGAAGUUUUUUGAAAACGUGGCAAGCAAUGAUGGCUGACAAAGAUGGUGCCGUGUCAAAGCAAUUUCAAGUUGUAGACCUCGGCCAGGUGUACUAUCAGGAUACUGUAACAGUUACCACCAAAGGUCUAGAGAUGGAAUUUAUAAAGAUCUUAACAGUCCUCACCUUAAUUGACAUGUCCUGCAACAAUUUUAAUGGAUCAAUACCUGAGGAAGUGGGAAAGCUCAAAUCACUUUAUGGCCUAAACUUGUCCAGUAAUGCUCUCACAUGCGCAAUCCCAUCAUCACUAGGUAAUCUACGACAGCUUGAGUCCUUAGACCUUUCGGACAACAAAUUGAGCGGAACAAUUCCAUCAGAAUUUUCCAAACUUAAUUUCCUCUCAUUCCUAAAUCUGUCGAGUAAUCAACUUGUCGGGAAGAUUCCAACCGGCACUCAGAUUCAGUCUUUUUCACCAGAUUCUUUCACAUGCAAUAAAGGAUUAUAUGGGCCACCGUUAGAUGACGGAUCACCAAGGUUGCCACCAACAUUAGAAGGCAAACAUUCUAAUUCUGCGCACAGAAUUGAUUGGGAUCUUAUCAGUGUUGAAGUUGGAUUUAUUGUUGGCUUUGGAGUUGCGGUCGGGUCACUUGUGUUGUGCAAGAGAUGGAGUAAAUGGUAUUACAAAACAAUGUAUAAAAUCCUUGUUAAGAUAUUCCCUCAGCUUGAAGAGAGAAUUGGUCCUCACUGAAGACAUGUCCACAUAAAUCAGAGGUUCAGACGCUGAAGUUAAUGGUCAUGGGGACCAAUGCAGCUGGACCUCAAGCUAUGCCUGGGGAAUUUGAGAUCCAACAAAUAAGAGGUUUUCUUUUUGGUUUUACCUUUUAAAUUUGUGUAUGUUAUAGUUAUAUGUGUAAUAGUUUAUUGUGUAUCUUUAUCCUUUGUUUUCAAUAAACUUCCUCGUACCGUCGAGGUUCUUGAAGUUAGCGUAAUUUGAUAUACCCAAAAGAAUGUACUACAUGUAAUGUAUUAUUUGUUCGAAUUGUGUAGUACGAUGUCGAGACCAACUCCACCCAAAAGAGUGUACUACAAAGAACAUCUUGACUUCUGAAUUGCGAUAUGUUUUAACAUCUUGCCAUUCAAUUUUAAACUCAUCAUAUCUAGUACUACAACACCUAAUGAUUUAUUUUUCACCUCAAUUUAUAAGAGAGCAAACCAGCGCUUUUUGUUUCAGAAUUUCCUCACCAACUUUUAUGUCUGAGAUCGCACCAAAAGGCAAAAGCCAACCCUCUCAGGUAACAAGAAGAAAUGAAAAACUCAACCGCUUUUACAAAAUCAGCAAACUACGGUUCAAUCAGUAUUCUCCCUUUCAUGUCAGAGUACAAUGAAAUACUCAUUUGCUUUUACAAGAGUUGAGUCACUCGCCCAAUUUCAACUGGUUUUAGGAUGAACCUCAACUUCAAUUAUGGGACAAAAACUUCUAUCGUUUAAGACUUUAAGUUGACAAAUGCGAAGUAUUGAUCACGAUGAUUAGGUCUUCCAUAUUAACACUUAACUACUAAAAGAGAGGAUAAACACUCAAUAGGAUUUGAAUUGGGUGUGUUCAGUUACCCCGAUAAAUCCUCCGUAGAGCAGACUACGACAGUCACAAACCCACGAUACCAUAGUUACAUAUAAUACAUGAGUUUUUCGGAGAAUAUAUUUCUCUUGCUACCCAGAAAAUCAACAUGAGCAUACACAAACCAUUCUGUUUUUCUUCCACCUAUAACCGUAUGUGUAUAUGAUCGACUAUAUAUCGCCUUAGUCAGUCAAAAACUAAAAUAGGAGUAACGUGUAGAUUGCAGAUAUGCCUAUACAACUUCAAAGUGAAUUAGAGUCAAUCAAAUCAUAAACCUGAGUAAAAUUUCUGGUUUGGAAUCUCUGACGUGCAGGGAAUAAGCAAAAUGCACGCAACAAAGCCUCCAUUGUUAAACCUGAAAUAACAACAGUAUAUCAAGUUUAAUUUUCUUUUCAUUGGAAUCCUGAGUAAACAUAAUUCUUUCAAAAAGAUCAGACGCAAAUGCUUAUAUCCUACAGAUUUGUAAUUUCAUAUUGUGAACUAGCACCGCAACAAAAUAUUUACAUGUAUAUUGCAUAGUAUUUCUAAAUGCUUACAAAUUGGUAGGAUUAGCUAUUAUAUUGCAGUGUAAACCUCCUUCUGAAUGAAUGAAGCCGAGUGGUAUCUCCCACAAAUGUGAAGAACUUGUUGGAAUCAAUGCUUUUCUCUGAAACUUUAGCCCUUACCAAAGACAAAAUCUUCGAUUAAUGACUCAAGUCCACUAAAACAAGUCUAGAAUUUCCAAGCUUAUUCCUAAAUUCUAUAGCUUUAUCAACAAUAAUAUCAGAUGCCUUUGCAAGGUCAAAUUGAAAAUCUGCUGUUGAAAUGAAAGGAAAUGCUAGAGUGGAAACAUCGUUUAGAGAACCAUCACCGCUAACAGAGCCUACAGCUAGCUCUUCACCUUCCUUUGACUCCUUACCAGAUUUUUCAGAAAGUGAACCUGUUCCUUUCAAAGAGGUUUCCUUUUCUUCAGUAAUUUGAGAAGCAUUAGAAUCCUGUACACUCUUCGAAGUUGAUUCAGUAUUAGCAGGACCAUCGGUUUUCCUUAAGAACAUUAUACCUAGUUGAAUUUUUGCACCGGGGUUCUUCUGACCGAAAUAACCAUUGGGAAGUGUAUCUAACGGACCAAGUCCACGAAUGCAUCAACAGAAGAUUGAACAUCACUCUCACUCUGGCAAUAAGUAAUUCUAGCAAACCCUUCACUCAGCUAAGGCAAUUCUUUCUUCUGCAGCAUUCUAUUCACAAUCGCCGCAGCUUUCCCGCCUUGCACAUUUCCUUCAUGGCCCGUUCGCUUCACAUACCGCAAUAUACAAAGCUUGGCAGGAAGAUCAAGCACCACAACAUGAACAAACUUGGGAACUACCACCAAGCUUCACAAAAUCAUCCCUUUGUUCUUCCUCUACAUUACACCUAUCUAUAAACACACUCUUCUCAUCCUUCAACGCAUUCAUUGCACUCUCUAUACACUGCCCUUUCGUUCGGGCUUUACCAUUUUUGAUAGUAUCCUACAAAAACAAAAAAUAUGAACAUAUAACAGCAUAAAACAAGAACCCAAAUGAAUAGAAAUCCGGAGUACCAUACUACGUACUGAAAAUAGCAAUCUAGAGCCCACUGCGACAUUUCAUCGAACACACUGUGUCCACAGAGAUAUACCUGGCAAACGCAAACACAAGGGCGAGUGGAGCGCAUGACAUGUUCGCAGAAGGUAGACAUGUUCGCAGAAGGUGAUGCGUAAAAUAACUAAACACACAAAAUUAAACCCUCUUUUUAUCAAUUGUAGUAAAGUAUGUAAGUAGGGAUCGUUCUAGGCCGGGGAUUAGGAGGGAUUGCUAAAUCACUUGGAAACUGACUUGAAAACGUAAAAACAAAGUUUAAAACACUAACUAGACUCAAAGAAUGCAAAACUAUACUUUAAAACACUAAAACAAACCAAAAGACUCAAAACAGCCCCUAAACACUCAAAACUACCUUAAACACACAAUCUGGGCAGUUUUGGGACUCUAACACAAACUUGGACGAAUUUUGGUUUUCUAAUGAACUAAACACUUAAAAACAUAAUCUAAGACAAGUUCUAUUUUAAUAUGACUCAAAGAAAUAAGAUGGGGUUGAUUUUGGACAAAAAUAAUUAAAUUAAGACAAGAACAAAGUAAACGAAUUCUUAGACAAAUUUAAGUGAAUCAAAACAAAUUGUAAAAUGAAUUUGAAUGAAACUUAUGGAUGGAAGGCUAGCUAGGAGGUUCUUCUCCACACAUGUCACACUUGCAUACAAAACGAUUUCCAGUUGCUUUUCGAUAAGCUAUGAAUACUCAACGCCCCAAAUUAACCGUGAAUUGCACUAAUUAACCCUCAGUUUUUCCACAAGUUAUUAGGUUGGAUGAUCGCAUACGACAACCCAAAACAUUCCCUACAAGUUCCCUACAUGAAUUGCAUAAUAGAGAUACAAGCAAGAAUCAUUAAGUUCUAUGAAAAACAUAAGCAUUGACGAGGCACUCGUUACUAUGAUUUGCAUGAAACUUAUGCCAAGAAUUUACUUAACGUGAUUGUGACUAGCAACCUUCACUACUUGUGAAUAUAAGUUCAUAACGAUUAGGUGAAACUCCCUUAUAUUCUAGCGUCAAAUUCAUGCAUGAAAAUUAAGCGUGCACUCUCAACCAACAUACACAAAUCAGUUUUUAUACGAACGGAUAAGUAAAUUGAAUUCACAACUUAUGAAUCACAACUGGAUGUAAUCAAAUCAUAUUGCAAGUAUGAACAUAGUUUCGAAUCACCCCUAACUAAGAGGGGUUUAGUUCCUCAUACUCACAAAACAAAGAUACAUAAAAUUAGACAUUAAAAUCAAAGGAAAGAAAACACCUAAAAUGCUCCAACUUGGUAGCAAGUGCAUCCAAGAUUCCUCCUUUCCCUAUGCUUGCGGCAGAUUGGGUUAUGGACAGAUUUUGGGUAGUUUUAUGAUGUAGAAUGGAUGGGGAAUGGUAUGGAAGGGUUUAGGGUGAGUGUGGAGGAGUGUUUGAGGGUUGGAGGGUGGUGGAGAACUAGGCAAAGAGGGUGGAAGAAGGUGGAGUGGCUGUUAUGUUUUCUAGGCACUAGAAUGGUGUUUUUUGGGGUGUUUUGCUUCCUAGGGUGUGUAUGGACGAAUUUUUGUGAUAAAAUGAUGAAUAUGGGGGAUUGUUCUUUGGCCAAGGGGUGUAAACAUGUAUUUAUAGGCCCCCAAAAACCUUAGAAAAUCAGGUUAGGUUAAGGAUGAAAUGCAUGGCAAUUUGUGUGUGUGGUGUGCAAUGGUCCAAGGGUGAAAAUGAAGUAAUGAUGCAAAGUGUGAAGGGUAAAAUGGAGUGGUGUUGUAGCUAGGGAGCAUGAAUGAUUGUGUACAUUGCAUAGAGAUGGAAAGGGAGGUGAAAUGUGUCAACAAAUGGGUCAAAGGUGCAACAACAUGUGUUACACAUGGCAUUGGAUUCCAAAUGUGAAUGAUGGAGCAUCAAUUGGUGCAUGUAAUGGAUGUAAAUGUUGUCUAAAAUCUAAUGAGUGAAGGGAACAAGAGGUAUCAAGCAAUUGAGUGUAAUAAUUAAAUAAAUUGAAGCAUGAAAUUAGAAAUUAUGUAGGGGACAAGAGUGAUUAAGCAUGGCAUGGAAUCCAAAGGGAAUUCUAUGUGGUUUGCAUGGCAAGGAAUGCAAGUUGGGGUGACAGAUUUUUGGGCUGUUUUCUUCAUCUUUUGGACCAUAAUUCUUCAUAUUCUUGGCCUCUUUAGUUCUCAAAUUCGUCCAUCCACUUGGCCCAUGCAUUUGACAUCCAUUCCAAGCCCCAUUUUGCUCCAAAAUGCAUCUUCUUGCCUACUUUGUCCAUAAAAUCUGAAAACACACGAAAAUGACUUUAAACAUUAAAAUAACUAAGGAAACACGACAUAAAUGCACAAUAACAAGCCAACUAAGUCGCAUAAAUAUGCUCCUAUCAGAAGGUAGACAUGCCGCUUCCAGGCCCACCUACCAAUAUUACUACGACAGGCUUUCCUUGUUUUUCUUCCCCCGUCAAAAACGCAUACAGGUUUUAUGAUCACCGAAGGCGGCGACGACCGAGAAUGGUAAAACGCGGCGUUUUGGAGAAAGGGCAUACCUUUGACUGUUUCGUCGAUGUCCAUGUCCAUGUUUUGGAAGACUCUGCGAGGCACUUUUGAAUUAACAGCGGAAAAGCAACGGUUUCUUCUUCCACUGGGCUGGAAGCCUGAAGCUUCUAUUGCCGGUGCCUGGUGCUUGCGUAAUGGGACACAUGUCACACAUCGUCGACCCGAAAAUUGACAAGAUCCGAUUCGAUUUGGAUUUUAUCCGUAUUUUAGCCUUCUCGCAAGUGCUAAUGCGUAAAUGAGAAGUAUUUUAUAAUCACGGGCCUUACGAGCGCCCUUUAAAGAUGGGUUUGCUUUAAUUAUUGUUCUAAUUGUUUAACAUUGUUAUUUCGUAAGAAAUUUGCGAGGGCAUUUUCUUAUGAUAUUAGGUAUUUCAAUCAUCUUCCUGUGAUAAUUUUUUCUAUAAUUAUGUUAAAGCCCUCCGUAUUCCGGUAACCUACAACAUGGUAAAUCUAUAGAAAUUAUAAACUUGAUAAUUACGUUUAUAGCACAAAAGCCUAUACAUACAAUCGUGUUUACUUGGUGUACAAGUAAGGAUCUCUUCAAUUUCUUGAUAGCGAUUUUACCACUUGUAAAACAAAGGGUUAAACCAUAGAAAAUUCUUGCAAGAGAACAAGUGUUUGUAGUAUAGAAUGGCUCAAGCAAUGUCGAUCUCCUCAGGGACUGAUAUAAACAAUUUACGAGUUUUUGUGUAUUUAACUUAUUUAACUUUAAGAAUUACACUAAUUUGACGAAACUAAAUAUUACUGGAUGUGACUUAACCAAAUAUCUAACAUGGGAAUUGGUUUAUAGGAACAGUGAUUCAACUUAAACAAAACAAGUAAAUGAGGAAAUUUAAGAUAAAAUAACUGAUUGAAGAAAAAUAGAUUGACAAUAUGCUAGAGUUCAACCUUUACCAACAACACUCCUACGUAGCUAUUCCAAUUGCUUAAAUAAUUGAAAACACACAUGCUUUGAAGGUUGGAAUUUCCUUGUGUAUGUUUUACUUGUGACAUUCAAGUUAAAACGCAUACCACUACAUGCAACUUAUCCAUGACAUUUGGAUUAAAUAUAAACAUGAGUGAUUCAUUAAUCUUGGUGAAAAUCCUUUUGUUAAACCAUGUAAUCCCUAAGAGCAUGAUAUUUACCUUAGGAGAGUACAAUCCUCAAUCACAAGAAGCACAACCAAUUUUAACAUGACAUUCGUUCAAAAUUGCAUCCGAUAACUUUUUAAGCAUCCUAAUGGUGAUCAAGCAUCAAGGUACAUAGAUAGUUUAAUUCAGUGAUUGAAAAUAUCAAAGCAAGCAUGUAACAACACUUAAGCAAUUGAAAAAUAAAUCUACGUAUUCAUGUUGCGGCUCAUGGCCUCACUCUAACAAAAUAAAUUAGUUACACAUAAUUAUUUGAUACAUAAAAAAUUAUCCAUAAAACAAAAUAACAAAAAAAGAAAACAUCCGUUUUAACAAGACGAGCUCUCUGUUGCUCCUGACUUCCUCUGCUCUGCUGCGCCUCUUCUUCUUUGCUUCUGCUACACCUCUGCUUCUGUGCUCUGCUGCGCCUCUUUCUUUUCCUCCCGUCAGUCUCCCCCCUUUUUACUUUUUCUUUUCUUUUCUUUUCCUCUGGUUCCGUCUGCCCUCUGCUGCGCGUCCUUUCUCUUAUAUUUUUUUCUUCGUCCGUGCUCUGCCUUCCUUUCUCUCUGCCUAUUCUUUUCUUUUGUUUUUCUUCUGCCAGUCCCGCACUCCUCUCUGUCUAUUCUGUCAGUGUCUCCCCUCACUUUUAUUAUCUUGCUUUCCUUUUCUUAUUCCUUCCAUUUUUCUUUGUCUGUGUCCCCCAUUUCCACUAAUCAGCUAUAUGCUUUUCUUUUUCUCCACCACAAAAGCUUAAUGGAAGACAAGUCCACUCUCCACUUGCCGUGUCUUUUAUUUGUUUUUACAAUUUCCUUUUCUCCAUUUUGCUUGAAAUUGAUCUUAAAACAAAUUUAACUACACAUUAACACAAGGUAAAAUAAAAAUGCCACAAUUUUAACACAAAGACUUUAUAAAUAGAUGGUAUAAAUGCAUGAAAUAUAUGAGUGAUCAAAUACCCCCAAACUUGCAUUUUUGCUAGUCCUCUAGUAAAACAAAACACAAAACAAAAACACUCAACUAAAACUAGACUCAACAACUUAGUAGCCAACUUCUAAAUUUCGAUUUCAGAGAUAAGUGCUAAUCAUGAAACAAACAACCAAGAACUAAUCAAGAGUUCAAAACAUCAUCCAAUAAUUAACCAAAUUUCCUUCAAACAAAACGUUGAAAUGCCAUGUGUGAGCUAACCAUGUCAAUGCAAUUCCAAACUCCUUUAAAUCAUCAUAUGCAAACAUGUGAGCUUCUCACAAGACAUACGCUCAUUCACUCAUAAGUUUUGGUUAAUGUGUUUCACUCAAGUGAUCUCAUUGUACAUGCCGCCAUAUGCUUGCUUGUCCACCUAACUCGCUUAUCAAUAUUUAAGUAAUACCUUGGAUAAAUAGGACUUUAUUACGGUUGUAAUGGGGCUAAAGGUGAUAGGCUAAUGAAAGAAAGGAUAUGGAAAUCAAAAAUUUUGAGAAAGUACACUUUGAUAGUUUUCCAACACCUCAAUAUCACACCACCUCAAAUUGAAAGCAAAAUAAUAAAACCUCAAGCACCAGUUACUCCCCAAAUUCAACUUCAAAAAGAAAUUUAUACUCUGCAGACACAUUUUCAACAAAUCAACACUCUCCAAUUUUCAUAUAUUUCGUUUUUUUUUUUUCAAUUGAAAGAAACAAAUCUGCAAAAGCUACAUCACCCAUCAAAUUCACAUUUCAUUGUAAUACACAUGCUCCAUCCAUCUUUCUACAUAAAUGAAACCCCCAAAAGCACAACCCAUGUAAUACUUUAUCAAAACAAUAAGGAAUCGAUUUUUGUGUAUGGGCUCAACUCCAAUAUUGGAGCAAGGUAAAGAGAUGUGGCUAACAAAGAAAUGGCUUAGUUAAAGGCUCAAUGGGCUACUACGGAUAAACAUAGCAUAUAAGGUAGGCAUGAAAGGCUCAAACGAUCCAAAGAUGACCUAUAUCACUUCCAAGUUAUUACAUGAAUUGAUUAAUGAAUCGAGUAGUAUAAAGCAAGUUCUAGAGAUACAUGUACAGUGAGAUCAUACGCACAAGAAGGAAUGAGAUUGAUGCAUAAUGGUUCAAUCAUGUAUAGGCUCAAAAACUCACAAGGUUUACAUAAUCUCACAUGAUUCACAUAUGAAACGCUAAAUCAUGCUCAAGUUUCACAUUGACAAGACUAGGCACAUUUAUUUUUCAAGUUGAUUUCUGGAAAUCACAGUUAACACAAAGACAACGAAAAGAACUUAGACUUCUUGAAAGUAAGAAGGAAAUUAAAAUCAAAUCUCAUCAUUGAAUUGAGAAGUAGCUACAAACAACAAUAAAAAUGCAAAAACUUUUUUUUUUAAUUAUUAUUAUUAUUUUUUAAUUUAAUAAUUUUUUUUUAUUUUUUAUUUUUUAACAAGAAGUAAACUAACGAAAUAUAUUUCCACCCAUAAACUUAAUUAUAGCAUUGUCCCCAAUGAUAAUGAAAGGAAUUUUGAACAAUAAGACAUAAAAAUGGAAGGAAAGAAAUAUAAAAUGAAAUAAAGACACAUAAAGAAAAGGAAAGAACACACCAAUUUGUGUAGGCGAGGAGAACAAAUGUGUGAGUAACCCGUGGGAUUAAGAAACUUUGCAGAAGUUGUGGUAGAGAGUUCCUUGGUUUCAAAUCAGACUCCUUUUGCUGGGUUGAUUUGAUUGUGCAGUCUGCAUUCUUCUCUGCUUGUUUCUUCUGCACCACGGGCAGGCACAAGGUAGCUGUGUUGGUCUGUUUCUUUCUUCAAUCUUUCCAAGUGCCCACCUCUUGCUUUCUUUCUCCUUGUCUCUAGCUGAGGAUGAAUUGGUAAAUUGUCUCCACAUGCUUCGAGGUAUCAUUUUCACUUCCCUUAUCUGUUCCCCAGGCAGAUGUGGUAGACGAAGAGGAAGCAUAAGAUGAUGAAGAUGAGUACUCGAGAGCAAGGCUAGGUAAGCAAUCAGGAAGGGGUUCCAGGCAGUUGGCUCCAGAUCGGAAGAUUGAUACCAAGUGCUGGCUGAUUGCUCUCUUUCUCCUUGUCGUAAAACAAAGACAAGGAGAAUGACAGGGAGAAAGCAUGAUAUGAGAUACUAUUGCUUUCAACCUUCAUGAUAUGAAAUACUUUUUCUUUGGAUGGGUUGUAUGCAGAGGUACCCCAAGGAAUAAGGAACACUGAGUGACUCGAGAGGGUUUGUUGGAAAGGCAUUCUCUGAGAAGAAAAAGGUUAUGUAUGUUUGCCUUGCCAUGGAGGAUGAAUGUCGACAUUUAUAGGAAAUAAUAACCGGUACUGUUCUUUCACUCUUGUCUGCCUUUCCGCUUAAUGAUAUUCAACAACUGAAAAAUCUCGAAAGACUUGAUCUUUCAUACAAUAGCUUGCUAAUUAAUUAUGACAGUCUCAACAACUUCAGUGGGUCAUUUCCUCAACUUUUCACAUUGAAAUUAGCUGCUGGAAAGUUGAGAACCUUUCCUGAUUUCUUGAGAAAUCAAUCAAUAUUAAGCACUUUGGACCUAUCUCUAAACUAGAUCCAUGAAAUACCCAACUGGAUUUGGAGGCUUAGUAAUCUUGGUGAAUUAAAUCUUUCUUGCAACUCUCUGGUAAAUCUACCAGGUCCUUUCCUCAAUCUUACUUCUCAUUUGUCUGUGCUUGACCUUCAUUCCAACCAGAUUCAGGGACCAAUUCCAAUGCUUCCACCAUCUGCCUAUUAUCUGGAUUACUCAAGAAAUAAUUUCAGCUCAAGCAUACCGGCAGACAUUGGUGAUUUCCUUGAUUGGACAGUGUUCUUCUCUCUUGCAAGUAAUCACAUCCACGGGAUCAUUCCAGAAUCAGUAUGCAACGUGACAGUUCUUCUAGUUCCUGAUCUGUCCAAUAAUUCCUUAAGUGGCAUGAUUCUCCAGUGCUUAACUGCAGGGAACAUGUCCCUUGCAGUACUUAAUUUAAGGAGAAACAAACUUUUUGGCACUCUUCCUGAUAAUUUUCCUGAGCACUGUAGUCUACAAACACUGGACCUCAAUGGCAAUGUGAUUGGUGGUCAGUUCCCAAAAUCUCUAGCCAACUGCACAAUGUUAGAGGCGUUAAACCUGGGAAACAAUCAAAUAACAGAUGUCUUUCCAUGCUUAUUGAAGAACAUAUCCAGCUUGCGUGUACUUGUGUUGCGUGUCAACAAAUUUUAUGAUCGCAUUGAAUGCCUCAAGACCAAUAGUGCCUGACCAAAGCUUCAAAUUAUUGACUUAGCUCGCAACAAUUUUACUGGCGAAAUCCCAGGAAGUUUAUUGAAAACGUGGCAAGCAAUGAUGGCUGACGAAGAUGGUGCCGUGUCAAAUAUUAAUUACCUCGGAAAUCUUCUAGACCACGACGCGGCAUACUAUCUGGAUACUGUAGCAGUUACCGUCAAAGGUGGAGAAAGAGAAUUGGUAAAGAUCUUAACAGGCUUCACCUCAAUUGACAUCUCCUGCAACAAUUUUAAUGGAUCAAUACCUGAGGAAGUGGGGAAGCUGGUAUCACUCUAUGCCCUGAACUUGUCCAGUAAUGCUCUCACAUGCGCAAUCCCAUCAUCAUUAGGUAAUCUACGACAACUUGAGUCCUUAGACCUUUCGGACAACAAAUUGAGAGGAACAAUUCCAUCACAACUUUCCAAACUUAAUUUCCUCUCAUUCCUAAAUCUGUCGAGCAAUCAACUUGUCGGGAAGAUUCCAACCGGCACUCAAAUUCAGUCUUUUUCAGCAGAUUCUUUCGCAGGCAAUAAGGGAUUAUAUGGGCCACCGUUAGAUGACGGAUCAGCAAGGUUGCCACCAACAUUCGAAGGCAAACAUUCUACUUCUGCGCACGGAAUUGAUUGGGAUCUGAUUGGUGCUGAAGUUGGAUUUAUUGUUGGCUUUGGAGUUGCGGUCGGGUCACUUGUGCUGUGCAAGAGAUGGAGUAAAUGGUAUUACAAAACAAUGUAUAAAAAUCCUUGUUAAGAUAUUCCCUCAGCUUGAAGAUAGAAUUGGUCCUCACCGAAGACAUGUCCACAUAAAUCAAAGGUUCGGACGCAUAAAUUAAUUAUCAUGGAGACCAAUGCAGCUGGACCUCAAGCUAUGCAUGGGGAACUUGAGAUCCAACAAAUAAGACGUUUGCUUUUUGGUUUUACCUUUUAAAGUUGUGUAUGUUCUAGUUAUAUUUGUAAUAGUUUAUUGUGUUAUCUUUAUGCUUUGUUUUCAAUAAACUUCCUCUUACCAUCGAGGUUCUUGAAGUUAGCGUAAUCUGAUAAACCCAAGAGUGUACUUUAUGUAAUGUAUUAUUUGUUCGAAUUGUGUAGUACGAUGUCCAGACCAACUCCACCCAAAAGUGUACUACAAAGAAAAUCUUGACUUCUGAAUUGCGAUAUGUUUUAACAUCUUGCCAUUCAAUUUUGAACUCAUCAUAUCCAGUACUACAACGCCUAAUGAUUUAUGUUUCAGAAUUUCCUCACCAACUUUUAUGUCUGAGAUCGUACCAAAAGACAAAAGCCAACCCUCUCAGGUAAGAACAAGAAAUGAAAAACUCAACCGCUUAUACAAAAUCAGCAAACCACGGUUCAAUCAGUAUUCUCCCUUUCAUGUCAGAGCACAAUGAAAUACUCAUCUGCUUUUACAAAAGUUGAGUCACUCGCCCAAUUUCAACUGGUUUUAGGAGGAACCUCAACUUCAAUUAUAGGACAAAAACUUCUAUCGUUUAAGACUUUUAGUUGACAAAUGCGAAGUAUUGAUCGCAAUGAUUAGGUCUUCCAUAUUAACACUUAACUACUAAAAGAUAGGAUUAACACUUAAUAGGAAUUGAAUUGGGCGUGUUCAGUCAACCCAAUAAAUUCUCCACACAGCAGACUAAAGUAGGAGUAACAUGUAGCUUGCAGAUAUGCCUAGACUACUUCAAAGUGAAUUAGAGUUGAUCUAAUCAUAAACCUGAGUAAUGCACUGCAAAUUUCUGGUUUGGAAUCUCUGACGCUCAGAGAAUAAGCAAAAUGCAUGCAACAAAGCCUCCAUCGUUAAACCUGAAAAAACAACAGUAUGUCAAGUUAUUCUUUUCAUUGGAAUCCUGGGUAAACAUAAUUCUUUCAAAAAGAUCGGAUGCAAAUGCCAAUAUCUUACAGAUUUGUAAUUUCAUAUUGUGAACUAGCACCGCAAUAAAAUAUUUACAUGUAAAUUGCGUAGUGUUUCUAAAUGCUUACCAAUUGGUAGCAUUAGCUAUUAUUGCAGUGUAAACCUCCUUCUAAAUGAAUGAAGCCAGGUGAUAUCUCGCACAAAUGUGAAGAACUUGUUGGAAUCAAUGCUUUUCUCUGAAGCUUUAGCCCUUACCAAAGACAAAAUCUUCGAUUAAUGACUCAAGUCCACAAAAACAAGUCUAGAAUUUCCAAGCUUAUUCCUAAAUUCUAUAACUUUUCUCAACAAUAUUAUCAGAUGCCUUUGCAAGGUCAAAUUGAAAAUCUGUUUUGAAAUGGAAUAAAAUGCCAGAGUGGAAGCAUCGUUUAGAGAACCGUCAUCGCCAACAGAGCCUACAACUAGCUCUUCACCUUCCUUUGACUCCUUACCAGAUUUUUCAGAAAGAGGUUUCCUUUUCUUCAGUAAUUUGAAAAGCAUUAGAAUCCGGUACACUCUUCGAAGUUGAUUCACUAUUGGCAGAACCAUCUGUUUUCUUUAAGAGCUUCAUUAUACCUAGUUGAAUUUUUGCACCGGGGUCAUUCUUCUCAGAAAUUGAAAUAUACUCCAUUAUUAUUUGUUUACAAGAUGGAAGUCCUCUCUUAUAGAGGGCCAAAAACUAGUCCUAACAAGUGGACAAGCCAAAUGAUGAUUACAUGAGGAAAACAUCGAAAAGGAAAAUACGGAGAAAAGGAAAGCAAAGCAAAGUAAUGAUGACUAGCUAUAAAGCAAAGUAAUGAUGGAUAGCUAUAAAGUAAAGUAAUGAUGGCUAGCUAGAGGAAUAAUUACAAGUCUAUUGUCUAUACCAAUAAUGUCUACCAACUAUUGUUGACACUCCCCCUCAAGUUGGUGCGUAGAUGUCAUGAAUGUCCAACUUGCUUUGUGAGUUGUGAAAUACUGAACUUGUGACUGCUUUUGUGAGUAUGUCUGCUAAUUGAUCUUCAGAUUUAACGAAUGGAACUUCAAUAAGUCUUGCCUUAAUUUUUUUCUUUAAUAAAAUGUCUAUCCACCUCCACAUGUCUGGUUCGAUCAUGUUGAACCAGAUUGUGAGCAAUGUCAAUUGCAGCCUUAUUGUCACAAUGUAGACGCAUAGCAUGCUUGGGCCUAAAUCCCAAAUCUCUCAGUAAAUUCUUCACCCAAAGCAGUUCACAUACUCAUGUGCCAUGCUUCGAUAUUCUGCUUCAGCACUUGAUCUAGCAACAACCUUUUGUUUCUUAUUACGCCAAGAGACUAGAUUUCCUCCAACAAUAACAAAGUAUCCUGAUGUUGAUCGUUUGUUAGUUACAUCACCAGCCCAAUCAGCAUCAGUGUAGCCCUUAACCUCAAGAUGAUCAUGUUUUGAAAACAUUAAUCAUUUCCCAGGAGCUAACUUUAAAUACCUCAAGAUACGGUUUACAGCAUCCAUGUGUGUUUCACUUGGUAAAUGCAUAAACUGGCUUACCAUGCUGACUGCAUAUCUUAUAUCUGGUCUAGUAUGUGCAAGAUAUAUUAGCUUACCAACAAUUCGUUGAUAUCUCUCUUUGUUGAUAGGUAUCUGAUCAGGAUAUUCACCAAGUUUGUGAUUCAGCUCAAUUGGGGUAUCUGCUGGUUUGCAUGCUAGCAUCCUAAUUUCCGUCAAAAUAUCAAGAACAUAUUUCCGUUGUGAUAGAAAUAUUCCUUGUUGUGAGCGGGCCACCUCAAUGCCCAAGAAAUACUUUAAAGCAUCGAGAUUUUUCAUCUCAAAUUCACUUGCUAGAUACUUUUGUAGUGUUGCCUUCUCUUCUGGAUCAUUUCCUGUAAUCACCAUGUCAUCCACGUAUACAAUAAGAGCAGUGAUUUUACCUUUCUUAUGCUUUAAGAAAAGAGUAUGAUCUGAGUUGCUUUGCUUGUAUCUGAAAAAUUUCAUCGAUUUGGUAAAUCUCCCAAACCAAGCUCUCGGUGAUUGCUUUAAACCAUACAACGACUUUUUUAGUUUACAAACGUUGUUGGUUUGAUUAGGAUCCAGCUUGCAUCCUGAGGGAAGCUCCAUAUAAACUUCUUCUUCUAAAUCUCUAUGCAGGAAAGCAUUUUUGACAUCGAAUUGUUGCAAAGGCCAAUCAAGGUUUGCUGCUAGGGAUAAGAGUACACGAAUAGUGCUUAUCUUAGCUACAGGGGCAAAAGUCUUUCCGUAGUCAAUGCCAUAUGUCCGCGUGUAGCCUUUUGCCACUAAUCUUGCUUUGUAUCGCUCAAUAGUGCCAUCUGCAUUAAAUUUUACCUUGUAUAUCCACCUGCAACCAACUGAUUUCUUCCCCUUGGGUAGGUUAGUUAACUCCCAAGUGGAAUUUUUCUGGAGUGCCUCCAUUUCUUCAUUCAUUGCACGAGUCCACCUAGGAUCUUUCAUAGCAUCCUCUACACUACAAGGAAUAGAUACAGUGGAUAAUUGAUUCACAAAUGCCUCACAUGAUGUAGAUAGCCUAUGGAGGGACACAUGGUUAGCAAUUGGGUAUUUAACCUUGACUCUAGGAUCAGGAUCAUAUAACUGUUUAGGAAUCCCUCGAGAUUUUCGAGAGGGAAGUUGAUAAUUAAUGGACUCAAUUUGCCUUGACUCAGGUACGAUCUCAAUAGAAUUAGAUUGAUCAGUUACCUGUUGAUUGUGUUUAGGGGCUGAUUGAUCAUGUGGUACCAUCGAAGAAGGCAAUCUCAAGCCAUAUGGACUUAACGUUGCUGGAUGUACUUCUGUGUCUGAUGUUGGAGUCGAUGAUUCUGUUUCUGCAUGUAUUGUUUGAUUACAGUCGUCUGCCGACUUAUCAACAUUUAUCUCAGUUUCUGAAAUUUCUGCAACAAUUUUAAUGUUACUAAUGUCUUGGGUAUCCUCUUCAAACAAACUAUUCUCAUUUUGAAGGGGAUACUCAAUGUCUCCCUUUGAAAAAUAUGUUUCUCCUUCUUGAAACUGGACAUCUGCAGUGAUGUAUAGAGUUUGGGUAGGAGGAUGAAAACAUUUGUAUCCCUUUUUUGUAUCAGAAUAACCCAAGAAUACACACUGGAUGGCACAUGGAUCAAACUUCCCCCGUUGAUGUGGAUAAACCUGUACAUAAGCCACACAACCAAAGACACGUGGUUAUAAGUUUGGGAUAGAUGGAAUGGUGAGAAUGUGGUUAAGUGUUUGGAAUGGUGUUUGAUAUUGGAGAGUAUUGAAUGGUGUUCGAUUUAUGAGAUAUGUUGCAGAACACAGUGCCUCUCCCCAAAACUUAUGACGCAUGUUGGCACUAUAUAAAGAUGCACGAACCACUUCUAAGAGAUGUCGAUUCUUCCUCUCUGUUACACCGUUUUGUUGAGGUGUAUAGGCACAUGUGGUUUGAUGAACAAUACCAUGCUCUUGCAAAUAGUUAUGUAGAGCAUGAUUGACAUAUUCUUCUCCAUUAUCAGACCUGAGUGUCUGAAUUUUCUUGUCAAACUGGGUUGCAACAUAUUGAUGAAAAAAAUUGAACUUGGUAGGAACUUCACUCUUGUGCUUCAUUGGAAACACCCAGGUCAUUCUAGUACAGUCAUCUAUAAAUGUCACAAACCAUCUAAAUCCAGAAGUGGUAAGAAUUCUGGCAGGACCCCAAACGUCAGAAUGAACGACCAUGAAUGGCACAAAACUUUUAUUUAAUCUUAAUGGAUAGGAAACACGAUGACUUUUGGCCAAAAUACAAAUUUCACAAUGGAAAUCAGAUUCUUUGAAUUGGGGAAAAAGUUUAGGGAAUAAAAGUUUAAGAUAACCAAAUGAGGGAUGUCCUAAUCGCUUGUGCCAUAACCAAAUCUUCUUCAUUUGGGUUGAUUCGUCUCUGCUUACAUGAUGCACUAGACUCAAUCUAUUGCUGCAUUCUUCCAUUAAGUCCAAAUAAUAUAGUUUGCCCCUUCUAGUACCACAACCAAUCACGGCCCUUGUGAGCAGAUCCUGGAAAAGACAAUAUAGUGGCCAAAAUGAAACAGAACAAUUAAGGGAGUCAAUAAUUUGAGAAACAGAUAAAAGAUCGUAAUCUAGGGAUGGUACAACUAGGACAUGAUCAAGAUUGAGUGAGGAGGUUAGUGAAAGAGAGCCUUCUCCAGUAACUGGAGAGAUUGAACCAUUGGCACUGGUAAUGAAUGUCUGGUUGGCUGUUUUUAGUGAGUGAAGAAUGUUAGCAUCAAAUGUCAUGUGAUAUGUAGGUAUCAAGGUUCUAAAAAUCGCUAGGCGCUAGUCAAAUGGCUAGGCGGACUAGGCGGAUUUAAGUAAAUCUAUCAUAUUUCAUGUAAAUAAGUGUCUGCUUCUACUUGAAAUAUAUAUAAUUUCAUCAUAAACUACAAAAUACAAUGCAUAUAUAUCAUGAAGUAUUGGAACAUAAUGAAAACAUGUGAAAUAAGGAUAUAAUGUUUGUUCAUUCAAGUAUGCAACAAGUCUCUUACAAUUUAUUGGAAAAAAACAAAAUGCAAAAUGAAAGUUACGUAUUUUCUGUCUAAGUGAGGUGCAACCUAGGCAGGUUAGGCGGGUGCCUAGGCGGGCUAGGCGGGUGCCUAGGUGGUCUAGGCGGUGAGCUGGGGCCUAGGCAUUAAUCGGGGCGGUGGGCUAGGGGCUGGGGCCUAGCGCCUAAGCGGGGAUUUUUAGAACAGUGGUAGGUAUCAAUAAUCCACGAUCUAUUACAAGUAUUAGUGGAUGUAGAGUUAGAUAUAUUUGAGGUGUUCAAGGCUUUUGGGACAUGGUCAGAUGAGUAACAUCUUGAGAAGACUCAGAAGUGGUGAAUGAUGCUCUGCUGGAUUCCUUUUUUGGUCCUUUGUGAACCCAUCCUUCUGGAUAGCAAAUAAUCUCAUAACAGCCUUGAAUAGUAUGAUUUUUCAAUCUGCAUUUGGUGCACUGCAUAGGUGGUCGAUUACGAAAUCGAUCAGCUGUUGAGGAGUUUAUGUUUUGAAGUCGAGGUCCUUGUGGAGAUCGAGAAUUUGUGGUAAAGAGCACAGUAGCUUCAGGCAUGGUGGCACUUUCUGAUAUGGUUCCUUAUCAAUUGCUUUCACGUUUGACAUGAGAGUAUGCUCCUUCAAGACCAGGUUUGGGCUCCAUCAUCAAAAUCUCACCACGAAUUUGAUCAAACUUGUUGUCUAAUCCUGCAAGAAAAAUAUAGACUCGAAGUCGCAAUUUCUUGCUGCCUUGAUAAGAUAUCAUCUGUGUCCUUCAUGUUAGUAGGACUAAGUUGAUCAAGUUCUUGAAAAAUCUCGGUGAGAUUGUUGUAAUAGUUAGCAAUAUGAGCUCCAUUUUGCUUCAUGGUAAAUGACCUUUUGUGAAGAUCAUAAAUUUUGGCUUCAUCAGAGCCAUCUGAGUAAGUCUUUUUUAUGGCAUCCCAUACUUGCAUGGUUGUGUCGUAACGGAUGAACCGCUUCAUCUGAUUGGGUGUCAUAACAUCAAAUAACCAACUUUUGACUUGGCAAUUUUCAGCUCGCCACUUGUUAUACAGUGGGUCUGUGAUUGCAAGCUGCUUGGUAUCACCGGAAAGAUGCCCAUGUUUUUCUCGACCAACAAUUUUCAUCUUUAUGACUUGAUGCCAUAGAGAAUAGUUGUUCUCAUCAGGUUUAAUUCCUGCAGAGAAAUUGGAAUUAUCAUUUUGAAUGGUGACCACUUGUGUGGUGGAGUUUGAUUCACAUGGUGUGAAGGACUGAAUUGGUGGGUCUGAUACUUUAUCAUCACUAGCCAUUGUAUAGGCUUAAGAUCAAUGAAGUUGAAAUAAAAAUAAAACUGAUAUGAUGAUUGAGAUAUGAUAUGGCGGAAGCUUUUUUCUGUUUUUGAGGUUCAAGAGUCAGUCGUGAUCGACUGCUCUGAUACCAUCUCAAAAUUUGAAAUAUACUUCAUUAUUAUUUGUUUACAAGAGGGAAGUCCUCUCUUAUAAAGGGCCAAAAACUAGUCCUAACAAGUGGACAAGUCAAAUGAUGAUCACAUGAGGAAAACACCGAAGAGGAAAAUAAGAAGAAAAGGAAAGCAAAGUAAUGAUGACUAGUUAUAAAGCAAAGUAGUGAUGACUAGCUAUAAAGUAAAGUAAUGAUGGCUAGCUAGAGGAAUAAUUAUAAGUCUAUUAUCUAUACCAAUAAUGUCUAGCAGCUAUUGUUGACACUUCUGACCAAAAUAACCACUGGGAAGUGUAUCUAACGGACCAAGUCCACUAUAUGCAUCAACGGCAGAUUGAACUUCACUCUCACGCUGGCAACAAGUAAUUCUAGCAAACCCUUCACUCAGCUUAGGCAGUUCUUUCUUCUGCAGCAUUCUAUUCACAAUCACAACAGCUUUCCCGCCUUGCACGUUUCCUUCAUGGCCGUUCGCUUCACGACCGUGAUAUACCAAGCUUGGCGGGAAGAUCAAGCACCACAGCAUGAACAUCAACCUGGGCACUACCACCAAGCUUCACAAAUCAUCCCUUUGUGCUUUCUCUAAAUUACACCUACCUAUAAACACACUCUUCCCAUUCUUCAACCAUUUUUGAUAGUAUCCUAUAUAAAAACAUAAAAAGUGAACUUAUAACAGCAUAAAACAAGAACCAAAAUGAAUAGAAAUCUGGAGUAUCACACUAAGUAUUGAAAAUAGCAAUCUUGAGCCCACUGAGGCAUUUCAUCGAAAAUAUUGUGCACAUAGAGAUAAACCUGGCAAAGCCAGCACCCUAAAAUGGUAAAGCUUUCAAUAUAUUAAAAAAGCAUUCCCUUUUUAAAAAAGAAAAACUAACAAUGAAGUUUCAAAACUUUAAAUUUUAAUAAAAAAUCAUGUAAUAACUUUAUUUAAUAGUUAGAAUAAAGCAUAACACUAAACCAGUCCAAUUAAAAUGACCUAAAGGUUGAGUUUCCGAUUGUGCCCCAUACAGCAAAGCAACAUGCCGUCCCUUCCUUCUCGUACCUUUUCUUUUUAUCCAAGUAUGGAAGUAGUUCUAGUAAUUUUUUUUUCUUUUGAAAAUUUUUAAUCACGACAUUUUAAUUGAGAAGAGCAAAAUAUUAAAAAUAUCCCAUCUCCAAGGAUUUUUUAUUUUUUACCAAAUAUUCAAGCAAGUAGUUUCGUUGACUGUUUUUUUUUUAAAAUUCUUUAAUCACAUUUUCUAAAUUUAAAUUCAUUCAAAAAAGCAAAAAAUAAAACGAAAGAGCAAACUAGUUACAUUAAACAUACAGGCUUUUUUUUUAAUUUUUUAAUAUUUAAUUUAUAAACAAUAGCUUUAAUUAAAUUGUUUUUCUUUUGUUUUGAACGAACGAUACUAUUUACACGAAUCCGGUGACGAAGUGGGCUAAGCCUCACAAUAGGCUAACAAGCGAAGAUGAAUUUAAACCUUAGAUUUCUCACUUACAAGUGAAGAUGAAUACCACUAGACCGUAGUAUUAAGUGGCUAGUGGGUUAAAUUGUUAAAUACGAGAGAGACGAGGGAUCGGUAGGGAUUGAACGCAUCAGGAUGCAUACACAGUAACCUUGAUUAAUGACAUUCGAAAUAAAGAGAAAAAUAAAGAAAAAGAAAGAAAAUAAUCUAUACGAGGGUACAAACACAUAUUAAAUACAAAUCAUCUAGCUUAUUAGAUGGAGUAUUUGACAAAUCAAAUAAUGUAGCGAGCCAGGCCGCCGCGUGAGGUCGAAUGGGGUGUGUUAGACAAAUAAGAUAAUGUAGUAAAAUUCCUACGUAUUUUAGAUGAACUUUAUUUUAAGAGGACAUGUGAGAUUUGUGAAUGCCAAAAAUACCAUACGAAUUCUAUCUUAUUUUACCCCUUUUGCGCCCGAAUGAUGGUAGUUGGGAAUUUCAUCCUAUCCCAGGCCACGAUCAAGCAGAUUCACAACUUACAAAGUAUUAAACCUAAGACCUCCCUUUUUUUCCUUUGGGGAGUUGUUGUUCGCCUUUGUUUCACUGAAUCACUUGUCCUGGUUUAUUGAUGAUAGUAUUUUACUGGAAGUAAUAUAUCAUACACUCUUUCUUUCUCCCCAAACACCCUUUUUCAAUCUUUUUCGUUGAUUUUGUUGAAAUUAUUCAAUUUGAUAACACAAUACAAAAAAAUGCUUGGGGUUAUCAUUCUUUUAUUCACUAAUCACAAAACCAAUUUGUUAUAUGUGAAAUGUACCAAUUUUUUUUAACACUAUGGAUACAUUCUUUUGCCAUUUAUUAUUUCUUAUUUUUACAUAGUUUUUAUCCAUUUAUUUAAUCAAAAUGUUUGAAUUUUUUUAUUGGAACCUUUUCUAAUAGUAUUAUAAUGAGAGAUUUUAAAUUUAUAGGAUUAUAAAUCUCAUAAAAUAUCAAACAAUUAAUGUCAAAACUAUAAAAAUAAAAAUAUUAAUAGUAAUAUAAUGAGGUGUACAAAGUCAAGGGAUCUUGAUCAAACUUUGAAUACGAUUAAGGUUUUAAUCAAAGAAUGUUAAGGAUUAUGAACCGUAUCCAAAAUAUCCCUAAAAUAAAAUAAAAUUUCUGCCCCCUACCAAACAGCCAUACCAAAGAAGUCAACCUAACAAUGUCACAAUUCCACAGCUAGCCCCUGAAGUUACAGGCAUGGCCAUGAAUUUCACAUUUGAGAAAAGUGAGACCUUACAUGUGCAGCAUACUUAUAAGUAAUUGAAAUGCUCCCAAUAUUACCAAUUAGUUUUAUGGUGCAACCUCAACUUUUUUCAUGCUGCUAGAGCAGAUUGUUCUAUGUAUGAAACCGAACGGCCACAUGUGCUCCAUGUAACACGAUUUAUGUUGUCUACAUGCUAGGCUUGAAAAUCCGUCUUCUGUGAAGUUGCUUAGGGGCCCGGAGGUGAUGGUUGCUCCACCAAGUCUUUGCCCCCACGGUCACCUCGCUUUUAAUUCGGACCCUAUUUUUGUUGCAGGUUACAGACUUUGAGAUGUGGGAUUUUAGAGGGAGAACACUUGAAAGUCGAGCAAUUUUGGAGGGAGAAGACUUAGACCUAGUUUGGGAGUGAGGUGCUUAAAAAAAAAACACCCAUGAAAAAAAGUUGUGAGGGUUUUAGGUGUUUGGUAAACUGAAAAAAAAGAGCUUAUUUUGGAAGCUACUGUGAGAAUAAGCUGAAAUCAAAGGAAAAAGCUGAAGCUGCUAUUUGUAGCUUUGGAAAACUGGCUUUUUUUCAAAUCACAUGGAGCUACAGUGCUUCUUUAAUGAAAAAAUCCAAUAUUAGACUGCUUUUUUUUUUCCAAAAGCACUUUUACAAAAAAGUUUACCAAACACUCUGCUGAUUUAUUUCACAGCCGCUUAUUCUCACAGCACAGCCGCUUAUUCUCACAGCAGCUUUUUUUUCAAAGCACAGUAAUACCAAACCAGCCCUUAGUCAGUCAACAGCCACCGGAAAUGAAGAUAGGAAAGCAACCCGGUAAGACUUGAACAUCAACCCAACCACAAAACCGAAUGACCACUGAAAAUUUCUGGUGUUUGGUGGCAAUGUACUGAGAGUUUGUGGUUGAAAAUCUCUAGGUGUUCUGGAAGUAAGCAGACUGCAUGCAAUAAAGCCUCCAACCAUCUAUCCAAACUAUGUUAAAACCUGGUUGAGCAAAGUUGUAGGCGCUGAUUCUUUCUUUUUCAAAUACUAAUGAAGAAAUUUUUUACAUCUAAAGAGAAAAAAAAAAUGUACUAGCAACGGUUAAUUAUCACCUGACAUAGAAUGAACACAAUAAGAAGCGAGUGAUUUAAGUGCAAGUUUUUAUUUUGGACAAAAAAAGAAGGACGUUCAUGCAACCAAACGUACAAAUAAAGGACUUGUAGGUCAAUUGGUUUAAGUAUUUACCCAUGAGAGAAAAAACACGAUGACGCGUUUAUGGAAUGCAAAUCAUAUAAAGCAAUCAUGAGCACCCAUGUAGGUGGGAGUGUGACAUGCAUCCACUUUCUUCCACUUCUCUUGUGUUGGCACCACUAUUUCUUCAUGGCUACAGAGAUGGCAGAAGACUUCAAAGUCCACAUGAAAGAAGAAAAACUAUUCGUCCCAUUUCCCCUUUUCCGAUUCAACAAUGCGUAUUAAAGCCACCACAACCAUUCUCAGUUUCCAUCACUUUCCCCGAUUAUAGUCCACGGGCCUAGCCCCCAGAGCAGCCACUAAUUAAGACCAAAUUGGUCUCUGACUCACACACCAUUACACAUUCUUUAUAUGCAUGUGUAAUUAUUCCCAACAGAACACAGUAUAUUUACAAAGAAGAAUAACUAGGGACCUGCCUAUUGCCUAAGCUAUUCCUUACUUACAUUUGGUGUCACAUAUCAGCAGCAACUUCCGAUGAAAACUCCUCUGCUUUCAUGGCUUUUCUUAAUCCGCAUUUGCUGUGUUUCACUCAGCUUCCAUACGUUUGUGGUCUCUAGACAAUGUCCCGGCGAUCAGCAAUCUUUGUUGCUACAAUUGAAGAACAGCCUCACAUUUGACCCUGCAACAUCUCAAAAACUUGUGAACUGGAACAAUGGCUCGGAUUACUGCUCUUGGGAAGGAGUGUGUUGCAAAGAGGGUUGUGUUUCGAAUCUGGACUUGAGCAGCGAGGCGAUUACUGGUGGACUUGAUCAUUCCAGUUCUCUUUUUGGUCUGAAGUCAAUUGAGAACCUAAACUUGGCUUACAACUUCUUCAACUACACUCAGCUUCCUUCCGAGCUCAAGCAGCUAACAGGUUUGAGUAAUCUGAACUUGUCGAAUGCUGGCUUUGCAGGGCAGGUUCCAAUUGAGAUUUCACACCUUACGAGGUUGGUAACUCUUGAUUUGUCUACCUUUUAUUUCUCGGGAGCUCUGUUGCUGAAACUUGAGAUGCUGAAUUUGAAUGUGCUGCUUGGGAAUUUUUCUGAGCUUGUUGAACACUAUCUUGAUAGUGUGAAUAUUUCAGCACAGAGAACUGAGUGGUGCCAAGCUAUAUCAUCUUCACUGCCAAAAUUGAGGGUGCUGAGCUUGUCCAGUUGUAAUCUUUCAGGCCCUAUUGAUGGUUCAUUACUGAAGCUUCACUCCCUCUCGGUUAUUCGUUUAGAUAACAAUGAUUUGUCUACUCAAAGUUCCCAAAUUUGACUUCCUUGCACCUAAGCGAUUCUGGCUUAUAUGGUUCAUUCCCAGAGAAGAUCUUCCAGCUACCUACAUUGCAGACUAUUAACUUAUCAGGCAAUCAACAUCUUCAGGGUUCCUUACCAGAAUUUCCAAAGAAUGCAUCUCUCCGGUCCUUGGUUCUAAGCGGGGCUAACUUUUCAGGCCAGCUGCUUCCGAACUCUCUUGGAAACCUCAAAAUGUUGUCCAACAUAGAUAUUUCGGGUUCCAAUUUCACUGGAUCAAUCCCAAGGUCAGCAGGACACCUUCAUCAAUUGGUUUAUUUUGACUUGUCACGGAACAAGUUCAAUGGCUCUGUUCCAUCCUCCAGUAUGGCCAAGAAUCUGACCCUUAUAAACCUUUCUCACAAUCAGCUAACGGGUCAGAUUAAUUCCACUCACUGGGAAAACCUUACUAAUCUGAUGUAUCUCAACUUGAGAUCCAAUCAAUUAGAUGGGUUUAUUUCACCAUCUCUGCUUUCUCUUCCCGUCCUGCAACAAUUACAGCUUUCCAACAAUCACUUCUCUGGUCAGUUGCCUGAAUUUUCAAAUGUCUCUUCGUACUUACUGGGUACCCUCGAUUUGAGUUACAACAAAUUGGAAUGGUCAAUUCCGAUGUCUAUCAUGAAAUUCCAAGGGCUUAAGAUUCUUUUACUUUCAUCAAACAACUUCACCGGCUCUUUCCUUCUGAAUGAUAUUCAGCAGCUAAGCAAUGUUUCAAAUCUUGAUCUUUCUUUCAAUAGCUUGUCUAUUAAUUACAAUGACAUCAAUUCCUCUCCUUGUUCAUCUCCAAAAAUUACCACCUUGAAGUUAGCUUCUUGCAAUUUGAGAAGAAUCCCAGGUUUCUUGCGAAAUCAAUCGACAUUAGGCACUUUGGACCUAUCACAAAACCAGAUUCAUGGUGAGAUACCCAACUGGAUUUGGAAGUUGAGUAGUCUUAGUCAACUAAAUCUUUCUUGCAACUCUUUGUUAACACUAGAAGGUCCUGUCCUCAAUCUUACUUCUAUUUUCUCAGUGCUUGACCUUCAUUCCAACCAGCUUCGGGGACAAAUUUCAGUUCUUUCACCAUUUGUCUAUUAUCUGGAUUACUCAAGAAAUAAUUUCAGCAUUCCGGCUGACAUUGGUAAUUUCCUUAUUGUUAGAGUUGCUGCACAAUAAAACAGGAACAAUAUUACCAGAGAAUGAAGAACGUAAAAUGAAAAUCUGUCUUGGGUUGAGUUGCGGACAAUGUCGCUUUCUUUAAGACGUUUCACGGCUUUGCCCAAUGUGUGCAAACAGUUCGAAUAACACCACGUCGUCCCCAGGAUAAAACAGCCCAGAAUCCCUCUGUCUAGACCUUCCUUUGCACUGAGGAAGAUCCGAAAACACUCACCCUCUGAAUACUCAGUGUUAUUAGCUAGGUUUUUCUUAGUUUUUUUCUUUGUGUGUCGACUAAAGAGAGGUCCUCAAAUUUAUAUAGAAAAACCAAAGUUUAACGUUGAAGAGGUUGAGGGAAAGGUGGCCUAAGAAUCAGGCCAAAAAAUCUGGUAGUGAUCACCUAGUUGAGGAAGACUAGGUCUUUUCCUUUAUCUUCAAAACCAAAAUCUAUUUGAUAAAAUACAAGUAACCAUAAAAAUAGGAGAGCUAGUUCCUGAAUAAAACCAUAACUAUGGUUUUAAAAUAAACACAAAGUUUCAACAAUCCCCCACUUGUUUAUUUAAAAACAAAAUUUGUUCAUUGAGCAAUCAAGUUAUAGAGUUGUGCUUAAGCACAAGUGUUAAUCAACUUGAACUAGUACAUAGUGUCAUUGCCUCAGAACAACAAGUGUUACACCCCACCCCCAAUUAUAUGUAUAAAUUCGUAAUUUUCCCAAAAAUUUAUUGGAAUUAUAAAUUUAGUCCCUAGUUCUUUACCCAAUCCGGAUCUAAAAGUGGGAUUUCCUCCAACCCUCAAACUACCAUGUGGCAGCACCCCAACACUCCUCACUUUUCUCUCUUUUUUCCCCCACCCCGAGACCUCUCUCUCACUCUCACCUUCAGCUCUUUCUCUGCACUCCCUCUUCCUCUCUCGAAAACCCUCUCACUCUCUCUCCCUUCGACCCACACCAGACAGCACCCACAUCACCUUCUCGCUGUCAUCUACACCACCACCAUCAACACCUCAUCUUUUUCUUUCUUUCUCUCUCUCUCUCUCUCUCCAGCGACAGAAAACUCUCCAGUGAGAUUUUCUCAUCUUUCCAGCUAGGUAAGCCUCGGGAUUCUCUCUCUGUGUUUUAGGUUGAUGUUGAGUUCGAUUGUUGAGAGAUUAAUUGUUGUUGAAACACCCCAACCCCAUUUUAUUUAAAAAAUUGUUUUAAAGCCGUAAUUGGUGAGCCUGUGGGGCCCACCUUGUUUUAUUUUUUUGUGUUUCCCAGUCUCCCUUUCUCCUAUCCCAGUUCUCUUUCUUCCUCUUCUUCUUCCCUUUCCCGUAUACCUCUCUCAUCUCUCUCUCCCUCUCUAUCACCAUGAACACCCACCACCAUAACCACCUGCAGCUACUCUACUCGAGAACAUCAUCAUCAUCAUCAAGCAUUGCUCUAGUCUCUCUUCCAUCGCAGCGAGAUUGGUGAAAGCAGAGAAAAGGAACCUCCGGCGAGCACUGACCCUUUCGAGGCCAUUUCCGGCCAAACCAAGGCAAGUUGGCCGGCAUGUAACGUAUCAAUCUCUUCGUCUCCCUGAGUACUACAACUUUCCUUUUUGUUUCACUCAAUUUCGUUGAGUAUUGAAGAAGUUAUACUCAUUUGAAUUUUACCCAGUUUCCGGCGACCUCCGAGUCUUUCAAGGAAUUUUCCGGCCAAACCACGGCGAGUUAGACAUCAUGUGAGGUAUCAUUCUCUUCGUCUCUUCAAGGGCUACAACUUUCAUUUUGUCUCACUUGAUUUCGUUGAGUACUGACAAAGUUAUAGCCGUUUAAAGUUGGGUAGUUUUCCAGCCGAAUUUCCUACCUUCUCCUUCGACAAACCCAGGCCAUCCGGCCUAUCCCAUUUCCUCCCCUCGGGCCUUAGGCCCGUGUUGUCUUAAGCCCAAAACCCUAACCCCUUUAGUUUUUAAGUUUGUUAUUUGGUUUUUAAAACCCUUAAGGCCUGGGCCGGUUUUGACUUAAAGGGCUUAAAGCCCUGUUAGUUUUUGUGAGGCCUUAGGGCCUUGGUGCCGUGGGUGUGUGUGUUAGGUGUGAGUGUGUGUAUGUGUUUAUGCAUGCACAUGCAUGCCCCGUGUGUGUGUGUAUUUGUAGUAUGUGUGUGUGUUUGGGCUAAAGCCCAAACCCCAAUUCUCACCCUAAAGCCUUUUAACCCAAAAACCCUAGGUUUCUAAAACCCAUUUAAAACCCUAAUCCGGAUUUCAAGUCUAAAACUCGUUUGACCUAAUUUGACGGUUGACUCCCGGUCAACGUUGGCCUUCAAGGUUGACUUUUCGGGUUUUUGCUCAAAAUCCCUCUUAAGCUAAUUUCAACGUUCUGAAUCUGUUUCCAACGUCCGUUUUCCCAAAUUCAAUUUCUAUUAUAUAGUUUUAUUUAUUGGACUCUUUAUGUGCUUAGGGGCAAUUAUUGUGACGUUUCCGUCUUCGCUAGUGGCGUAGUUUUUGGCAGCUAAGUACUGUGAGUUGACCCUUUCUAAAAUUACAUGAUUUUAUAGUUUAAUUGCAUAAAUGAUUAGCAUGCCUACGAAUUUAUGAAGUGAUUUAUGUGAAGCCUGUUGAUUUAAUAUAUUGAUUUUCGUCUCGUGUUUUUGGUGAGGAAUUCAUUGUUGGCCUAUAUUGAGCUAUAUUUUAAUAUAUCGUAUUUUCUAUAAAAACCAUGAACUGGUAGACUAUCUGAUAGAUGACGAUAGGAUGCUAGAACAUGUUUUUGAACCCCUCUUUAUAGUGUAGACGAUGAUCGAUAAUCUCAGUUAUGAAGUGGUUAUUUAUGAGAUGCGUGAAUAUUUGUGCGUACCUAGUAGACACUAUGCCGCCUGGGGCGAGGAACUGGUGUUGGCAUUUAGGCCGGGAGAAAUAAUCCCUAGCUAUGGGCUGAGGGACAUGGAGCAGGUAUUGGGCCGGGAGUUGUUAAUCUCUGACUACGGGCGCAGAGACCACGGAGCAGGCAUUGGGCUGGGAGUUAUAUUUAUUCGGUGAUGUUACUAGCAACACACCGCGCUUAUGAGACGAUUUAUGAGACGUUUACUAUUUUGAUUUCCGCGAUGUUAUUCCGCGAUAUGGCUUUUGAGAUAUUUUGGCAUGCUAUGAUUUUUAUUAAAUCCAUCACUUAUUAUGCUAGUAGUUUUCAUUAUAUAAACUGUGGGGGUUAGUAUCUUGAUAACUGUUUUAUUAUUAUUAUUAUAUAUAUAUAAACUUGGCUCACUCACCUUUGUUUUGUGCCCCCAUUCAGGACUUAGAAUCAAGGCAUCUAAUCCCGGCGUGAAGGCACUUCCGCAGCAGCAUAUUCGAGUCCUCUUGGUGUAGGACCCUCAUCCUUUAUUUAUUCAAUUUUAUAUAAAUUCUUUUAGUGAUUAGGUUUAGUUGUAUGCUCUAAACACGUUCCUAAAUUGUUAGUUCAUUGUAUUUCAAAUUUCUAACCCUUAUUUAUUUCUUAUUCUUAGCUUUUGUAUCAAUUAAUGGCUUUCGUCACCCUCGGGUGUCGGCCAGCACGUGUCUAUCCUGGUAUUCGGGGAAUAUCAGGGUCAGGGCGUGUCAGUUGUUGGCAAGGUUUAAAACGAGAAAACGAGACUGGCUCGGGGAAACGAAACCCAUCUCCAACGAGUCCCAUGGGUGUCGAGGAGUUUUUUUACCACCACUGGCCGUUUCACGACGAACCAAAGGUAUCAAAUCACUCAUUUCACUUUCCACUACAUGUUGAUACUAGAUCGAAGCUUAGGGUCCUUGUUUAUCGUCAGCCGGAGCUGGGAAAGCUUCGACGUUCACCUCUAUCAAGCCCAAGCCUUUCAGGCCGUUUCAAACCCUCAGGUUUUAGGCCCGUUAAGAACCUAGCCCAAAAUCCUUUUCCGUUUCAUUUUUAUUUUUUAUUUUAAUUGUUUUAAAACCUAAAAGGCUUUCGGGCAUGUUCCUUUAAGGCCUUUAGCUCAUUGACCCAACCCUAAAAAAAUCUUAUAUUUGGGCCAGGCGUUUAAGCCUGGGCCUGUGUGAUUUAAAACCCAGGUUAAGGCUUUAGGGCCAAAUAGAACUUGGGCUUCCAGCCCAACCCUAAGCCUAUUUCCCUAAACCCAUUAACCCUAAACACGGUCUAACCCUAAGCCCAGACCCUGUUUGGCCUGGUCUGACCCGAACCCGUUAACUUUAACCUGAUCUGACUGUUGACCCUUUCGGAUAUUAAAAUCUUUCAUCUUCCCCUUCUACACCUGACUCUUUAUGUCGGCACAUUUCUGAUCAAGUUCCUGGGCUUCCCUGACCAUAUCCACCAAAACAUAUCUAACCUGGAAGUGUGCCAACCAAGCUUUCUGAUCACGCGGUUUCACAGUAAUGCUGGUUUCUCGAAGAGAAAAUAGUAACGGAACAUGGAUAGCUCCAAGAGAAGCAAGAUGUCCGUGAUAUUUCCGGCUAAGUGCAUCCGCCACUACAUUGGCAUGUCUGAGAUGAUAUUCGAUCGUGCAGCCAUAGUUAAUGAUGAGCUUCAUCCAUCUUCUUUGCCUCAAACUCAAAUCUUUCUGCAUAAAGAUAUAUUUGAGGUUCUUAUGAUCAGUGAAGAUGCGGCACUUCUCGCCAUACAGGUAAUGUCUCCAGAUUUUCAGAGUAAACACCACUGUGCCAAGUUCCAAAUCAUGAGUGGGAUAAUUUCUCUCGUGGGUCUUGAGGUGCCUAGCAGCAUAGGCAAUGACUUUCCCAUGCUGCAUCAAUACACAACCAAAACCUGAAAGAGAUGCAACAAUGUAGAUCUCAAACUCACCACCCUCUUCCGGAAGGGCAAGGACUGGAACUUGAGUAAGAUGUUGCUUCCACUCCUGAAAACUCUGUUCACAGUUUUCAUCCCACUCAAACUCGACCUCCUUCCAACUUAACUUAGUCAAAGGCAAGGCAAUUGCUGAGAAACCCUUAACAAAUCGUUGGUUAUAGCCAGCUAGACAUAGAAAACUCCUCACCUUUGUAACAUUCCUCAGUUGCUCCCAUGUAGAUAUUGCCGAAACCUUCUGAGAAUCCACACUAAUUCCCUCAGCAGAUACUACAUGUUCGAGAAAGCUGAUCUGGUUUAGCCAGAACUGACACUUACUGAAUUUAGCAUACAACUACUGACUUUUCAACCUUUCCAACACCAACCUCAAAUGUUUCCUGUGUUUGGCAACAUUCUUAUAAUAGAUCAGGAUGUCAUCGAUGAACACAAUCAUAAACCAGUCCAGAUACAGUCUGAAGACACUGUUUAUCAAAUCCAUAAACGCUGCAGGUGCAUUCGUUAAUCCAAAAGGCUUGACAUAGAAUUCAAAGUGUCCAUACCUGGUACGGAAGGCAGUAUUCGGUACAUCUUCCUCCCGGAUUAGUAGCUGGUGAUAACCUACGCGAAGAUCAAUCUUAGAGAACACCUAAGCACCAUUCAGUUAGUCAAACAUGUUGUACAUGCCUCAAGAUAACGAAGUGAUGAAAAAGGAAAUCUUGGAUGAAGCACACAUUUCAGCAUAUGCCAUGCAUUCGAGAAGCACCAAACUGUAUCACACUAUUCGUCUGUUCUAUCACUGGGUUGGAAUGAAACGGGAUAUGGCGGAUUAUGUGAGUAGAUGUAUUAUCUACCAACAGGUGAAGGCUAAGAAACAACGACCUAGGGGACUAAUGCAAAAUCUUCCGAUACCAGUAUGGAAAUGGGAAGACAUCACCAUGGAUUUUACGUAUGGUUUGCUGAGGACAUAGUCGGGAUUUGACAACAUUUGGGUAAUUGUAGAUCGACUCACUAAGACCACUCACUUAUUGCCUGUUCGGCAAACCUAUUCACUAGAAAAGCUAUCGAAGUUGUUCAUCGAUAAUAUUGUCAGAAUUCACGAUGUACCCGUCUCCAUCGUUUCAGACAGAGAUCCCAGGUUUACUUCUAGGUUUUGGAAAGUUUUUAAUACUGCCAUAGGUACUCAAUUGUUGUACAGCACUGCCUACCAUCCUCAGACCGAUGGUUAGUCCGAGCGGAUAAUUCAGGCAUUGGAGGACAUGUUAAGAGUGUCUGUUAUUCAGUGGAAGGGUAAUUAGGAUAGCUACCUGUCGUUGGUUGAGUUUACAUACAAUAACAGCUAUCAUUCAAAUAUCGACAUGGCACCUUAUGAGGCUUUAUAUGGGAAAGUGUUUCGGACACUGUGGUGUUAGACAAAGGUCGGCAAACGAGUGUUAGUGGGGCCAGAGAUUGUGGACACCACCAAUGCUAACAUCCAGCUGAUUAAGAGAAACCUAAAGGUAGCAUAAGACCGACAGGAUAAAGUUUUGAAGAACAAAGUUAUUUCGUUGGUGAAAGUGCUUUGGAGGAACCAUGUUGUUGAGGAAGCGAAGUAGGAAACGGAGAAUUUGAUGAGAAGUCAGUACGCGUUUUUAUUUGGUUGAGGUUGUAAUUUCGAGGAUGUAAACUUUUUUAAGAGGGUAGAUUGUUACACUCCACCCCCAAUUAUAUGUAUAAAUUCGUAAUUUCCCCAAAAGCUUAUUGGAAUUAUAAAUUUAGCCUUAGUUUGUUACCUAAUCCAGAUCUAAAAGUGGGAUUUCCUCUCAACCCUCAAACUGCCACGUGGCAGCAACCCAACACUCCUCACUUUUCUCUCUUUUUCCCCUACCUCAAGACCUCUCUUUCACUUUCACUUUCAGCUCUCUCUCUGUGCACUCCAUCUUCCUCUCUCGAAAAUCCUUUUACUUUCUCUCCCUUUGACCCACACCCGAGAGCACUUACACCACCUUCCCGACGUCAUCAACAACACCACCAUCAACACCUUGUCUCUUUCUUUUUCUUUCUCUGCUCGCUACGAGGACGGGGAAAGACUGAAAACUCUUCGGUGAGAUUUUCUCAUCUUUCCAGCUAGGUAAGCCUUAGGAUUCUAUCUUUCUAUUUUAGGUUGAUGUUGAGUUCGAUUGUUGAGAGAUUUAAUUGUUGUUGGCAAGGUCUAAAACGAGACCAGCUAGGGGAAACAAAACCUAUCUCCGACAAGCCUUGUGGGUGUCGAGGAGUUUUCUGACCACCACCAGCCGUUUCACGACGAACCAAAGGUAUCAAAUCACUUCUCUCACUUUCCUCUACAUGUUGAUACCUAGAUCGGAGCCUAGGGUCAUUAUUUGCUGUCGAUCGGAGCUAGGAAAGCUCCGGCGUUCACCUCCGUCAAGCCUAGGCCUUUUAGGCCGUAUCAAACCCUCGGGCUUUAUGCCUAUUAAGAACCCAGCCCACAAUCCUUUUUUGUUUCUUUUUUAUUUUAAUUAUUUUAAAACCAAAAAAGCUUCGGGCCUAUUCUUUUAGGGCCUUGGCCCGUUGACCCAACCCUAAAAACUCUUAUAUUUAGGCCAGGCAUUUAAGCCUGGGCCCAUGUGAUUUAAAACCCAGGUAAGGCCUUAGGGCCAAAUAGAACUUUGGCUUCCAGCCCAACCCUAAGCCCAUUUCCCUAAACCCAGUCCAACCCUAACCCGUUUAACUUGGUUUGACCUGGACCUGUAACCCGUUGACUUUGACCCGAUCUGACCGUUGGCCUGGUUAACGUUGACCAUUGACUUUGACUUUCGGGUUGACUUUUCUGGUUUCGUCCUAAACUCCUCUUAGGCUAAUUUCGACGUCCUGAACCCAUUUCUGACGUACGUUUUCUCAAAUUAAGUCGUUUGAGUAGAGUUGACUAAAUGUACCCUUUAUAUGCAUAGGUGAAAUUAAUAGCAGUGUUCCGUUAUUUCUUUUGGUAUAGCUUUGCACCAAUGGUGUACGGUGAGUUGACCCCUUCUAAAAUGCAUGUUUUAAUAGUAGAAAUGCAUACAUGGAAAAGCAAGAUUUAACAAUAAUGUUCUAUGAAACAUGAUGAGAUAACAUGCUUAUUGAGGCUAGAUUGAAUUACUAUUACUUUUUCUAUAACCCGUGUUCUUUAUAGAAUAUCUUAUGAAUGACGAUAUACUAUUUAGAACAUGUUUAGAACACUUCUUUAUAGUAUAGAUGAUGGAUGACUUUAUACUAUGAAGUUGCCUUUCAAAUAAAUGUAUGUUCCAAUGGUUUUGUACUUACCUAGUGGUCCCUAUUCCGCUACGGGGCGAGGGAUAGAUUCUGUUCCGGGCGACAGUUAUGGUGUUGACAUAGGGCUUGAAGUUUUUUUUCCUCUAGCAAUUAGCAUAGGGAUGGGGAGCUGGCAUAGUGCCUGGGGGUUAUUUUCUUCUGACAACUGGUACAGAGACGGGGAGCUAACAUGGGGCCUGGGGGUUAUCGGAUAUUCACUAGUGAUUAUUAUAUAUACAAGAUAUGUUUUGAGACAUUGCACGACAUGCUAUGUUUCGGAAAAUAUAUUUUAUCAUGUUAUAUAUGUUUUCAUAAAACCUGAAGGUUAGUAUGUUGAUAACUGUUUUAUUAUAUCCAUAUCAACUUGGUCUACCCUUGUUUGUUUUGUGCCCCCUUCAGGAUCUAGGAACGAGGAAUACGAUUUGAGCUAUGAGGCAUUCCCCUACCAGUGAUAUCGUGUUAUAUUCUCUCUGCUUCGGCAUCUGUUGUAAUAACACUCUCUAUCUUAAAUUUCCGCUUGUACUCUGUAUUAGACUUAUACUCUGAACAUGUCAUGCAUAAUCUUAAUAUUAAUUGUUAGCAGUUGAACUUUAGUAUUGUGUUAUUCGUCCCUAUUGCAUGGUUAGUCCCAAUUUAUAUGCAUGGUUCACAUGUUCUUAGCAUUUGCAUAAAUUAAAUGGCUUUCGUCACCCUUUGGGUGUCGGCCAACACGUGACCAUCCCGAUGAUCCGAGGACAUCGGGAUCAAGACGUGUCAACAAGAGUAACACUUGGUUUUGAACUCUACCUCUGACGACAAAGCAUACACAUCUCUUCUAGGGUGAAGUUCGAAACCAGCACGUUUCGGCCUUGUGCUUGUAUCCCGGUUUAGUGAUAAUGUUAAGAAGUUUGCCCUUAAACUUCUCAGUUUGUGGCCUCACCUUCAUCAUGACAUAGGUGAAACUAUCAAGGACAUUUCUACAGCUAGAUGUCCCACUAAAUAAAAGUAUAGUUAUCAUUAAGAGUAUCACAAACUCAUCCUUCUAAUCGCUAUAGGAUGUCAUGCUUCUGUAAAUGAUUAAAAUGACAUUUCUUAGCUUCAUAGCAUGAUUCCAUAUCACUUCAUGACUUGUUAUUACCUUUUGAACCAAUUUCUCAGGAUCUCUAGUCUAUUGGUUGGGUUACCAUCAUAAGUGACUCAACUAUCUAAAGGCAAUAACCUCAUUCCUUUGGAGGGUUUCCAAACUUUCUCACAAGCUAAUCAUUUCGUCAAAGGAUCAGCAAUAUUAUCCUCGGACUUUACAUGAUCCACUCAAAUAGCCCUAUUAGAGAGAAACCAUCUGAUUGUGCUAUGUUUUCGACGUAUUUGACAUCUUUUACCAUUGAAUAUCGAUUCUUAAUCUUUGCAAUAGUUGCAGUGCAAUCACAAUGAAUGAGAAAUGCUGGUAUAGGUUUUUCCCAUAAUGGAGUGUCGGAUGGUAAAUCUCUAAGCCACCAUGCCUCUUCACUGGCAGUUGCUAAUGCAAUCAUUUCUAGUUCCAUUGUAGAUUGUGCUAAUAUUUUCUGUUUUUUAGACUUCCAUGACACUACAGCUACUGUUAUCUUAAAGAUGUAGCCACUCGUGGCUUUGGAGUUUUUUGGCAGUGUGUUCCAAUUAGCAUCACUAUACCCUUCAAGGACAGCAGGAAAUCUCUCAUAAUUUAAACCAUGAUUAAUGGUCAUCUUGAUGUAACAUCCCACAUCAACCAACGGAGAGAGGGUGAUGUGCCUUAUAUGUACAUACCCACCUCCAUAUAGCACGAGGCCUUUUGGGAGCUCAUUGGCUUCGAGUUCUAUCGGAACUCCAAAGGUAAGCGAGUUCGCACGAGAGCAAUCCCAGGAUGGGUGACCCACUAGGAAGUUCUAGUAUGAUUUCCCAGAAACAAAACCGUAAGGGCGUGGUCGGGGCCCAAAGGGAACAAUAUCGUGCUACAGCAAAGUCAUGCCCGAGAUGUGGUGGAGACAGGGCCUGGAUGUGACAAUUUGGUAUCAAAGCCAAUCCCUGACCAGAAGUGUGCCAACGAGGAUGUUGGGCCCCUAAGAAGGGUGGAUUGUUAGAUCCCACAUCGCCUAGGGGAGUGGAUCCUUUUUGCCUUGUAUGUACAUGCCCACCUCCAUAUCGCACGAGGCCUUUUGGGAGCUCACUGGCUUCAGAUUCCAUCGAAACUCUAAAGUUAAGCGAGUUCGGGCGAGAGCAUUCCUAGGAUGGGUGACCCACUGGGAAGUUCUCAUCUAAGUUCUCAGAAACAAAACCGUGAGGGCGUGGUUGGGGCCCAAAGCAGACAAUAUCAUACUACGGCGGAGCCAAGACUGGGAUGUGGUCGAAUGGUAUCAGAGCCGCUCCGCCGUUCGGUAUGGAUAUGCCGACGAGGAUGUCGAGCCCUUAGGGAGGGUGGAUUGUAACAUCCCACAUCGACCAACGGAGAGGGGGUGAUGUGCCUUAUAUGAACAUGCCCACCUCCAUAUAGCACGAGGCCUUUUAGGAGCUCACUAACUUCAGGUUCUAACGGACAAUAUCGUGCUAUGGCAGAGCCGAGACUGGGAUGUGACAUAAUGGUAUCAGAGCCACUCUGCCGUUUGAUAUGGAUGUGUCGACGAGGACGUUGGGCCCCUAAGGGGGGUGGAUUGUAACAUCCCACAUCGACCAACAGAGAUGGGGUGAUGUGCCUUACAUGUACAUGUCCACUUCGAUAUUGCACGAGGCCUUUUGGGAGCUCACGUGCUUAUCAUUGGGACUGCUUGUAAAUCUGCACAACAUUCCACGACAUAGGCUAUGUCUAGUCUAAUGCAAUCACUAGCAUAACGAAGGCUACCAAUAGUGCUCAUAUAUUCAGGUUAUCUAACACUGUUGCCAGUGUUCUUGAACAAUUUCACACUAGAGUCAUAGGGAGUGCAUGCUGGUUUACAAUCAAAGUAGUUGUACUUCUUUAGAACCUUCUCAAUGUAGUGAGAUUGGUCUAAAUAGAAACCUUUCAUAGACAUAGUAAUCUUGAUCCCAAGGAUUACAUUUGCAUCACCUAGUCUUUCAUAUCAAAGUUAUCACAAAGCAGUUUUAACUUCAUUCACAACAUGCAAAUUGGAUCCAAAUAUCAACAAAUCAUUAACAUACAGACAUAUCAAUGUGCACAGAUUAUUUUCAGACUUUGAAUAGAUACAUUUAUCACUUUCAUUAAUUUUAAAACCUUUAAAGAUAAGUAACCCAUCAAACUUAGCAUGCCAUUGCUUUGGUGCCUGUUUUAAACUAUAGAAAGACUUGUCUAACUUACAUACUUUAUGUUCUUGUUUGGGUAUUACAAAACCUUCAUGUUGUUCCAUAUAUAUCUCUUCUUCUAAGUCACCAUUUAAGAAAGUAGUUUUAACGUCCAUUUGAUGCACAACAAGAUCAUUAAUGGCAGCUAAAGCAAACAAAACUCGAAUUGAAGUUAUUCUCGUGAUUGGUGCAUAAGUAUCAAAGAAAUCAACAUUUUCUCUUUGUCUAAAACGUUUAGCUACUAACCUGGCUUUAAACUUCUCCAUUGUACCAUUGGGGUUUAGCUUUCUUUUUAGCACCCAUUUGCAACCGAUAACCUUGCACCCUGGAGGAAGAUCUACUAAGUGCCAAGUCUUAUUGGAUUCGAGAGAAUCCAUUUCAUCAUUUAUGGCUUCUUGCCAUAAGUCUGCAUCCAACAAGGUCAAUGCUUCUUGAAGAGUUCUUGGAUCUUCUUGCAAAGUAUAAGCAUGAAAGUCUGAACCAAAGUCUUUGGCUACUUUGAUUCUCUUACUUUUCAUUGGCUCAAGGUCAAUUUCAGCCGAAUCAAGUAUAGCAUUUCCAUUAACUCUAGGUGCAUCCAUCAUAAUAGUAUUAGAACCCUUACUAUUUCUUAACUUGAAAGGAAACUUCUCUUCAAAGAAAUCAGCAUCAUUAGAUUCAAUAACAACAUGGUUUUUCAAAUCAUAAAACCUAUAUGCUUUGCUAUUGUAUGCAUAACCAAUGAACACAUUCAAAAGCUCUACUAGCUAGCUUUGAUCUUUUAAGGUUAGGUUUUCUUACAUAGGCCAAACAGCCCCGAGUUCUCAAGUAAGAUACAUUUGGUUUCUUAUUUUUCUAGGUUUCAUAAGGUGGAAUUUUGGUUUUCGAAGAGGGAACCCUAUUGAGUACAUAAUAAACAGUCAAAGUAUUUCACCCCACCAAUAUGAAACACUCCCCGAGUUAAGUAAAAUAGCCACAGUCAGUUCACUAAGUGUUCUAUUUUUUCUCUAAGCUUUGCCGUGUAUUUCUGGGGAAUAAGGAGCAGUGGUUUCAUGUAUUAUUCCUAGUUUCUUACAAAAUUCAGUGAAAGCUCCAGAUUCAUACUCUUGUCCUCUAUCACUUCGCAACCUUUUAAUUUUUCGGUUGAACUGGUUUUCUACUUCACUUAUGAAACAUUUAAACAUGUCUAGGGCUUCACUUUUAUGUUUCAUUAGGUAGACAAACCAAUAGUUUGAAUGAUCAUCUAUGAAAGUUAUGAAGUACCAUUUUCCAUUUCGAGUUACUACACCAUCGAAUUCACAAAUAUCAGAAUGUAUCAGGUCUAGUAAUUCGGUUUUUCUAAGAACUAACCUAUGUGGAGUGAUGCGUAAAAUAUAAGCAGACAAAUUAAACCCUCUUUUUAUCAAAUGUAGUAAAGUAUGUAAGUAGGGAUCGUUCUAGACCGGGGAUUAGGAGGGAUUGCUAAAUCACUUGGAAACUGACUUGAAAACGUAAAAACAAAGUUUAAAACACUAAACUAGACUCAAAGAAUGCAAAACUAUAUUUUAAAAUACUAAGAUAAACAAGAAGACUCAAACAGCACUCAAAACACUUAAAAACAUAAUCUAAGACAAAUUCUAAUUAAUAUGACUCAAAGAAAUAAGAUGGGGUUGAUUUUGGACGAAAAUAAUUAAAUUAAGACAAGAACAAAGUAAACAGAUUCUUAGACAAAUUUGGGUGAAUCAAAACAGAUUGUAAAUGAAUUUGAAUUUAACUUAUGGAUGGAAGGCUAGCUAGGAGGUUCUUCUCCACACAUGUCACACUUGCAUACAAAACGAUUUCCAGUUGCUUUUCGAUAAACUAUGAAUACUCAACGCCCCAAAUUAACCGUGAAUUGCACUAAUUAACCCUCAGUUUUUCCACAAGUUAUUAGGUUGGAUGAUUGCAUACGACAACCCAAAACAUUCCCUACAAGUUCCCUACAUGAAUUGCAUAAUAGAGAUACAAGCAAGAAUCAUUAAGUUCUAUGAAAAACAUAAGCAUUGACGAGGCACUCGUUACUAUGAUUUGCAUGAAACUUAUGCCAAGAAUUUACUUAACGUGAUUGUGACUAGCAACCUUCACUACUUGUGAAUAUAAGUUCAUAACGAUUAGGUGAAACUCCCUUAUAUUCUAGCGUCAAAUUCAUGCAUGAAAAUUAAGCGUGCACUCUCAACCAACAUACACAAAUCAGUUUUUAUACGAAUGGAUAAGUAAAUUGAAUUCACAACUUAUGAAUCACAACUGGAUGUAAUCAAAUCAUAUUGCAAGCAUGAACAUAGUUUCGAAUCACCCCCUAACUAAGAGGGGUUUAGUUCCUCAUACUUACAACGCAAAGAUGCAUAAAUUUAGACAUUAAAAACAAAGAUAGAAAACACCUAGAAACGCUCCAACACUCCCAAGGCUUGGGCAUAGGCACGGCACAAGAUGUUCCUUCUCUUUCCUUCCUUGCAAGCAGCGGCACUAGAGGUUUUGGACGGUUUUUGGUGGUUUUUAUGGUGUAGAAAGGAUGGGGAAUGGUAUGGAAAGGUUUAGGAUUGAUGGGUGGUGUGGCUAGGGGUGGUUUUUGGCUAAAUUUGGAGAGAACAUUUGUUAUGACUUUGAUGAAUAUGGAAGGUGGUAUUUAUAGGCUUGAGAUAGGACCACUCCAUUUCCUUUGCAUGUGAGCUUGUGUGGGUGUGUGUUGGCAUGUUUCCCCUUUACAUUUACACACACAUGCUUCAUCAUUUCAAUCACAAAACACACACAUUUUCUGCCAUGUUUUUCCCUUUACAUUUACACACACAUGCUUCAUCAUUUCAACCACAAAACACACACAAUUCCUUCCACUUUGCCGUGAGUUUUGUAUGUGUAUGCUUCAAUGCUCUUCUCUUUGCCAUGUGUUUGCUUUCUUUGCCAUGUGUUUGCUGCCAUGUUUUCCCCUUUACAUUUACACACACAUGCUUCAUCAUUUCAAUCACAAAACACACACAAUUCCUUCACCUUUGCCAUGAGUUUUGUCUUCACUUUGCAUGUGGGCUUCUUUGCAUGUGUUUUCUCCCUCUCUUGCCUUGAGUUUGCAUGUGGGCUUCUUUGCAUGUGUUUAUCCUUGCAAUUACACACACACACUUGCACACACAUAUGCCCAAAACGUCCAUCCUCAUGCAUGCAAUCCAUUUGAGCCCAAUAUUGAUCCAACAUGCACCAAAAUGCAUUUUUCUUGCCAAGGUUGUUAUGAAGGCCUACAAACAAAUGAAAAUGGCUUUAAACACUAAAAUAACUAUGGAAACACAACGUAAACGCACGAGAACAAGCCAAUUAAGUUGCAUAAAAAUGCUCCUAUCAUGGAGCUUUAGUUAUCUUAGCUUAACUGUAGAACUCACAUUUCUCAAAAUUAUUAAGUGAAAGUUCUGGUAGUAAACCUAAGUUACUCAUUUGUUUUACUAGCCUUUUGUUUACGUGACAAAAUCUUGCAUCCUAAAUAUUAAAUGAACACAACAUGUAAGCAGAAGAAACAAUUUUAUUCAUGGCAUCAGUUGAUGCACAAAACCAGAGAGGUCUUGGAACAAUGUAAAUCCGACCGUGAAUCUGCAAGAAAGUAAAGAACACAAGAUGUAUCGUGGUUCACUCCAAUGUUUGGGCUACGUCCACACUGAUGUUGAUUGUAUUUCUCUGUAAUUGUAUGUAUGGAUUACAAGUGUGAGGGGGAGUCCCCCAGAGAAAUAGAGAGUUUAAGAGAGCUUUGCUCUGAAUAUGAGAGCCUCUAUUUGAGGAUGUGAGGCUUGAGGAUUGUGAGGAUGAAAAGGCCCUUUUAUAGACUAAGGGCUCAUCCCCUUUUACAUAAAUCAUGGGCUCAAUGUCUGGAAGCCCAAGUAACAAGGCUCAAUAUAAUAUGGUACCAACAGUGAUCCCCCAAGUCUUCAGUUAAGAGAGUCUUUUGGCUGGAGACUUGAAAUUCAGACCAUGUGUGGACUGAAGUAACUAGAUGUCGUUUAGAACUAAUACUCGAUAUGAGGCGGGGCUCAAAGUGAAAUAAUGCUCAACUAGAAGUAACACAUGUUGCAAGGUUGCUCGGGUUAUGGCUUAUGUUGCCUUGGUUGGCUUGGCUUGUGGCGUUGAAGGUGAGGGAGUCCAUUUUAUAGAAUAAGGGCUCGCUCUUUAAUACAUAAAUGAUAGGCUAGAGUUGAUGCUCGCGGCGAGGCGGUUGCUCAGCAGGCGGCAAUGCUUUCUAAUGAUGGUGAGAGAGUCCCUUUUAUAGAAUAAGGGCUCGCUCCUUAAUACAUAAGUGAUAGGUUAGAAGUGAUGCUUGUGGCGAGACGGUUGCUCAGCAAGCGGCGAUGCUCUCUAAUGAAGGUGAGGGAUUCCCUUUUAUCGAAUAAGAGUUCGCUUCUCAAUACAUAAGUGAUGGGCUAAGAGUCUCUCUCUAAUGAAGGUGAGGUGUCUCUUUUAUAAAAUAAGGGUUCACUCCUCAAUACAUGAAUAAUGGGUGCUCUCUAAUAAAAGUGAGUGAGUCCCUUUUAUAGAAUAAGGGUUCGCUCUUUAAUACAUAAAUGAUGGGCUAGAGUUGAUGCUCGUGGCGCGGCGAUUGCUCAGCAGACGGCGAUGCUCUCUAAUGAUGGUAAGGGAGUCUCUUUUAUAGAAUAAGGGCUCCCUCCUCAAUACAUAAAUAAUGGGCUAAGUCCCCCAAGUAUUUUUCAUGAGGCCCAGUUGUGGAAGCCCAAUAUAUAAUACAUAGUGUAGUCCCCCAAGUCUUCAGUCAAUAGAGUAUGUUGGCUAAAUACUUCAAAUUCAAUCCAUGUAUGGGCCGAAGUGGCGGUAGUUCGGAGUCGGUCUUUGUAUACCAUGCACUGAAGAUUUGUAGGUGAAGCUUUGAAAGUGAAGCUUUGAAGUUGGAGCUUUUGUAAAUGAAGUUUUUGAAGCUGAUUGACAUGAGUGAUGCUCAUGAAUAUUUAUGUUGAUUAACAUGAGUGAUGCUCAUGGAUGUUGACAUGAAUAUUGACAUGAGUGAUGCUCAUGAAUGUUGACAUGAGUGAUGCUCUUGAAUGUUUAUGUAUGAUUGACAUGAGUGAUGCUUAUGUAUAAUUUUUGGAGUACUGGACGUACUUUUGAUCACCUAUUUGGUGAUAAUAGCGGCAGGGUACCGAAUAAUUUUAGAGUACUGGACGUACUUUUGAUCACCUGGUUGGUGAUAAUAGCGGCGAGCUGCCGAAUAAUUUUGGAGUACAAGACGUACUUUUGAUCACCUGGUUGGUGAUAAUAGAAGCAGACUGUCGAAUAAUUUACUAGACGUACUUUUGAUCACCUAGUGGGUGAUAAUAGCGGCAGGGUACCGAAUAAUUUUAGAGUACUGGACGUACUUUUGAUCACCUGAUUGGUGAUAAUAGCGGCAGACUGCCGAAUAAUUUUGGAGUACUGGACGUACUUUUGAUCACCUGGUUGGUGAUAAUAGAGGGUGAACCUUUAAGUAGAGGGAUGGAGGUUGAAGCCAUAGGGCCUGGCUCUUUUAGGCAUAUGGGUCUUCGCCCUCCACAUAACAUUCCAGCCCAUUAUUUUGGGCUUGCCCUUUUUUUUUUUUUUUUUUUUUUGUGGCAUGCUGCCUUCUUUAUUUAUUUAUGAGCCUCUGUUAAGGUUAUACAGAUGUCUCCAAAAGAUAAGAAAAGUAAAUCACAUCAUUCAAAACAAAGGUUUCGACACAAAAGCUUUGACAGUUGCAGAUCGUUGGUGCGUAAUGGGUUGUUACAGAUCUUUUUCCAUGAGCGUAUUGCUCUUACUGAAUGUUUUACCUUUUCCUUUCUCUUUAUUUUUCUUUCUUUUGGCAGAUGACAGACAAGGGAAUAAUGUCAUUUCCUUGUUUUUGUAGAGGCAGAUCAGGAGAGAUGAGGAUGAGAUAUUCUUCUUUCCUUCUUUUUCCCUUUUUUUUCUACUUUUGCUUUCUUCUUUUGCUUUUGUUUCCCGCUCCAUUUCCAAACAUCCUUUUGGAGGUCAUCAACCCACCUAUGCUUGCAUGCCCCUAAUCCAAACCCUUCAACCCUAGCCCAACACAUCGAGACAUAACUGGCAGUAGGAGAUGGGUGAGGAGAGGUAGAGCGCCUUGUUGAGUCGUUGUAGAGUCAUGUUGAAGGAAAUGUGGACGAGGUUCUGUUCCGACGCGACGUUGGAGCCAGGGAAGUCAAGGAGGGAGUCGACGCAGAGGGAGAGAAAACGCGUCUACGCGUUUGAGAUGGCAUGCGUCUGCUUACAGCGGAGGAUGGAUGAGGCGGCAGGGUUUGAGGCUUUGGAUUUUCAGACGAUGAGUACCACGGCCGAGACGGUGGAGGCGAGGAUGAGUGCCACAGCAAGGAGGAACAUUAGGAUGAGCUUGUUCUUGCGGCUGCGGUCGUUGGAGCAAAAUGAUGAUGUGGCAGUUUGUGGGAGUGAUGAGUUUUCCACCACGUAGAAACUAGGGGAGCCUCUAGGGUCCAACAGCUGGAGUCUACCAUAGCCCAUUUCUCUUUAGGUGCAGAACAUUAAUUCUUCUAGAGAAUUCAUCUAACCAAUCCACAAAACUUUCCUUCUCUGAUGACCCAGAACCAGAAGCAUUCUCCUCACCCUUCUUCUCAACCUUUUUUCUCAUUUUAAUCCCUCUUACAAGACCCAUCAGCGCACAGCCCACAACCACUAAAUCGAAUCAAAACCCAGAAACCCUCCAGCCCCAAACAACAGAAAGAACACAAACCUUUGACAUGUGGGUUUGUGUUUGUUUAGGACAACGUUGCAACACGAGAGAGAGACAUGGGCAUUGCUGCUUUUACUGUUGGCUGCUGAGAGAUCUCGGCCGUUGGUGAGUUGGACGGAGCUUUAUGAAUUAGGGAGGAGAUCUACGGUAGGGAAGUAGGCGGAAGGGCAGAAGGAGCGGUUUAAAAGGCUGGUGAAGAAGAAGGUGGUGGCGACCAAGAGGAGGACUCCGAUCUGGUACGUGCGGGUGUAGAGAGGCUGCUGGUGGUACUGCACACUGAAUGGUCGGUGACAAUAAAUUACGCUUCCCAUUUUCAGGGUGUGGAAAAGAGUAUCUAUCUUCAAGAUCUAGGAAAAUGGUCAUCUCAUGAUGCAAUUGGAAAAGUCUUGGACAUGACCUGACCAUCUUUGAGAUAUGGGUUGCAGAGAAUCUAUGGCUUCUGAGAAAGGGCAAAAAGUAGUCUAUAUUUAGAGACAUGAAAAGACGCGGUGGUAGCUGUGUUGUUGAGAGAGAGAUGGAAACUGCAAUUUCAGAGAAGGUGCAGAUGACGGAGAGAGAGAAAUGGAAAUGGCGGAGAGCUGGAGGUUUCCGAGAUGGCUGACAAACAUGGUGUGAUAGGAGCAUAUUUAUACGACUUAGUUAGCUUGUUUUCUUGCUUUUAAUUAGCUAAACUAUGAUAAUUAUAGUGUUUAAAGUUAUUUUCGUGCAAUUUCAGGUUUUAGUGUCAAAGUAUGCAAAAAGAAGCAAUUUGGAACAUUCUAGAGCAUUUUUGGGCCAAGAUUGGAUUGUGCAAGCAUGGAGGCAUGAGGAUGGACGAAUUUGAAGACAAAAGAGGCUAUGAACAUGCUAAAAAUCUGGUGAAACAAAUAUAAGUUGCAAGAAGGGAUAAAUUUCUAGAAGGAUUGACCAAAACUUCACUCAAAACCAAGAAAUUCUUCAAUGCCGUGGGCAUUGAUUCACUUUCACCAGAAAUUUGAGUGAUGAUGCAAUGCUUAAAUCACCAUGACAUGUGAGUGGAUGAUGCAAUGCUUAACUCACCAUGACAUGUGAAUGGAUGACUCAAUACCUAACCCACAAACAAUUCCCACUCUUUGCCAUGCUCACCUACUCAAUUCCACCAAAAUUUUGUGUUAAACAAAUCCAUCCUUUUCCUAUAAAUACCAUGGCAACAACCUCAUUCAAAUCAUCCAGAAAUUAACCAUUCUCCAAGCCUUUCCUUGCCUCUCCUACAUAUCUAAACCCCUUCCCAUCCAUUCCUCCAAAUAACCAACCCUUCAACAUCAUUCCAACCUUGUUGUUGCGGCAAGGAGAAGGAGAAAAGUCCUUGGACGCGCUUGCUAUCCAACAUGGAUCAUUGGAACGUUUAGGUGCUUUCUUCCCUUUGUUUUUCAAUGGUUAAAUUUGUUUAUCUUUGUUUUGUAAUAAUGAGGAACUAAACCCCCCUUGGCUAGGGGGGAUUCGAAACCAUGUUAAUGCUUGCAAUAUGAUUUGAUUACUUUUAAUUGCGUUUCAUAAGUUAUGAAUUCGAUUUACUUAUCUAUUUGAUUGAUAACAUGUUUAUGUAUGUCGAUUAAGAAUGCAUACUUAAUUUACAUGCAUGAAUUUGAUGCUAGAAUAUAAGUGAAUUUCACCUAAUCGUUAUGAACUUAUAUUCACAAGUAGUGAAGGUUGUUAUCCACAAUCGUGUUAAGUGAAUUCUAGGCUGGAUUAACAUGCGUAUUCUAUAGUUAUGAAUGCCUAGUCAAUGUUUAUGAUUUCCGUUGAACUUAAUGAUCUUUGUUGAAUGUCUCUAUCAUGCGUAUUCCAUAGUUAGGGACUUUGAUGAGGAAUAAUUUGGUUGUAAUGCGUAUUCCAUUCAAUCCAAUGAAUCUAGGGAAAUCUAAGAGUUAAUUUAAGCGGACCUAAUUAACUUGGAACAUUGUCAUUCACAAUUUAUUGAAAGAACAACUGAAAAUCAAUUUAGGUUGCAUAUGUGUCAUGUGUGGAGAAGAACCCUCUAGCUAGUCCGUCACCUAUCCUUUCACCUUAAUUUCAUGCUUUUGUCAACUCUGUAAUUUAUUUAAGUUUAAUUUACUUCUCGUCAAAACCAAACCCCCCCAUUAUUAAAUUAUAUUAUUUAGUUAGUUUUCAUUGUUGUUAGUCUUUUAAUUCAAUUUCCGUCCAUUUCAGUUCCUAGUGUCUAAUUUGAUUGUUUUCAUUAUUUUGAGUCAUUCUAAGUGUGUUUCAAGUUAUUAGAGUUUUUAGCCUAGUUUUGUGUCCUUGAGUCUUAUUUAAUAUUUUUAAUAGAUUAGCAAUCCCUCCUAAUCCCCGGCCUAGAACGAUACCCUACUUACAUCUAUACUACAAUUGUCAAAAAGAGGGUUUAAUUUGUGUGUCAAAUAAUUCUCACAUCAAAUUUUGGCGCCGUUGCCGGGGAUUAGCAACUUUUCUAAUCCCCCAUUGUUUCUUUUUAUUUCUUUUUCGUGUCUUUUGUUUUAGUUACUGACUUUGUUUCUUUUCUUGUCUUAUGUUUUUAGUUUCUGUUUUUGUUUUGUUUUGUUUAUUUUACUUUUGAUAUUUGAUUUAGUUUUCUUUCUUUGAUUUUAGGUACUAGAGAAGUAAGACAUGGAUUUUGCUAGCAUUCAAGCUCAAUUGGCAAAUCUUACUUCUCAAAUGUCGCAGUAUGCCGAAAGGACCACAAUGCAAAAUGUCCCUAUAUUUGGUGCAUCUUAUAGGCAAGGAUAUCAAGCCAAUCAAUGUUCACAAAAAGAUUGGAGUGAUCAUUCAAACUCUAUGUGGUGGGAAGCUCAACAAGUUCAACAUGAAGGAUAUUGGCAACCAUAUGAGGAGUUCUAUUCAGGACCUAUGCAGCCACUACAACCUCAUAUACAAUAUGCCCAAUCAAACUCAGAUUCGUCAAUAGAUUACAAUCAAAUUUUUGAUGAAUUAAAUUCUUUGGUGCAGGGCUCACAAAAUCAAGCCAAGGAGGCUCAACAAGAUGGAUAUUGGCAGCAAUCUGAGGAGUUUUAUUUAACGCCUAUGCAUCCACCACCGCAUACCCCACAACAAUUCCAAUCAAAUUCAAGUAUGUCCAUGGAUAGUGAUCAAAUUCUUCAAGUACUAAUCUCUUUGACGCAGGACCAACAAAAUCAAGACAAGAAGUUGGAUAAAUUGAUGAGUCAAAUGGGAGAGAUUAUGGAAUUCAUGGUACAAAUUCAAGAGCAAAGUGAACUCUCCAGCUCAACUGUUGAAAAUUCGAAGGAAGAUUUUGAAAUCCACGAUGCUAUCACUUUGGAAGGUGACAUGAAGGAUGAAGCUGUCCCAGAACUAUCCAAACACAGCCCGAACAUGGAUGAAUUGCUGCUGCAAGCAGAAGAGGAGGAGGACGACCUGGGCAGUUUAGAAGAAUUCUUGCUGCAAGCUCCUCAAAUCCCUAUGUCAUCCAACUCAUGUGAGGAAGUUCUAAAUUCACUUCAUUCUAACAUUAUUCCACUGAACGUCCUUUAUCCUUGCAGGUUUUUUAUUCCAAAUAUCAAAGAGAGUGAAAAAGACAUUGUGGAAGCUCUUCCAAAGGUGCAAAGUGAUAUCCCAAUUCUUGGUGCACCAAAACAAGUUCCCGAUGGUAUUGAAACGUUCAAAGAACCUUGCACACCAAGAAAAGGGAUUCAAGAAAAUGAAGUGGUUGAAGCAUAUCAAGAAUACAUCCAAGAGGCUGUGCAUGAGACAAUCAAGCCCAAAGCAGUUGAGUUUGAUGACACGGGAUAAGCCACAACCAUCAUAGUAAACCUGGCCAAGUUCAAAGUCCCGGAAAUGUUCAAAAAUGUGGUGUUUGUCAUUGAGUUUGUGUCGGAAAAAGAAAGUAAGCCAUCUUCUCCAAUUUUAAUUUUAAUUUAUACUAACAUGUUUCUGAUUUUGAUGAUUCAGGCACCCACUCUUGAAUUUAAACCAUUGCCGAAUCAUUUCAAGUAUCACCUCCCAUUAAAAGAUAAAUUCCAUGCAUUGGAGCCGAGGGGAGUUUAAAGGAAAGAUUCGUCCGGCUAAAGACGUUAAAUCAAGCGCUUCUUAGGAGGCAACACAAGCAUUCAACGAAGGGAGACUUUGGAAUCGCUAGCCAAAUCAGAUUGCAUUCUUACACCCUUAUCUUUACUGCUUUCAUUUUGUUUUGUUCAGUUAGUUGUGUUAUUUGGUUGAUUUCUGUGAGUUUGUGUUAUUUAGUUUAAGUGUGGGGGCAGGUUAAACAAAGUCUUUUUACAUUAAUUUACAUAUUUAAUAAAAAUAAAUAAAUAAAUAAAAUAAAAUAAAAUAAAAACACUUAAAAAAAAAAACAUAAAAGUAAAAAUAUUUUACAAUGAUGUGUAAACUAAUAGCAUUCAUUGGUCAGGUGGUGCUUCAGUAGUCGGCGGAGCUUCAGCAGUCGGUGGGACCACGGAAGGAGGAGGUAUCGGAGGUUGAUCAGUUGGAGCUUCACUACGCGGUGCUGCCCCAGAAGACGAAGGCAGAUGCGGUUGGAACAAACCCACAAACCUUCGGUGAUCAAGUAAAAUCUGACCAUCAUUUUCCUGCAGCUGGUUAAUUUUCCUCUUCAUGUUUGUGGCAUAACUGUGUGCAAGCUUAUGCAAUUGUUUAUUUUCAUGCUUGAGUCCUUUAAUCUCCUCUUUGAGACUCUGUAUUUCAGCCACCAACGAUUCAACGUGACGGGUUCGAGCAAAUAGGCGUUGGGCCAUGUUGGACACAGAACCCGCACACUGCACGCUAAGAGCCAGAGACUCCUUAACCGCCAAUUCAUCAGACCGUCUAGCGAGCAGUCUGUUAUCUCUGGGGGUGACAAGGUUCCGGGCCACCACCGCAGCUGUCAUUUCAUUUUUCAUCACCGAAUCCCCCACGGUAAGGGGACCGGUAGGGGAUAUGAAGGAUGGGCGCCAUAUGUUGUCUGGUGAAGGCGGAGCUGCCUCUUCACCAAUGUUCAAGUCAAAACGACGAUCGGAAGGGCCAGACAUUUUUCAGAAUGGUAAAGAAAGAAGAGAUCGGACAGAUUAAGAUUUUGGAAGUGCAAGAAGGGAGUGUUUACAGGAGAGAGCUCAAGUGUGUUGUGGAACAAAAUUAACGCCUCUAUAAAAAGAAGAAAUCAAAGAGGCGCUCCUCAGAAAUCGAAGAAGCGUCAUUUCGCAAAUCGAAGAGUCGGGGCUCCUUUCUCAAAAGUCGGAUUCUUUUCUCAAAAGAGGCGUUUCAUUUCUUAAAGGCUGGGCUUGCUUAGAAACCACGAGCCGAACCCCGGAUUUCAAAAGAUCAAUUUGUCCAGACGUGUUGUCACUCGUCACAUGCAACUGGCAGCUUUGCGGAAAUUACGGGCAGCUUUGUCAGAAAGCGCAUAAUAUGUACUAUUCAUUCAUCCACCGGCUGCCGACAAUGAGUGAGAGAAUAGUUCCGGUUGUGAAGAAAAGUCCCAUAAGUAUCUACCUUCGCCUUCCCACAGCAAAGGCACACCCUUUCAACACUUCUUCAUCUCCGAGAAUGUAUUCCCAAAGAAACCUUUCAAGUCACUCUGUAUUUUUCAUCCCUUGGGGUACCUCUGCAAACAACCCAUCCAAAGCAAAAGUAUUUCAUAUCAUGAAGGUUGAAAGCAAGAGUAUCUCAUAUCAUGCUUUCUCCCUGUCCUUUCUCCAGCCAGCUCUUGCUCUCGAGUACUCAUCAUCUUAUGCUUUCUCUUUGUUUCUCACUUAUAAGGGAAGUGAAGAUGAUACCUCGAAGCAUGUGGAGACAACGUGCUGAUUCAUCCUCAACUAAGGACAAGGAGAAAGAGAGCAAGAGGUGGGCACUUGGAAAGAUUGAAGAAAGAAACAGACCAACACCUCUCACUCGUGCCUGCCCGUCGUGCAGAAGAAACAAGCAGAGAAGAAUGCAGCUUGCACAAUCAUCCCAGCAGAAGGAGUCUGAGAUGAAGAACUAGAGAAGCUGCCACAUCUGCUUGGAGAACAAAUAAGGAACUGCAACAUCACCAAAGAGCAAAGCUUCGCCGUACAAUAUCAUCAAAUCAUCACUUGCAAGUAAAAAGCUAAGUGUCACCCCCGUUCAAGAGGAAAGCUGUGGAAAGUCAACAAGCACGACCAAUGAUCACUUAUUAGUUCUAUUCAUUGUCUUUUAUCGUGAUUUUCAAUUUUUCGUUUGCAAUUUUUUUUACAUUUUCUUGCCUUACUUAACUGAAUUAUUUCUUUUCUUUGCAGGAAUUUUUGGUUAUUUCCACCCUUGAAGUUGAUUGCAGAAUUUUAGCUUGGGGGGUCAUCGCUUGGUUUUACUGCAAACUAGGGAAGUUUUCAGUCCAAUUGCUUUAUUUUGUUUCUUAUUAUUUAUUUAUUUUAUUUUUAUUUGCAUUAUAGUGUUUUCUGACAUUGGGGACAAUGUCCAGUUUAAGUUUGGGGGUAAAGAGUAUAAAAAUGACCAAAUUGAAAUUUUUUUUUUUUUGUACCUUCAACUACGAACGAGUUUCAUUUGUUUCCAUGUUGUUGCUUUUUGUUUUCUUAAUUAGUUUUGUUUUCUUUAAAAAAAAAAAUUUAAAAAAAAAUCGGAAAUUUUAAAAAAAAUCCAAAAAUAUUGUCUUGUUUCCCUUAUUGUUUUGAAUUAGAUUUUUGUUAGUUUCCCGACCCAAUGAUAUAAUUGGAUCAAAUUUGAACCAUGAUCAUCAAGAACUUAGUUAACAUGUGUUUUGUGAAAUUCCUAAUUCUCUUGUUAGUUUUGUACAUGUUUGACCAUCUUUGAAAAACCAAAUGCACAUAGCCUUGUUAAUGUGAAACUAAAGUAUGACUUAAAGCUUCAUAUGUGAAUUUAGUGACCAUAUACAUCCUAUGUGAGUUUUUGAGCCGAUUGAAAGUGUGUGCAUUUUUCAUACACUCCUAUUCUUUCAUGUGUGAUGAACUUAUGUGAGAUACAUCUCUAGAACUUGCGUAACGAUCUUUCGAAAUGUUUGUCAUUGAUUGCAUGAAUUUGGAAAUGAUAGAGGCAUUAGGUUUACCACUAUGGCCCAAAUAACCAUGUUUCCCAAAGAAAAAUGAUAUAAUUAGAUUGCCAAUUUGAGCCGUGUACGUUGAGCCUUUUAUUUCUUAUCACCAGAUAUGUCUACCCUUAUACCUGAAACAUUUUUCCUUACCCUUUCCAAGCGAGCAAUGCGAGAUUGUCUUAUGAGAAAUGUUUGUGAAGUACUUUGAAGGUGUUUGGCAAAAGAAUAAAUGUGGGGGUGUUUCAUGUUUGUAUUUAAAAAAAAAAAAAAAAAAGAGAAAAAAAAAAAGAAAAGAAAAAGAAAGAUUGUAUACAAAGAAAAUAAAAAGUUUUUCAAGUUUCAGUUAAGGGUGUGGUUGGAGGUGCUAGAAGAAUCGCUGGAAAGAUGGAAAGAUUGAGUUCUUAUAAAUCUAAACAAAAGAAUUGCUUGCAAUGUAGCUUGGAACUUGUGUUUUCCUAUUCUUUCGUUUCAAUAACCCUAUCCCUAAGCCUCAUUACAUCCAAUAAAAGUCCUCUUGAUUUAAGUUUUGCAAUUAUGACUGUGGAGAAGUGAUCUUUAUGCAAGCUUAUGGUAGAAAUUCACAUUUGAUUCUUUGAGCGAAACACAUUUAAACUAAACACAUGUGUGAUUGAGUGUAUAUCCCGUGAGAAGGUUGCUAGUUUUCAUAUGAUGAUUUUAAAAAUAAAAAAAUAAAAAAAAAUUUUGAAAUUGCAUUAGCAUGGCUAUCUCACACACUACACUUCAAGGAUGAUUUAAAGAUUACUGCUAAUAUUUGAAUAAGGAAGAUGAACUUGGAUUAGCUUGUUUGGUGCUAGCUAUGAUUCUUGUUGAUUUGUGUUCUCAAAUGAAAUUCUAUGAGGGUCACAUAGGGGGAAGCUAAUGUUUUUCUUGUUACUACUUGUUCUUGUUUUCUUUGUUUUGCUCGAGGACUAGCAAAAGCUAAGUGUGGGGGAAAUUGAUAGGAGUAUAUUUAUACGACUUAGUUAGCUUGUUUUCUUGCUUUUAAUUAGCUAAACUAUGAUAAUUAUAGUGUUUAAAGUUAUUUUCGUGCAAUUUCAGGUUUUAGUGUCAAAGUAUGCAAAAAGAAGCAAUUUGGAACAUUCUAGAGCAUUUUUGGGCCAAGAUUGGAUUGUGCAAGCAUGGAGGCAUGAGGAUGGACGAAUUUGAAGACAAAAGAGGCUAUGAACAUGCUAAAAAUCUGGUGAAACAAAUAUAAGUUGCAAGAAGGGAUAAAUUUCUAGAAGGAUUGACCAAAACUUCACUCAAAACCAAGAAAUUCUUCAAUGCCGUGGGCAUUGAUUCACUUUCACCAGAAAUUUGAGUGAUGAUGCAAUGCUUAAAUCACCAUGACAUGUGAGUGGAUGAUGCAAUGCUUAACUCACCAUGACAUGUGAAUGGAUGACUCAAUACCUAACCCACCAACAAUUCCCACUCUUUGCCAUGCUCACCUACUCAAUUCCACCAAAAUUUUGUGUUAAACAAAUCCAUCCUUUUCCUAUAAAUACCAUGGCAGCAACCUCAUUCAAAUCAUCCAGAAAUUAACCAUUCUCCAAGCCUUCCCUUGCCUCUCCCUACAUAUCUAAACCUUCCCCAUCCAUUCCUCCAUAUAACCAACCAUUCAACCACCAUAACCACCUUGUGCCGCCACCAUUGAAGGAGAGGAGGAGUAGUGCCGUGCUUAUGCAAUCUGCAACUAUUAGAGUGUUUGGAAUUCUUUCUUCUUUUAAUUCUAUGUUCAUGUUUAAUUUAACUUGCUGUUCAAUUAUGUUAAACAUGUGGAACUAAUUUCUUUUUGGCUAGAGGUUAAUUCAAAGCCAUGAAUAUAUUUGUAAUAUGAAUUGAUUACCUUCAGUUGUGAUUUCUGAGUUGUGAUUUAAUUUGCUUAACUGCUUGAUUGAUAACUUAUUUUUGUAUGUCGAUUAAGAAUGCAUACUUAAUUUACAUGCAUGAAUUUGAUGCUAGAAUAUAAGUGAAUUUCACCUAAUCGUUAUGAACUUAUAUUCACAAGUAGUGAAGGUUGUUAUCCACAAUCGUGUUAAGUGAAUUCUAGGCUGGAUUAACAUGCGUAUUCCAUAGUUAUGAAUGCCUAGUCAAUGUUUAUGAUUUCCGUUGAACUUAAUGAUCUUUGUUGAAUGUCUCUAUCAUGCGUAUUCCAUAGUUAGGGACUUUGAUGAGGAAUAAUUUGGUUGUAAUGCGUAUUCCAUUCAAUCCAAUGAAUCUAGGGAAAUCUAAGAGUUAAUUUAAGCGGACCUAAUUAACUUGGAACAUUGUCAUUCACAAUUUAUUGAAAGAACAACUGAAAAUCAAUUUAGGUUGCAUAUGUGUCAUGUGUGGAGAAGAACCCUCUAGCUAGUCCGUCACAUAUCCUUUCACCUUAAUUUCAUGCUUUUGUCAACUCUGUAAUUUAUUUAAAUUUAAUUUACUUCUCGUCAAAACCAAACCCCCCCAUUAUUAAAUUAUAUUAUUUAGUUAGUUUUCAUUGUUGUUAGUCUUUUAAUUCAAUUUCCGUCCAUUUCAGUUCCUAGUGUCUAAUUUGAUUGUUUUCAUUAUUUUGAGUCAUUCUAAGUGUGUUUCAAGUUAUUAGAGUUUUUAGCCUAGUUUUGUGUCCUUGAGUCUUAUUUAAUAUUUUUAAUAGAUUAGCAAUCCCUCCUAAUCCCCGGCCUAGAACGAUACCCUACUUACAUCUAUACUACAAUUGUCAAAAAGAGGGUUUAAUUUGUGUGUCAAGUAAUUCUCACAUUAUGGUGGUAGCUGUGUUGUUGCCAAAGUUGCAGAUGAUAGUCAAGGCAAUGGGUCUUUGUCUCUGUCUUUAAAUUAGGCAGUUUUUUGGGAGAAAAAUAGGGCGGAAGAUUCGAGAAAGAGAAAAAUGGGUUUUUGGAUGGUUUUUUAAAACUGCACAGAGUCUGCGAAGGUUUUCUGGAAAAGCCCAAAGAGUGAGGUUUUCUAGGUUUUUGGGUUUCUGCAGUUUCCCGGUGGUGAGAUGAAAAAAAUGAAAGAGAACCGACAUAGUUUUUCGUGUCGAUUUCCCACAGACAACGCCAAAUGUUGAUGCACAAAACCGUAGGGGUCUUGGAACGUAAAUCCGACCGUGAAUCUGCAAGAAAGUAAAGAACACAAGAUGUAUCGUGGUUCACCCCAAUGUUUGGGCUAUGUCCACACUGAUGUUGAUUGUAUUUCUCUGUAAGGGGGAAUCCCCCAGAGAAAAAGAGAGUUUGAGAGAGCUUUGCUCUGAAUAUAAGAGCCUCUAUUUGGGGAUGUGAGGCUUGAGGAUUGUGAGGGUGAGGAUGCCCUUUUAUAGACUAAGGGCUCCUCCCCAUUUACAUGAAUCAUGGGCUCAAUGUCAGGAAGCCCAAGUAACGAGGUCCAAUAUAAUAUGGUACCAAUAGCAUCAAUAUUCAAUUUGAACAUCCCAUCAAUGGCAUACUCAUUUCCCACAAAAACAUCAUUCUUUGUGAGAGUAUACAUAUCAGCCCCAAUAGUUUGAGUGAAUCUAGCAUUGUUGAUUAGAUAACCUGAAACCAGGUUCUUUCUUAUUUCUGGAACAUGCAGUACAUCUUUUAGAAUGACAGUCUUCCUCGAGGUGAAUUUUAGCUCUACUUCACCAGUUCCAGCAACAUUCGUUGAGUGAGAGUCUCCCAACAAAACCCUUAUGUCCUCAGCUUCAGAAUAGGACUUAAAAAGUCUGCGAUCAUGGCAGACAUGGCGCGAAGCUUCAGUGUCUACCCACCACCCCUCGGAUCCGUCAACUAUGUUAACCUCUGAUAUCAUAGCAAUGAGUUGAUCCUCAGUCAGAUUAGCUUGAUGAGUAAUCCGACGUUUGUUGUGACAGUUCCUAGCCAAGUGCCCAGGUUUGUCACAGUUGUAGCACAAAAAAUGGCACAACGGCUUCAUCUCAUGAGGGGGUACCUUCCUAUUCUAACUUUGCUGAGGAUUUUGGAAGUUUGGUCGAUUUUUGUUGUUGUUGCGAUUCUUGGUGGAAUUCUUUAUAUUCUUACCCAUGGGUUUGAGCACUACUGCUGCAUAAGUCCUCGAAUGAGUCUUCUUGAGAUUGUUGUUGUUUGAAACAACCAGCACUUCCUCCCUCAUAUCUUGUUUCCUGGCUUCUUCCUCGAUUUGAAGGCGAGUGAUUAGGCUUUCCAGUGAGAAUUCCUUUGUCUUGUGCCACAGAUCCUUCUUGAACUCCUUCCAACUUGGUGAGAGCUUGUCUAUGAUCACAGCAACCUGCAACUGUUCAUCCAGAUUCAUGCCCUCAUUGAUGAUCUCAUGAGCAAUCUUUUGCAGUUCGUGUGAUUGCACUUCCAUUGAUUUGUCAUCCAUCAUUUGAAACUUCAUGUAGCGGCUGACUACAAAUUUCUUUGCUCCUGCUUCUUCAGUGUCGUACUUUUUCUAGAGAGCAUCAUAUAGUUCUUUAGCUAUCUUACGAGAAUAGUAGUAAUCAUAUAGGUCAUCACAUAAUCCAUUCAAGACAUAAUAUUUACAGAGAAAGUCAAUAUUAGUCUAGGAUUGAAACAACUUGAACUGUUCAGCAGUGGGUUGAUCAAGAUGUGAUGGCGUUUCAGACAUGCAGUGGGUGGCAAGUUUCUUGGUGGUUAGAAAAAAUAACAUCUUUUGCCUCCAACGUUUGAAGUAGAUUCCUUCAAACUUGAUAGGUUUGUUCAGAUCAUUAGUAAAAGUGUUGUUUUCAUUCUCCAUUGCAGAAAUUGAACGUCUUAAAAUUGUUAGAGUUGCUACACAAUAAAACAGGAACAAUAUUACCGGAGUAUGAAGAACAUAAAAUGAAAAUCUGUCUUGGGUUGAGUCGUAGACAAUGUCACUUUCUUUAAGACGUUUCGCGGCUCUGCCCAAUGUGUGUAAGCAGUUCAAAUAACACCACAUCAUCCCCAGGAUAAAACAGCCCAAAAUCUCUCUGUCUAGACCUUCCUUUGCACUGAGGAAGAUCCGAAAACACUCACCCUCUAGUUGCUCAGAAUACUCAGUGUUAUUAGCUAGGUUUUUUUCAGUUUUUUUUUUUUUUUUUGUGUGUCGACUAAAGAGAGGUCCUCAAAUUUAUAUAGAAAAACCAAAGUUUAACGUUGAAGAGGUUGAGGGAAAGGUGGCCUAAGAAUACAACAACAACAACAACAAAGCCUUUUCCCACUAAGUAGGGUCGGCUAUAUGAAUCCUAGAACGCCAUUGCGCUCGGUUUUGUGUCAUGUCCUCCGUUAGAUCCAAGUACUCUAAGUCUUUUCUUAGAGUUUCUUCCAAAGUUUUCCUAGGUCUUCCUCUACCUCUUCAGCCCUGAACCUGUUUCCCGUAGUCACAUCUUCGAACCGGAGCGUCAAUAGGCCUUCUUUGCACAUGUCCAAAUCACCGGAACCGAUUUUCUCUCAUCUUUCCUUCAAUUUUGGCUACUCCUACUUUACCUCGGAUAUCCUCAUUCCCAAUCUUAUCCUUUCUCGUAUGCCCACACAUCCCACGAAGCAUCCUCAUCUCCGCUACACCCAUUUUGUGUACGUGUUGAUGCUUCACCGCCCAACAUUCUGUGCCAUACAACAUCGUUGGCCUUAUUGUCGUCCUAUAAAAUUUUCCCUUGAGCUUCAGUGGCCUACGACGGUCACACAACACGCCGGAUGCACUCUUACACUUCAUCCAUCCAGCUUGUAUUCUAUGGUUGAGAUCUCCAUCUAAUUCUCCGUUCUCUUGCAAGGUAGAUCCUAGGUAGCGAAAACGGUCGCUUUUUGUGAUCUUCGCUAGAUUGCUCCGGUCAUUAGUGUGGAUAAGUAUAUAAAUGGAUAGAGAUAGGAAAGCAAACACAAGAUGUACGUGGUUCACCUAGAUUGGCUACGUCCACGGAAUAGAGGAGUUCUCAUUAAUUGUGAAGGGUUUACACAAGUACAUAGGUUCAAACUCUCCUUUAGUGAGUACAAGUGAAUGAUUUAGUACAAAUGACAUUAGGAAAUAUUGUGGGAGAAUGAUCUCGUAAUCACGAAACUUCUAAGUAUCGGAGUGUGGUAUCGUCUUGAUUUGCCUUAUCUGUCUCAUAGGUAGAUGUGGCAUCUUCUUUGGAAGUACUCUUCCUCCAUCCAGGGGUGGUAUCUUUAACUGGUGGAGAUGCACAAGGUAAUGUAUCAAUUUCACUUGAAGCUUACUUGUAGUUUCAGGCUUGGUCAAGCGCGAUACAAACCAUGUAGUAGGAGUCCCCCAAGUCGCCGAGCUAGGGGAUCUGCUGAAAGAGUUGACAGACAAGGUAAGCAAUCAGAGCUCCGGCUGAUUGUUCACAUUCUCCCUAUCUUGCAGGCAGCAUGAAGGAUAAAGAGAAGAAAAAUGAGAAGAGAUGAUAUGGGAUACUUUUGCUUUUGAAGAAGUAACUUUCCACAGGCUUAUUCAUAAACUGAGCUGGAAGGUUUUCUGGUUUCCUCCAGAGUAUAAGGCCGACUGAAAAAUUUGAGGGUCAAAACAAGUCCAUCAAAUCUAAAGUACGUUCGACCCUGCUGAUAUGGGAUACUUUUGCUUUUGACAGAAUAGUGGAUGUAUCGGCACGUGUGCUGUUACGCUUGUCUCCACAUGCUUCCUUGUAUCCUUCUCACUUGCCCUAUCUGUUCCUCAGGCAGAUGCGGUAUCUUCCCUGGAAGCAUAAGAUGUUGAAAAUGAGUACUCGAGAGCAAUGCCAGGUAAGUAAUCAGGUAAGGGGUUCCAGGCAGUCAGUUCCUGGCUGUAAGCUUGAUUCCAAGUGCUGACUGAUUGCUCUUUUUCUCCUUGUCUUGCAGGUAAGAACAAGGCCAAAGGAAAAGACAGGGAAAAAACAUGAUAUGGGAUACUCUUGCUUUUAACCCUGAUGAUAUGAGAUAUUCUUGCUCUAGUAUAGCUUGUUUGCAGAGGUAUUAUCGGGGGGAAAGAAAGCUGAAUAUUUCGAAAGGCUUCGUUGGGAGUGCCCUCUCAGAUAUGAGGAAGGGUUGAGCAUUUUUGCAGGUCUGCCUGUUCGUUGGGGAUGGAGGUCUACAUAUAUAGGAGUCUCCCUAACAACAAGUAGUAAUGUUAUUCCUUUACCCUGCUUGGUCAUAGCACGGUAGUGGGAGCUGCCAACUUCACAUGUUUUAACUCUGUCAGAACACUUUGAAAAAGUGGUAUGUGGUAUCUGGAAAGCUGAUGUUGCGUAUGAAGAUUACAGACAAGCUUUAUCCAAGGAGAUCCGGCUUUUGAAGUUGGGAAAAUGGUGCCUCUUCGGUUUUCGAACAAGCAAUCCUAUCGGGGAUCUGGCUCUCGAGAUUCAGAGAACGAUGCCUCUUCGAUUUUUUAGAAAGCAAUCAUGCUGGGGGUCUGGCUCUCGAGAUUCGGAGAGCGGUGUCUCUUCGAUUUUUGAGAAAGUAAUCAUGUUGGGAGUCUGGCUCUCGAGAUUCGGAGGGCGAUGCCUCUUCGCUUUUGGAGCAAGCAAUCUUGUUGGGAGUGUUUUCUCGAAUGUGAGUAAAGGUUGGGCAUGUUUGCUAGUCUACCUUGCCACGAAGCACAGAGGUUGACAAACAGGGACUUUCCAAUUAUCCAGCAAUGGUACUGUUCCUUUACCCUCUCUUCGAUUUUUGAGAAGGUAGUCAUGUUGGGAGUUUGGCUCUCGAGAUUCGGAGGACGGUGCCUCUUCGAUUUUGGAGCAAGCAAUCUUGUUGGGAGUGUUUUCUCGAACGUGAGUAAAGGUUGGGCAUGUUUGCUAGUCUACCUUGCCACGAAGCACAGAGGUUGACACACAGGGACUUUCCAAUUAUCCAGCAGUGGUACUGUUCCUUUACCCUUGUGGGUAAUAAUAUGGUAGCUAGACCUUCAAAAUUUAUGUGUCUAAACUUUGUUAGUGUUGUUUCUUUGUUAUUCUUUUACCCUUCUUGGUCAGAGCGAUGUAGUGGGAGCUGCAAGCUUCACGUGACUCAACUUUGGCAGAGAACUUUGGCAAAGUUAUCUGUGGUACCCAUGAGCUACUGUUGCGCGUGGGUUGAACAGUAAGAUUCAUGUGCUUUCUACUUCACCAGUAGUCUUCGACAGAAUGCCCAUAAUUUCCGCAAAGCUGAGUAUGCGUGUGACAGGUGCUGACAAGGCUGGAAAAGUAGGUGCCUCUUCGAUUUCUGAGAUCGGCCCUCGUGGUCUCUGAGCAGCCCAGCUUUUGAGAAAGCAAGCGCCUCUUCGAUUUCUGAGAUCGGUCUUCGUGGUCUUUAAACAGCCCAGCUUUUGAGAAAGCAAACGCCUCUUCGAUUUCUGAGAUCGACCCUCGUGGUCUCUGAGCAGCCCAGCUUUUGAGAAAGCAAACGCCUCUUCGAUUUCUGAGCAGACGCCUCUUUGAUUUCUGAAGCUCCGUCGAGUGCAGAUUUUUAUAAGGGCUGGCAUUAAGUUCCAAAGCACACUUGAAUCUCCACCAGUAGAAGCUCCAUUCUUGCACUUCUAAGAUCUUGAUUUGUCCGACCUCUUCUCUCUUCAACACCUUUGAAAAUGUCUGGCCCCUCCGACCGUCGUUUUGACUUGAACCUUAUUGAAGAGGCAGCCCUGCCUUCUCCAGACAACAUAUGGCGCCCAUCCUUCGUCUCCCCUAUUGGUCCUCUUACCGUUGGGGAUUCCGUGAUGAAGAAUGAUAUGACCGCUGCGGUGGUGGCCAAGAACCUUCUCACUCCCAAAGAUAACAGACUACUUUCUAAACGGUCUGAUGAGUUAGCUGUUAAGGAUUCUUUGGUUCUCAGUGUUCAGUGUGCAGGUUCUGUGUCUAAUAUGGCCCAACGCCUAUUUGCUCGAACCCGCCAAGUUGAAUCAUUGGCGGCUGAAGUGAUGAGUCUCAAACAGGAGAUUAGAGGGCUCAAGCAUGAGAAUAAACAGUUGCACCGGCUCGCACAUGACUAUGCUACAAACAUGAAAAGGAAGCUUGACCAGAUGAAGGAAUCUGAUGGUCAGGUUUUACUUGAUCAUCAGAGAUUUGUGGGUUUGUUCCAAAGGCAUUUAUUGCCUUCGUCUUCUGGGGCUGUACCGCGUAAUGAAGCUCCAAAUGAUCAAUCUCUGAUGCCUCCUCCUUCUAGGGUUCUGUCCAGUACUGAGGCUCCGAAUGAUCCCCCUCCGGUGCCUUCUCUUUCUGGGGCUCUACCGACUGCUGAGACUUCUCCUAAGCAACCUUUGUGAAAGCUCCCUCUUGUUUGUUUAUUUUGACUCAUGUAUAUGUACAUAUUUGUAACUUAUCGGGGAUAUCAAUAAAUAAGCUUUCCUUCAUUUCAACGUAUUGUGUUAAAUACACCAAAGCCUUCUUUGCUAAGUUCUUUGAAUUUUCUUUUAUUGAAGCUUGUAUGUUGAAGCUUUGUGAGUGGAGCAUGUAGGUUGAGGUAGUGUUCCCUUAAUUUCUUGAGUGAGGAAAACUUCUCGGUUGGAGACUUGGAAAAUCCAAGUCACUGUGUGGGAUCGGCUAUAUGAAUCUUAGAACACCAUUGUGCUCGAUCCUGUGUCAUGUCCUUCAUUAGAUCCAAGUACUCUAAGUCUUUUCUUAGAGUCUCUUCCAAAGUUUUCCUAGGUCUUCCUCUACCCCUUCGGCCCUAAACCUCUGUCCCAUAGUCGCAUCUUCUAAUCGGAGCGUCAGUAAAGGUGGCCUAAGAAUCAGGCCAAAAAAUCUGGAAGUGAUCACCUAGUUGAGGAAGACUAGGUCUUUUCCUUUAUCUUCAAAACCAAAAUCUAUUUGAUAAAAUACAAGUGGUCAACCAUCAAAAUAAGAAGGCUAGUUCCUGAAUAAAACGAUAACUAUGGUUUUAAAAUAAACACAAAGUUUCAACACUUAUGUACACUGUGUUCUUCUCUCUUGCAAGCAAUCACAUCCACGGGAUCAUUCCAGAAUCAGUAUGCAAGGCGACAUCUCUUCAUGUUCUUGAUAUGUCCAAUAAUUCCUUUAGUGGCAUGAUUCCCCAGUGCUUAACUGCAAGGAAC